Molecule: long non-coding RNA, 89791 nt
Filed under: Cucumis sativus (cucumber)
Lineage: Eukaryota; Viridiplantae; Streptophyta; Magnoliopsida; Cucurbitales; Cucurbitaceae
Description: long non-coding RNA (CSAT_LNC001078)
Source: RNAcentral
CAGCAAAAGAAACUUCAGAGAAAACCAACUUGAAUGUAACAUUUUCAGGAUACCCACACAAAACCCCUCAUUCGGUGACCCUUUCGUUUUUCUUACAAGGAUUUGUAUAUUUCUUAAGUACAAGAUUUGAAUUCUUAGCCAAAUUUCAAAAAUAAAAACAAGUUUUAAAACUUUUCUUCAAUCCAAAUUUUAGCUUGGUUGUGAAAACGUGGGUAAAAAGCAAAUAACAAAACAAUAUAUUUAGAAGUGGUUGAGGUGUUUUGUAAGCUUAAUUUUCAAACACUAAAAAUUAAAAGGCUACGAAAGGGCCCCCACAUACCUUGCUAAUCUAUAGCCAAAGCACAUUCUAUUUUGUUGGACACUCAGAAUGAAAACAAGUUGAACAAUUGAAACAAAGAAAGUGCAAGAGAUAUUCAUAUCAAAAGAAUAAAUAUCAGAACGAGCUCUCAUUUUAUCAUUAACAUAUUUUCAUCAAAAUUUAUCUAAGCUGCCAAGUGCUAAAAGUAAUAACGGGGUGUCAGAAACGCUUGCAUCAUAAAUCAAUAACGUGACAUACGUAGAGUUUUACAACAUGAUCUAUCCUAAAUCCUAAUUAACUCAAAUGAAGAUUUCAAGCUGGCCUCAUUUCAAAAGUUGAGAUUGUAAAGGAAGGCUGCCCAUACAAGACUACCUUCUCUACAAAGUCAUGGAAAUGCAGUGGACAUUAUUGCAGGUAUUUAUUUGAAUCAGAAGAGUUGAAGAAAUAUUCCCAAGAAUCAAAUUUUAAAUAAGAAACAAUCAGAACAAGCAACGGCCACAUAGAUGUCCAGAAAAGUUGAUGAUCAUAAUACAUACCUCAAGAAUGAUUUCUCCAUUUUACCCUGGGAGCUUCUCUCUGCACCUGGCGCAUUAUGUGGUGACCCAUAACUGCUAUUUCCAUGUUUUUGGAAGUUAAAGGCACUGAAACUGCAAAAGACAAGGAAACACCCAAAAUGGAUUUGAAGAAAUAAUAAUAAUAAUAAGUUCAUACCAGAAGUCAUAUCACGUUUCUGAUAGACAAACAAUCAUUAAUGUAGGAAGUGUCAGGGGAAAGGGCUAAUGCAUUGCAUAGCUAAUGCUGAGAAUGAGAUGCAGAAUUUAACAGGGUUAAUAACUGACGGAUAAAGUGUAUUUAAAUGAGCUAAGAAGCACAAAUACAAAUACAAAACACGGGCAUGAAUACAGCGACAUGCCAUUGUUUAAAAAAGUCUAGGGCACGGUACACAAGGACACAUUUAUUGAACUAUACAUUUUUAAAAAUAUAUCACUUUUAUGCCAGAAAAAAAUCUAAGCUCGAUGCAUGUUCGCUAUAUUUCAUAUUAAAAAUUUUUAUUAUUAUUUUCAUUUAGGUGUCUUUGUAGUUUACUCAACAAGUGUUCUAUGCAUGCCUAACACAUAUGCUACACUAACAAGUGGUCAAUACGUGUCCAACAAGUGUCAAAGAGUCUUAGAACAACAAACGGACAUGCUGGCCAAACUAAAAUGUCUGUGCUGCUUUAAAUACAUAGGAAGCCCUAAGAGGAGGGUGGGGGUACUUAUGCUUUACUUAUGCUUACGUUUUGGUGGUUUGGUUUAGGAAGAGAGGGAACUCUUUGAAUUUCCCCCAGGCUUUACUUCUCUGAACUCUUUUGAAUCUCAUUUGACUCUUUCAUGCAGAAACAGAUAAGUGUAAGGAAAAAGUAAAGACCACGAUAAUUUGAAGAAACAUAAUAACCUGCAAACAUGACCAACACCUUCAAUAUGGACUGUGAAGUCUGCAAUAAACUGCAAAAUGUCAUCCACCCUCUGCAUAUAUAAAAUUAUCAGUGACUCGAAGACAUUGACCACACUAAAAUGAGAUGAGAUGAAAUCUCUAAAAGCUGCCAACCUCUGGAACAACAUACACAAGCAAGAAUGGGGUAAGGAAAAUGGAGACCAUCUCCUCAAGUAACAUCAUUCCUGUAUACUGCAUCAGAAAAGGGUCCAUAAGAGGCAAGGAGAAGAUUGCAACCUUGAUGACAAUAACAAAAAACAAGAAGAGAAAAGAAGAGGAACUACGUAUUUCAAACAUAUGAAAGCAAAAAGCAUUAAGAAAAUUAAUGACUUAUAAUACCUCAGCAUAUUCAAAAGGGCUGAGAAUCCUCUCCCAAAUUCCCCAAUUAGGAAAACACCACAAAAUUCUUCACUCCUUCACUCUCAACCCACACUCCUAUUUAUAACCAAAAAAAACCCUAAAAAACUUACUAACUAAUUACUAUUUUGUUCCUUCUAAUACCCAUUCUAAUAUUCUACUAAAAACCUACUAUUUCAAUAACUAGGACCCUUAAACUAUAUUACAACAUCCUCAUUCAUUGACAAACAACAUCCAAAACGAAAAUCCAGUUUUAUUGGCUUACCAUUUUCGAAGUGAAUCCAUAAGAUGAUAACUAACAAUAAAUAAAUAUGAAAAUAAAUGAUUUAAGAGGAAGUGGGGCUUAGAUUGUGAAUUAGUAAGGGCAGCCCACUUUGAUGGCUAAGUCACGUGACGUAAGAGAGUCUAAGACAAGAGGAAUUUAGAGAAUAUGAGUAGGAAAGCAGGUGUGCUUGCGUGAACUGAGGUGGUUGAGUCUGAAAGACAAGGAGGAGCUCUCUAACCUUCCUUGAAUCAUACUCACUUUGUUGAUUCGUAAUAUUAGCUUAAAUACACACCAGCCACACAGAGAAUGAGAUAAAAUGUUAGCUAAUUUACCUGAAAAAGGGUUUCAAAUUCUAGUCGAACAAGCUCAGAAUUUUCUUUGCCACGCCAUCUUUUCGGCAUAUAAUGAGUAUGCUGGACAACCAUGGACAUUGCCCCCUCAGGAUCUAAAACUAAGAUCUCAUCUGUAACUGCAGCCCGACUAAUCGCAGUUAUAGUUCCAAAAACAGCAGCGUACCAGAGGAGGUUGCGGCCAAAAAUCUGAAUGGUAAGAGAAUGUAUUUAGAUUAAAGUACACAGUGAACAAUAGGUUAAUGGGCUAGGAGAAAAUGAAAUAUAUAUUACAUGGCCCUCCAGUAAAGAUUCGUCCAGAAAAGCAAUGAUAAUCAGAAUAGCAGCAAAGCCACCAAAGACAAAUGAGAUGAACUUUGCAAUUAUCGAAAUAAUGGGAGAUGGAAAUUGCUUUAGAUACUCUGAAGCAUGAAGCACACUGCUAUUGAUCCUGUGCUUGAACAAAUGCAUAACCUGCCAAAACAUAGAAUGCAAUAACAAUUCUAUAUGAAACAGUUUUUAAGAACAAUGAAAAAUCUAUGUUAUUACAUAAACAUUAUCUGUCACACAUGACACAUUACAACCUAAAUCUUUCUUUUUUGUUAUGUCAUAAUCAUUAUCUUCCACAAGUUACAGCCAACAUUUAUUCAGCACAACUUUUUACAAACAGCUAGCAAAUAGAAUAAUUGAGCAUUUGGAUAAAGGGAUAAAUUUUACUUCAUUUAAACCCAAAGAGUCAUUAUACCUCAUUAUAUUCCCUAAAUAUCCACUUCGACAAAUUUGACCACCUUCGAGAUGAUGCUGUACUUGGGUGGUUAUAGAACUGUUCAGCGUGUCUUAGAAAGAGGUAGACCAACAUGAAUAUGACCAGAAACGGAGAAAGCAGGAGCAUUACUACUCCAACUACCCUAAGCCUUUUCUUCAAUGUUCUAGGGUUGGAUAUGAACUCCCUUCUGACGCAGUAAUUACUGAAACAGUAAUAUGCUUAAGUCAGCAGAUAUUCUACAUAGCAAGCAGAAAAACUUUAAAUCUUUGAUAUUUAAGACACCCCCGUUGGGUUUUCUCUUUUCCUUUCUUUAGUAUUAUUUACAAAAAAAGGGUUGCAAGCUUACAUUAAUACAAGCUUUAGAUCUUAAAAGCUGUAUAUAGUAGACAUACUUACAUUUAACAGGGCGAAGGUGAGAGAUAACAUUAUACUUUCUGUCAAGUAGAUCAUACAUACACAUGGUAAUUACCACAAAAUAUGUCUCCCUUCUUAAUGUUUGAUCCAUCUAAGACCUAGCUGAAGCCAUUUUCUAAAUAAUAGAGAGAAUAAUUACAGCAACAAACAUACCGAUCAAACAUGCUCUGUAGUAUACACCAAUUCAAGGUCCAUUCAAGACUCUUUGUCAAUGUUAAUCGGUAAUGAUUUCCAGAAGAGUCAAAUUUCACAGCUGGGCCAGCACCUGGGACCCAUUUCGGAAUUGGAAAAGCAAGUACUCCUUUGUUAAGCAUCCCAAUCAGAUAGUUCUCUUUCCGCAUCAAGCGCAUGACCACAUCAUGAGCAGAAAGAUCCUUAGUCACACAGAGUUGACAAGUACUUUGCAGCUCAACAACCUUCUCAAGAAUUGUCGCCCAUGGCAUAGUUUUGAUUUCAUUGUCAGAUAUGUGAAGACUUCACAGGAAAAAAAACAAGAGACUGAAUUAUUAUGAAUCUAAGAUCUCUUGUAAACGGUAGCUCAUAAUAAAGUAAUAAACAGACGAAAGAAAGAUUUUAAAAGCUAUAACGAGGGAAAUAGUAAGGAGAAAGGAGUUAUAAAGUCGGGGGAGUUGUGAACUCCUAGACCCCACAGUGUAAGGAUGUUUUUUUAGUGGUGGGACCUACAAACUCCUUGGGCCAAACAAGGAGUGGAGUUCAUAACUUCAUUCUACUCCUACUUCCAAAAUCCUUGGUCAAGCACACUCUAAAUGUUUUCAGAACUCAAUGACAAAGUUGUACAAACAUUCAGAACAAAUCUUGUGUGUGUUCUUAAAGGAAAAAAAAAUAUCAUUAGGGUAACGAGAAGAUGCUAAUACUCAAGGAUACAAGAAAACAGAAACAAAGCAAAAAAACAGCAAAACUUAGAAAUAAAAAUCAUUAAACUAAUUGAAAAACAAACUUAGAAACAAAAACGUAAACCUAAGGUUGUUUAAAAGCAUUAAAUCAAUUCAUAAGGUUUGUUCAACGAACCUGUUGUAAUAGAAGUGACGGAUUCCUAAAAUGUCCUUCAGCUGUGCAAAAAACCUAAAAAAGCAAAAGAUCCAAUAAACAGAAAAUAUGCCUAAAUAUCCAAUGAUGAUAGCUUUUGAAACUGUCAUAUGGUGCAAGGGGUGCUCGUGAAGAGCUUCCUUGGCAAGAUCACAUGGUUUAGUUCCAGAUUCCACUGCAUCCAUCCCACACUUGGCAUUGCGGAGACCAUUCCAAUCAACAAAUAGUAAGAAAAAUGCUGAGAAACAUAUGGUAAAGCCAAGACUCAGAAGCUCUACUAUCCACUUCGUAAUGAUGCACCAAAGCCCUUUGUCACAGUAAUAGCUAUAAAGCCUUUCAAAAAAUAGGUCCAAGUCAGCAAUUGGUUCCACAUUCAAACGCUCCCCAUCAAGAAGCCCAGUAGGGCUCUCACUACCAGGAUUUGGCACUCUUCCAAAGGUAGAUAGUUCAAUCUCUGGUGGCACAUCCUUAAGCAAAGCAGAUGUUAAAGAUGAUUCACCAUGGGAUUUCCAUCUAAAAAUUCCAACAUUAUCUGCACCCCCUGUUCCACUGAGCAUCAUUCACAGAGAUGGACAGUGGGCAGAUACAGCAAGUCCAUUCCCUGAAAGAAAUUGAAAGAGAUAGCAAUAAGAAAAAAUUGAGCAACCAAUAUCAAAAUAUUAAUGUAUGAUGGAAAGAUGGUUUGUCGAGAGAAAGUUUAUAGAGGCAAUAUAAUUUUGUUUUGAAGAGGAGACCAACCUCUUUAUUAAUGAAAAACCUCAAACUACAAGAGAGAUAUACUAUGAGUACAAACAAAGAGACCAAAGGAUCAGUGGGCACAACCAUUUAUAAAGGCAAUAUAAAUCAAAGCCCAACUAUCAUGUUGCAUUGGUAGUCGACGGCGACUUAAGUAAAGGGGUCAUGGACAAACUUAUGCAUUUAACUUCAGAUGGUAAGUAUGGCAUUAACAUAAUUUUGUACAAGAGGAAAGAUUUAAGUCAAAAACACUUUAAGAAACAAUCAAAUUACAUUUUAAACAGUCUGAACAUGUAGAAAAACUUGAAGAAAAGACAGGGGAAGGUCUUUUGGAUAAAGUUCCGAAACAACUUAAAUCUUAAAUCCUUAGCCAAUUACAUAACUCAUCUUCUAAAAAUUGACUCCAUUUGAAUUCAACAAGGUUCGAAAUGGAAGGCUUACACAAAAUAAGAUGUAUUUUUGUAUAGUGGUAUUCCAGAACAAGCAAUAAACAGGUUUUGAGCGGGAAUCAACAUAUCAUAUGCAGAAGCAAAAAUAUAAGAAAUUCUCGAGCACAACAAAUUUAAGUAUUUAUUGCCUGCAGUUACAAAAUAGGCAUUCUUGAACUGAAAAAAAAACAAAAGAAAAGAGGCACGCAGCACAAAGCUGCUACAGAGUAAUGAAAGUUUCCAGGAUGUUUGGUGGAUGAGUAACAGAAAAACUACUUGGUCCUAUAUGUCAUUGAGAUUCAAGGAUGUAUAGGAAAAUUAGAGGAUGAAAGGACUCUUCAAGAAGGGAGGUCAGUAACCUCAAGUGCUUUGAAGAAAGCAACAUAAACAGGGAUAACGCAUAGGUGAUUCUUGGUUCAUUUUUAGAACAUUUCUUCACCCUUUCUUUCAUUCAUCAUGAUUCAUGACACUGUUAUUUGUGUAACAAUGCAGCAUCUAAUUAAACCUGAAGUUGAAGAGCUAGGGUCCCAUUUGGUAACGGUUUGUUUUUUGAGUUUUUGUUUUUGAAAAUUAAGUCUAUAGACGCUACUCCCACCUUCAAAUUCUUUUUUUGUUAUCUUCUUUUUUACCGAUGGUUAAAAAAUCGAACCAAUUUUUUAAAACAAAAAAGACUAAAGUAGCUUCUAGAAACUUGUUUUUCUGUUUGUAGAAUUUGGCUAGGAAUUCAAACAAUUGUACUUGACAAAGAUGCAAAUCGUGGUAAAAAAUGGGGAGGAAAUAGGCUUAAUUUUCAAAAACCAAAAACAGAACCAAAAUGGUUAGAGCUAAAACUGGUAGUUUCAAACUGAAUACCACGACUUGUAUGAUAUCCCUCAAAUUAAGAAGCUAAUUUUCUUGAGGAGAAGAUAUAAAUGAUAGAAUUUUAAAAGAGCAAGCCAGGGAACGAGAGGAAAGACGGCAGGCUAGAAGAGUCUGAAUUUAGACAAUUACACACUUAGAAAAAGGGAUGGAAGGGGAAAAAGAAGCCAGAUGAUCGUGAAUAGAAAUCAUAUACCAUAAUCAGUAAGCAAAAAACACAUAAAACCCACAAAAGAUUGGGAGGGAUAAAGAGCAAGAGUCGAAAAUUUUGCGGAUGAAGAACCCAAGAUAAUCAAGAAUCAUUCAAACCCAUUUGGAGCGCAAAAUUCUCAUUUGUCGUUUACAAAUUCUAAGAGAAGCUAGUUCGAGAGAGUAAACCCAACAUUCCAAUUCACUAACAUUUAAACUCAAACAAAGAAUAUCAUACAAUACUCUCAAACAAAUGAUGAUAAAAAAAAUAUCAAAAGGAAGCAAAAUAAGCAGCUGGGUUUUUUAGAAGAGAUUACCUUCAAAAAAACAUGAAUGAAGGGGGUGAAGUAGAUAAAGAUAAGACAAACCAAAGUCGAAAUUACUUAUGUGGAUGAUCGGGAAAGAUUAAAAUUGGGAAAAGAGAAGGAGGGUAUCAAAGAAACGAGGGUAAUCGAUAGAAACAGAGGGGAAAUCAAAAGGGGAAAAUCAAAGGGGGGAAAACGAAGGGGUUGCGUGUAAGGGAAGAAGAAAUUUUAGAGAAUGAACGAAUGAAUGAAUUUGCUGAAGGAAGAUUAAGUUGAUUGAGAGUUCAAUUGUGAGUUGGUUUGAAUAAAGAACUGGGAUUUGAGAAUAAGAAGAAGAAAAUGAGAGUCCCGGAAGAAGAAACGUGAGCUUCGGUAAUUCUUCCCUUACCCUCUUUUCCACAGCCUUAAUCGAGCAGACUGCUCCUUCGGUUGCCCCUUUUUCUUUUCUUUUUUCUUUUUUUUUUCAGAUUCUUCAAAUCAUUAAUUUAUUUAGGAAAGCCUUACUCAAUUUAUAUAAUUUUCAAAGAAUUAAUCAACGGCUUUAUUUCAUAAUUCUUGUAAUACCUUACCCUAGUGAUGUGAAUAAUUUUUUUUAACAAAAAAAAAACUUUUUUCAAGGUAAAACUAUUUAAUCUUUUAAAUUCUAUAAUCUACCCUUACAUAUUACAUGAACGUUUGAAUUUAAUUAAAAAAAUGUUUUUUAAUAAAUUUAUUUUUGUUUAAAUUUAUUUUUCUAAAAAUUGUUUAAAAUACACCUAAAAAUCUGACUUCCACGCAAUUUUAGAGUGUGUUUUGAUUAAUUUUUGAAGUAUUUAGCUUUUAAAAUAUUUCAUUUUAAUAUAAAUUGAGGUGUUUGACAUUGAUUUAAAAUAUUUUUUAGAAAAAUGAAAUUAUGAAUUAAAUCAUUUUAGAGCAAAAACAUUCAACCAAAUUUUAUAAUAAAUGUUUAUUUGGUGUUGAAUGAGAAAUCUCUCCCAAAUAUCUAUUUUUAUUCAUUUCUAUUCAUUUUUACUAUCUAUUUUUCCGUGGUGCUCUUUUUGUUUUUCUUUUUAAAUGCUUUGAAUAUUUUGUAGUGUGGGUUCAUAUUAUACAUUUAAAUAUAGAAAUUUGCAAAUAUUCCUCCUUCAGUCAAAUAUAUUUUGCCUUAACAUCUGGAAAAGAAACUACGAGGACAUCAAUAAAGAACAUGAUCGUUCGGUUCCUGAAAUGAAGAUGAAUGAAAAAUGUGAUCGAAUUGCACUUUCUUUUGUCUAAUUGAUAUUAUAUUGUCUCGAAAAAAUUAUUUAUCUUAUUUAUAUUUUGUUGUUGGAAAUCAAUUGUUUUUUUAAUGGUUAUGUAUUUACAUUUGAAGAUAUUUGUGCUCUUAAAAUUGAAUUGUCCAAAAAAAAUGAAAUUAAUGCUUAGUUUCAAGUAACUAAAAAAUUAAUAAUUUCAAGAUAUUGUGCGACUAAUUUUAAAAUAUAUUUUUGAAAAAAAGAUUCAAUGUGUAUUUCUUUAUAAAAUUAAUUCAUAAUUUAAUAGUCUUUUAAGGUAAUUUGACCUAAAUAUAAACAUUGUUAGUAUAAGACAAAUCAAACACAAUUUUGCGUAUAAACAUUUAUAAAAAGGUCAAACCAAAUAUGUAAGUGUUUAGAUUUUAAAAUCAUUUUACAAAAAAGGUUUUUUAAAAAAUGUAUUCUUAAAAAAACAUUUUUGUAUAGAUAAUCCAAACGGACCCUUAUUAUUAUUUUUAAAUAACUUAUUUUCUAAAUUAAACGCUUGAAAAAGUAAUUCAAACAUCUCAUAAAAUUUUUGCAAUUACUUAGGACAAAACGAAGAUUUAAAAAAUCAGAAUUCUAAAAUAAUAAUUUUGGACAAAUUUGCUCUCUCAAACUUUAAUUAAUUACAUAUCUGAUUUAAAUGGACACUUUAACCUUUUGAAAUUUGAUUUUAACUUUUUGACCAAAAUUAAGUACUUUAAUUUAUAAUUAAGUAAGAAGGUCUUUCAAAAAUUAUAACAAAUCGGUAAAAUAUUUACAGUCUUCAUAUUUAGUAGAGAAUCGUUUAAAUUUGGGUUGUAAAUUCUCAGCGAUUUCUUUUUCAAUAAUUUUUUUGUACUCGUUUAUAGUUGAUAAACAAUCGUUUAUAUUUGGUAUAUAAUUGUUUAUAUUUGGAAUAUCAUAACACGGUCAUUUAUAUUUGGAACACGAUCAUUUGAUAGUUUAAAUUUAGCUACCUAAAUCUAAACGAUUUUUUAAAGAUUCUUUUUACAUGAUAGAUUUAGAUAUUUGGUACACAAUUGUUUAGAUUUGAUUAUACAAUAUCCCAACGAUUUUUUCACGAUCUUUUAUAUUUGGCACAAUCAAAUAACAAUUUGAAAAAAAAAUAGAUUUUUUAUUUGAUACACGAUCUUGAAUCAAAUAACAGUUUGAAAAAAGAUAAAAGAAAAUCUGUCGACGAAAAGAAAAGGAGGAUGGAAAGAAAAAAAAAUCGUAGAAGAUGAACGAGAAAAAAGAUGAUGAAAAUGAGGGGCAAACCUAGAAUAUUUUUUUAAAAUGACUAGUUUUAUAGGCUUUUUCAUUUUGUUACGUGGGUCGUAAAUAUUUUACCCGAUUAUUAUGUUUAUGAAAAUUAACCUUUAGUUUAUAUAUAUAUAUAUAUAAGAGUAAUGAACCUUAGAAAAUUCUUCCACCUCGCUUUUUAAAGAUGUAUGAUAUAUUUAUAAAUGGGUCUUUUAAAAAAUAUAACAAAACAACAAAAUAUUUACAUAGUAUAGAACAAUUUCGAAAACAGAAAAAGUCCACAGGACCACAAUAGAAAAUACAAAAAUGUUUGUCAUUAAUUUGCAUCCAAUGUGAAAUAUAUUGAGAAAAUGAUCGUUUAAAUUAAACUAUUCAUUCUUAUACGAUCAUUUAGAUUUGGGUAGACAAAUCUCAACGAUUUUUUAAAAAUAUUAUUUGGUACACAAUCGUUUAUCUUUUGAUAAAGAUAGCUUAUAUUUUGAAAAUGAUUGUUUAUAUUUAGAACAUGAUCGUUUAGAUUUGGAUAGUCAAAUCUCAACGAUUUUUUUCAAGAUUUUUGUACACAAUCAUUUAUAUUUGAAAAACCAUAGCUUAUAUUUGAUCAUUUAAAUUUGUGUAGACAAAUCUCAACAAUUUUUUUCAAGAUUUUUUGAUACAUGAUCGUUUAUAUUUAGAAAACGAUUGUUUCUAUUUGAAAAAUCAUAAUUUAUAUUUGGAACACGAUCGUUUAGAUUUGAUCAUUUAAAUUUGGGUAACCAAAUUUCAACGACUUUUUUCAAGAUUUUUUUUUUGUACACGUUUAUAUUUAAAAACGAUUGUUUAUAUUUGGAAAACCAUUGUUUAUGUUUGGAACACGAUCGUGUUUAUUUUAUUGUUUAAAUUUGGGUAGUCAAAUCUCAACGAUUUUUUUAAAAAGAUUUUUUGGUACACAAUCGUUUAUAUUUUGAAAAAGAUAGUUUAUAUUUUAAAAUUGAUUGUUUAUAUUUGGAACACAAUCAUUUAGAUUUGGGUAGUCAAAUCUCAACUACUUUUUUCAAGAUUUUUUUUACACAAUCGUUUAUGUUUGGAAAACCAUAGUUUAUAUUUGGAACACAGUUGUUUAGAUUUGAUCAUUUAAAUUUGGGUAGACAAAUCUCAACAAUUUUUUUUUCAAAAUUUUUUGGUACACGGUCGUUUUAUUUGGAAAAUGAUUGUUUCUAUUUGGAAAAUCAUCAUUUAUAUUUGGAACGCGAUCGUUUAGAUUUAAUCAUUUAAACUUGGGUAACCAAAUCUCAAUGAUUUUUUUUCAAGAUUUUUUUGGUACACAUUUAUAUUUGAAAAACGAUUGUUUAUAUUUGGAAAACCAUUGUUUAUAUUUAAAACACUAUUGUUUAGAUUUGAUCGUUUAAAUUUGGUUAGCCAAUAUCCCAAUGAUUUUUUUUCACGAUCUUUUAUAUUUGGAACAACCAAAUAACAGUUUGAAAAAAAUAUAAAUGAAAAAGUAUAAAAGAAGAAGAGAAAAAUAGGAUGGUAAGAUAAAAAAUUGCAAAAGAGGAAAAGAAGAAAGAUGAUAAAAAGGAAGAGCAAACCUGAAAUAUUUUUUAAAAAAUGUCCAGUUACAUGAUCUUUUUCAUUUUGUUACCCAGGUCGUAAAUAUUUUGUCGGUUUCUUAUAUUUAUAUAAAUUAAUCAUUUAUAAAUUUAAACUUAAAACAUACACUAUAACAAAAACUAUCUACUAUGACACUUGUGUAUAUCACAAAAUGGGAAGGAGAAGAAAAAGCUAUCACAAAUUGGAAAAAUUCACGUUUUUGGCAGGAGAAGACAUAAUUUUUUUGGAUAACACUUUCUGUGACAGUUAUUUUAUGUCAUAGAAAAAACAUAAAAUAAUUUUUUAUUUUUUAUUAAAAUAAAAAAGAAUAAAUUAAAAUUAUAAAUUUAUAAAAUAUUUUCCCCAAAUCUAAAACCCUUCAUUUUUCCAAAUCCUGCCGCGAAGAAGGUCAUCUCCAAUCCGACCAUCUUUCGGCCUCAUCACCACUACCGCCCCCUCGUGCCCGUCUGUUCAAUCAAUGCUGCCACAACCUCCUCUACCAAACGACGAAACAUCAUAUGCCUCAAGUUCUUCAAUUCGUGCCAAUCAUCUCCAAACCGCCGCAAUCUCUUCAAAGUUCAAACCGUAGUUGUCACCUCCUUCACCAGUAAGCUUAUGUUCCUUCUCUCCUUUUCUCUCUCUCUCUCUUUGAUGUUGUUCUCUCUAAUUCUUUCCUACAACUCCAUGGGCCAAACUAGGUGUGUUUCUAUUUUCUGGUUUUGUUUUUUGAGUUUGAGUUCUUUCCAUCUUCUCUUUUCUAUUUUUCGAUUUUCUAUUAUCUGGUAUUGUUGGGUAAGUAGAAUCCCUAAAGAAAAUUGUAUCGGAAAAUCUAUUUUCAUGCAUUUUGCUAAAGGAAACGGUGGAUUUCUGUUGAAAUUUCUAGUUGUGUUGAGGAGUUUUAGAUAGUGUACGUUGGGUCAUUAUCUUAAUUUGAAAUAUGUGUUGAGCUGAAAUUUCUUGUUGUCUAUGUUUGUUUGAACAUAAAUGAAGCCACAACUGCUAAAUUUGUAUGUGAAGAAAGGAGUAGUGUAAUUAAAUAAUUGUUUUGUUUAAAAAUUUGUUACAGUUAUUGUUAAUGGUAUGUUUGAUUUACUUACUGUUAUUGUUAAUGGUAUGUUUGAUUUACUUACUGUUAUUGUUAAUGGUAUGUUUGAUUUGUUUUUGGAUUGUAUAUGUCUAAUGAUGCUUUCUAAACUUUACUCUUAGGAACAAUUAAAUUGAUUUUCUUUAAGGUUGAGUUUGUUGUCUUCAUAGUAUGUGUUUGAUUUGAUUUUGAUCUUCCAUCAGCAGUCUUCAAAAUAUAUAUGUUUGAAAUAUUUAAUCAAAGUUAUUAGACUGAAGCAUCUUACAAAUAGCUUUCAUCACAAAAGUGUAAUUCUCAUUUGAAUUGGUUUUAUAAUUUUCAAAUACAACUUUAUAAGUUGUUGCAAAGGAAGUGUUUGAAUAGUCAAGGUAGUCUUUUUUUCACCUAUAUUCAAAAGCUACAUUCAUCUAUAGCUUGUUCCAUGCUAAAUAGACACAUAGUAAUUUACGACAAUUAUAAAAACGAAAGUGUAAAAUACAAUUUGUUAAGCAAAUGGAUGCACUUAUUGGAUUUGAAUUUCUUUUUUCCAAGUUUUUUGAAACGUUAUGAAGCAAAGGGUUAAGAAAUUCCCAAGAUUGUAUAUGGAAUCUAUGUACUGUAGGAUGUAAUUACUCAUUGAUUUCCUUAAGUUUCUGCCCAAUAUCUUUUUUGUAAUCAGGUUUAUUUAGGGACCAAAUUAAAAGAUUGAAUUUUUAUACAUCUACAUAAUGGACAAGUCAUGGAUGACGGAAAAUAGGAUGUCUAGAGAAUAUGAUUUAGGAGUUGAAAGGUUCAUUCAAUUUGGUUUGAGUCAUGCCAAAGGUUCUAAUUCAAUUAGAUGUCCAUGUUUGAAUUGCGGGAAUCGUUUACUUAAGGAUGUCUCAAUAGUUCGGUAUCAUUUGUAUGCCCAUGACACUGAUAAAAGUUACAAGGUAUGGUUCUGGCAUAUGGUGAAUAUUUGAACUCAGAGAACGUUACCAGCAUAAUAGAAAAUACAGUGGAUGAAAAUGAUGAAAACGAUGAUUUAUUUAAUAUAGUUAAUAUGGUUCAUUUCGUUCACGAACAAUCUUCUAAUGCAUCCAAUACCUUUGAUACUAUGUUCAACGACGCAAAGAAACCUUUAUACCCAAGAUGUAAGAAAUUCACCAAGUUGUCAGCCCUCGUAAGAUUAUACAACUUAAAGGUUAGGUAUGGUUGGAGUAACACUAGCUUCUCUGAAUUAUUGUCCAUAAUAAGCGAUCUCUUACCUGAAAACAACGAAAUUCCAAGUUCCUUAUACGAAGCGAAGAAAACACUAAGUGCCUUAGGACUGAGUUACCAAAAGAUCAAUGUAUGUCCUAAUGACUAUUGUUUGUACAGAAAAGAGUAUGAAAACAUGACAAAAUGCCCUAAGUGUGGUUUGUCAAGGUCGAAGAUUGCUAAAAACUCAAACAAUGAAAAAAGUGGGGUGGCUGCCAAGCAGAUGUGGUACUUCCCAUCAGUUCCACGAUUUGUAAGAAUGUUCAAGAGAUUUGAGAAUGCUAAGAACUUUCGUUGGCAUGCGAUCAAUAGAAAAGUUGGUGGUAUUUUAAGACACUCGGUUGACACUCCAUCAUGGAGGUUGAUUGAUCACAUGUGGCCAACCUUCGAGUCAGAACUAAGAAAUCUCCAUUUGGGUUUGUCCACUGAUGGAAUUAACCCAUUUGGAGAUUUAUCAACGACCUACAGUUGUUGGCCUGUUAUUACUACAAUAUACAACCUUCCACCAUGGUCGUGUAUGAGAAGGAAGUAUUUAAUGUUGACAAUGAUAAUAUCAGGUCCAAAGCAACCAGGAUACGAUAUCAACACGUACUUAGCACCUUUAAUUGAUGACCUCAAAAUGUUGUGGGAAGUUGGAGUUCAGUGUUUUGAUGCAUAUAAAGAAGAAUAUUUCACAUAGUGGGCUGUCUUAUUGUGGACGAUCAAUGAUUUUCUAGUAUACGGUAAUCUGUACGGUUGUAGUGUGAAAUGAUAUAAGGUUUGUCCAAUAUGUGGAGAGGAGACUACUUCAAUAAGACUACAACAUGGGGAAAAAAAAACUCAUACAUGGAACACAGGAAGUAUUUGUCAAUACAUCAUCCAUAUAAAAUACAAAAAAAAAAAAAAAAAAAAAAAAAAGACUUUGAUGGUAAGCAGAAGCAUUAAAGUCCUUCACAACCCCUGUUAGGAGAGACCAUGUACUUCAAACUGAAAGACAUGAUAUUUUCAUGUGGAAAGAAGUGUGUAAGAAAUUGCAUAAUGAAGGUAGCAAUGACUAUUGAAAAAGAAUAUCAGAAUUUUUUUAACUACCAUAUUGGAAACACUUGCAUGUACGUCACUCUCUAGACGUAAUGCAUAUUGAAUAGAAUGUAUGCAUGAACAUAGUAGGCACGUUACUUGAUAUAUCAGGAAAAAGUAAAGAUGGGAUGAAUACUAGACUUGAUUUAGUUGAAAUGAAAAUUAGACCAGAAUUGGCACCAACGUUUAUAGAUAAUAGAACUUACAUUCCUGCAGGGUAUUAGUUUUGUAAGACUUUGUCCGAUAUUAAAGUUCCAGAAGGGUAUUCAUCAAAUAUUAAAAGUCGUGUCUAUUUGGAUGACUUAAAAUUGACCGGCCUUAAAUCACAUGACUGUUAUGUUUUAAUGCAACAACUGCUUUCAAUUGCAAUACGUUGAGUCCUACCGAACAAUGUGAGAUAUACUAUCAGUAGAUUGUGCUUUUUCUUCAAUGCGAUUUGCGCUAAAAGUUUUUCUGUCUUAGAGCUUGAUGCAUUGCAAGAUGAUAUAGUUCUGACUUUAUGCAAUCUUGAGAAGUAUUUUCCACCCUCAGUUUUUACAAUUAUGGUUCAUCUUGUCAUUCAUCUCGUGAAAGAAGUAAAACUUUGUGGACCUGUAUAUUUAAGGCGGAUGUACCCAUUUGAACGAUGCAUGAAAGUCUUGAAAAGUUAUGUUCGUAAUAGAACUCAAUCGGAAGGAUGCAUUGUAGAAGCACAAAUAUGUGAGGAGGCUCUUGAAUUCUGUUUGAAGUUUCUUUCUGGAUUAGAUCCUAUUGGACUUGGGUCACUCAAUUCAAUGGAAGACAGACAUAGCGAUAGACCACUGUCAAUAGGAACGUACGUUCGACCCGAUGUGCAACAAUUGAAGCAAGCACAUCUUCACGUCUUACAGAACACUGAAGAAGUUCACCCAUACAUAGAGUAAGCGUUUCUAUGAUCAUAAACCACCCUUAAUUUACCCCUCACAAAGCAUGAAGUUAAUGUAUGACAUAUUUUGUAGAUGACAUUUGAAUUUGUUGAAAAUGGAAAACCAAAGAAGAGUAAAAAAUGAACAGUGACUACAACUUGAACAUAAUCGAUCCUUCGGUGCAUGGAUACGAGAUCAGGUAACUGAAAUAUUUAAUUGCAUUUAUGCUUUUUUCUUAUUGAUGAAUAGUUAGAAUGACUGACUAUCCUCUUCAAUAGGUUAUGAGUGAAUUACAGGAAGGAAAGGUUGUCUCAAACACAAUACGCUGGCUUGCACAUGGGCCCUACCAUGGUUUAAUGACGUAUAAGGGGUACAUGAUUAAUGGAACUUGUUGCCACACAGAGUCCCAUGAUGACUAUUGAAUUAUUCAAAACAGUGGGAUUAUGUUAGUCGCAUCGACAAUUCAAGUUUCUAGUGCAAAGGACAAAAAUCCGAUCGUUGGCGACAUGUCUUUCUAUGGGACGAUUUAAGAGAUUUGGGAAGUCAGCUACAAUACGUUUAAGGCUCUACUUUUCAAAUGCAAUUUGGUUGAAAAUAAGACUGAUGUUUGAAUGGACGAUCUUAAUUACACGCUCGUUAACCUUAGCCGAAUCAGACACACUUUAGAUUCAUUCAUUAUUGCCACGCACGGGAGACAAGUAUUCUAUGUGACAGAUCCUGUUGAUGAACGAUGGUUGGUUGUUGUUAUGCCACCACAUAAAGAAUUUCCUUACAAAUGUGCUGAUGAGACAUGUUACUGCACUAUCCACCAGUUUCGAAAUGGACAACAACAGGUGAUAUUGAUGAAAUGGACGAAUCAUACGCUAGACGUGAUUGUGAAGGCACAUGGGUUACCACUUGACUUUCAAAAGUAUGUAAAGUAAGACUAUUAAUGAAUGUGGUACUUGAGCUUAGGUUAUUUGCUUGUGUUCAAUGUUCAUUACAUGUAAUUAAUGACCGUGGUUUUUUUUCUUUGUAGGACAAUGUCAUUUUGAGAUACGAUUACUUCAAAAUCUAUCGUUAUCAAGCUUUCAAUUCAUGUUCAAUUGUUUUUUUUUUCGAAUAAAACUAUUGUGUACUAGAUAAUAUGCUAUAUUAAUAGUGUUAUGUGUGUUCUACCAUAGUCAUUAUGAAUUUUGCGUACUUAAGUGAGUAAGAACAAUUUAUUGAUUUAUUUGAGAAAUGACAGUUGAUUCACAAUUAUCAAAUUAUUUUUCUAUUUCUUUCUUAUAAUUACAUAUGCAUUUUUCCUGACAUAUAGUUUCUUUUGUUAUUAUUGAAACUAGAUUUGCAGAUAUGGUUAAUUUAGGAGACGACAAUAAGGUAGUGGUCAUCCUUCUACACCACAUGAUGUAGGGGAGAGUAGUAGCACUAAGAGAAAACGUGGCCCUAUCGGAAUGAAAGAGAUAACACGUGUUAGUAGCGAGAGUCGAAAAUUAGUGGUCGACUACAACAAAUUGGGGCAACUAAUUGGUCAGAAUGCAAUGAAGCUGAAAAGUUUAUAGGAACUACAGUAAGGUUUCACGUUCCAAUAACAUACCCAAGUUGGAAUGCGGUGCCCAAAGAGAUGAAGAACACUAUAUUUGAACUAAUUGAGGUAACAAUCCUUUAAGUCAUUUCAAGUAUAAUAAAAUUUCCCGUUUAUCAAGCUGAAUAUUUAGGAUGUGCUUUUUGGCAUUGUAGGCCGACUUCGUUAUUGAUUCGAAGUCAAAGAGAAAUGUCCUUCAGAAUGCGAAAGUAUGCUUUCGUGGGUUUAAGUCCAGAUUGACAACGACUUACUAAUGUCGUUUAAGGACAAUGCAGAAAAGUUAAAGUAUCCCCCGAAUGAGUACUCAUUCAUCGAUCAAAACCAUUAGGCUGAAUUUGUGGCUUCACAAUUGAGGGAUGAUUUCAAAGUAAGUAUGAAUAUAAAUUUUUCUAGAACAUAACUUUCUAUAUUAAAGUUUGGAAAAAUUGAAUUUGUUCCUUUUUUUUUCUUUAGCUUUAUUUCAACAUCUAUAUAAGAAAGUAUUCAUCUAAGUUGUGUUGAUAUGAUUUUAUUGUAAAGAAAAAGAGUGAGGAAGGGAAACAAAAAAUGAAGCAAAAUAAAUACAACCAUCGGGCAUCGAGAAAAGGGUAUGCAAAUUUGGUUGAGGAGUUGGUAAGCCACGAUCUUUGUCAUAAUUGAUUAUCCACGUAUUACACAUGUAUUCUUUGAAUAUUGUUGUUUUAUUAUAUAACAUUUAUUCUUUACAUAGCGUGCGUCUUCUUCGUCCAAAGAAAUUGAUUGAUCAAUAGUGUGGAAGCAUGCACGUUUGGAUCGUAAGGGAGAAAUUUGUGACGAAGAGACCAAGGACGUUGUCAAUCUAAUAGUAAGUAAAUACCUUGAAUUUUUUGUUUUCCUACACCAUUAUUCCUAAUAAUUUCCAUUUUUCUUACUUUGCUAGGACGAACUACUAGCUGGCACCCAGAAGAAGUCUAAUUUAUCAAGUGCUGACGAUAUACUAACCCAAACAUUGGGUGGUAAAGAUCGGCCAAGAAUAGUUCGAGGAGUGGGAAAAUAUGUCACGAAGAAAAGGUAUUUCCAUAUCCCAACAGAAUCUAGAUCAAACCAUAAUAACGAUGAUAAGACAGUUUUUGAAGAAUGAGAUGAAAUGGUAAAAAGAAUAAAGGAGUUAGAAGCAGAGCUAUUACAAGUGAAAAAAGGUAAGGGUUCAGUAGGAUGGAAAGAAGAAGCACGGAGAAUGGGUUCAACAAAAACACCAUCCACGAAAGAGGCUUUAGAUAAUGAGGUUGAGGAUGUACCCAAUGAUCCAGAACCGGAGAAAGACGCAAUUGACGAGACAAAAGUGAAGGAAGAAAUGGAGGUUUAUUUUUUUCAACCAUCAAUCCCUACAGUAACAUGCUUGGUUUGUAUACUGUCCUAACUUUGCUUUUUUUCCUACAGGUGAAUAUAUGCAAGGAAGAAGAGAUUGUACCGAAUUUGACUUUAAAUCAAAUGAAGGUUAGUUUUCAUCACAAUUCAUGAAUCCAAAUUGUUGUGUGCUUAUUUAAUAUGUCUACGUGUACGUACACAUAUUUAACAAAUACAUCUACGUAUGUUGGAACCCCGUGUAUGUUGGCAUUUGAAAUGCAAGAUAAUAUCAUUGCCCACGGGACAAUAUUUGAAUCAGAAGUUGGCGAAGACAACAUGAAGGUGUCUCUAGAUGUUGUAUUGGAUAGUGAAUGUGUGAUUCCCAUCCUGACCAAGAAAGGACUGAAGAAAAUGUCACAGGAAGUGGGUUCACAGUUGCUAUGGCCACACCAUUUUGUCCUUACUGGAAAUGAGAAGGUAUUGUGUGUUCUUGCAUUGCUAUUCCCUUGUAAUCAAUUUAUGCUAACCCUAAUUGUAAUCUUUGUUGUAGAACAAUACUACGGGUUCGAGUAAGGAUCCAACCAUAUUAUCUAGUGCAGUAGAUCAACAUUGUCCCGUGGCACUUCGGUGUUUGGUACGAAUAGUAGAGCAAGGGUCAUCGAUUCAAAUAACUGCACCUGUUGAGGUCUUCGGUGUGAGAAGGAAAUGUUGUGUAAUGAUUGAGUCGUUGAGAGAGUUCUCAUCAAUGCAGCCAACAUGUACAACAUGCUUCGAUGCGUAUAUGAUGUAAGUAUGUUCUUACUACACUUAGUGUUCAUUAAAGAAACAUAUAAAUUUUUAUUUGACUUUGCUUCAUUGUCAUUGCACUUGUAGGUACCUAUACACAAUUAUGGAUGCAUGGAAAACUUUGAGUUUAUACAAGUUUUUAGAUGCUGGAUCUGUUAGUUUCUCGAGGUAUAAAGAAUUGCGCGCACAUUGGUUGAAUGCAAGAUUGUUUGGUGCAGAGUAUGACCAACUAGUACUAUUCCCUUAUAAUUUUCGAGUAUGUAUAUGAUCUCUUCACUGUCGUUCAUUUUUUAAUUGACUAUUCUAAUAUUUAGUCAUACUAUUUCAAACGUAUACUUAGUAAUCACUGGAGUUUGGUCGCUGUAAAUCACACGAAGGGUCUUGCGUUCUAGAUAGACCCGUUGAAGAAUCGAAUGGAAAAGAAUAUGUCCGAAGUACUUGAAAUGUAUGUCGUACUUACUUAUAUUGUUCAUUUAUUUUUUCUGUAUGCAACACCCUUUGUGUACGUAACAAUCUUCAAAUAUUUUGUAGGUCUUUCAAUAUGUCAAAUCAAAGGAAACCAAACUGGAGGGUUGUAAAGGUAUUUGAAUUUGUCCAUAAGGAUAGUUCUAAAUUAAUUAUUACCUUUAACAUACAUGUUUUUAUUGUUUGUAUGCAUACACAGUGUCUCAAGCAAUCAAGGGUCAUAGAAUGCGGGUAUUACGUCAUGCGGUUGAUGCAUGACAUAAUUUUGUCAAGGAGUACUUCUGUUAUAGACAUCGUAAGUAUACAAGUUUUAAAACUAUCAUCAUGUAAUUUAUCUUGAAUCAAACUAAUUUACAACCACUUUAUUAUCUAUAGAUGAAAAGUUUACCCAAUACGUGCGCUCAAAGUGAUAUCGAUGAAGUUAGAUCUGAAUGGGCGGAGUUUAUAUCUAAGCACGUAUAUCGUGCUUAACAUCAUAUUUUUCUUAAAUUAUUUUGAAGUAUUUUGGUGGUUUCUAUUUUGUGGAUAUAAUUUUGUGGAACACAGACACAUGUGAAUGUUGAAGACCUUAUUUUGUAACAGACUAAAGGAGCACAAAGGUAAGUUCAUAAUUCUCGUCUCACAUUUAUAAACAUGUUUCUAACUAAGAAUUAAACGGAUAUGAAUGUGUGUGCAUUUAUAUUUUCUCUUAGGAAGACUCCAUUAUUUUUUAAGUGUAAGUCUGUGUUGAAGGAACCCUUUUGUUUGAGGCGUACAACUCGCAGCAAUUGACCCACGUCUCAAUGACAUACAAGCUUGUCAAUCUCGCAAUGCUUCAUUUCUUGGGAUUCUACCUUGGUAUGGUAUUUAUAGUUUUUCAAUUUGAAUCUACUUAUGGUUUAAACUGAAUAUUUAUGAUUUACAAGUUAUGUUUCAAAUUAAGUAUAGUGUUUCUAUUUUAUGGGAUCACAAACAUAAUUUACUAAUAAAGGGUUUGGAGGGGGGUCCAGAAUGAAAGGUUGGGAGGGGGAUUCUGUUUUUUAAUGUUUCUAGUUUUGUUCUGGUUGUAGGAAUUUAGCUAGAUCUCUGAGUGAAGCAUAUGGUUACAUUAGAUGAUUAUUUCAAAGAUAUACAACAAGUUCUAGUUCUUUGUAGAUCUUUUUUGUCAUAAAAACACAUAUUGUGAUAGUUUUUUGGAACUGUCAUAGAAUGACUUUCCAAGACAUGCGAUACUAUGACGGUAAAUAACUAUCACGGAUUUUUCGCAACAGGAAACAACUGUCGUUGUAGAUCUUUUUUUUUUUUUAGUGAUAAAACAAUUAAUUUUAGUAAAUUCAGUUCCAAAUGCUUAAAAAAUAUAAUUUUUCUUGGAAGUUAAACUUCAUUAAAACCAUCAAUUAAUCCCACCAAAAGUUCUAGUAAGGAAUAAAAGACACUAACAUUACCUCAAAAGGGAUUAAGUAAAUUGUCUGAAUUUUUCAUCAUACAUCAACAACUUGUAAGUAAAGCUUUUGGACUUUUUUUUUACACAAAUUCUUCCAAAAUAGAAAAGAACGUAUAUAAAAAUUUGAAAUUAUUUACCUAAUAUAGUUAUCUAUCAAAUUCUCAAUAAUUAAUUUAAGUAUUCUUUUCUUUUUCUAAAGAAGUUUCAAUUUUUUCUAUUCAUAAGAAAUUCUAAAUAAAUAAAUAAAAAACCACAAGCCUUCUUCCUUCCUUGCAAAGUGUACGAACACCAACAAGUGAAUGAAUUUAUAAUUAGAUUUAGUUUGAGUAUUUAUGAGAUAUUGUCAAACCAUAAGUAAUAAAAUAUAGCCUUCAAAAUCAUUUAAACAAAAUUUAAACCUUUUAAAAUCUUUUAAGAUCAAAAUUUUAAAAGAGUAUUUAGUUUAUGCAAUUUCCAUUGUUAUAUUAUUAUUAGUAUUGUUACGUAAAAACUUAGAGAUGAAUGGAGAAUUUUAUUAAACUUGGAGAUGAAUGGAGAAUCUAAAUAAGAUAUGAAAAUAAAAUGAAAAAGAUAAAAAUGAAUAAGUAUUAUGAUAAAUCUAUAUUAAGUUUGAAGGAAGAAUAAAAAAGCUAAUGUGAUCUGUGUGUAGAGUAUCGAACUCCUCUUAUUUUUGGAAAAAUUGAUCAAAGAUCAAGAAUAAUGGAGAACUUGUUCCUAACUUCAAGAUUCUGAAUUCUCCACAAUCUAAUUAAUCAAACUAGAUUAAAAGUCCUAAACAUGCAUUCAACACAAGAAUACAAAAAAAACAUAAAGUAUGAGAGAUAACACUAUGAUAAAUUUCAUUCAAAUUCAAGUUGUCUUCAAAAUGUAGAAACUACAAUCCUAUUUAUACUAAUUAAAAUGUUAUAUAAAAAGACACAACAUUAAAUUAUAUGUCCUUUCAACUACUCUAAUAAAUGAAAGUACAUAUCGUUAAAUAAGUACAUAUAUUAAAGAUGUAAAUGAAUCUAAAAAUGCAUUAAAGAUGUGAAUGAAUCUAGAAAUGUAUUAAAUAUGUUAAUGGAUAUGAAUUUCUAGACUCAUUAUGACCUUUGGGUGUUUAAGUGACUCUUGAAGUUCCAACUCUUCGUUAAAGACCUGAAAAUCUAGCUUGUAAACAAGCAUUUAAUCAAUCUCGAACGCUUUUAGCUCUAGCUUUUGUCAUUGAGACUUGAGCCAUAAUGAUUGCCUUUUGAUUGGUUUGACUUGGAAAGUUAUCCCAUCAAUUUUCAACAUCUGCUUCAAUUUCCUCUUGAUUUGAGUUGAUGUGAGCAUGUUGAAUUUCAUUUUGUGCUUUGUUGUUCAACAUCUUAUUAGUAUCUUAUCACUCUUGCUUUUAUUUUCAAAUUGUAAUUUUUUUUUGUUUAAAUAUGUACCACAACUAAUCAAAUUAAAUAUUUCAAAUAAAAAAAUGUUUUAAAUUGACCUUUUCUAUAACCUAAUCACAAGCAAUAUUACAUAAAAAAAAAAGUUUAUAAUGUCCCACCAAUUUCUUACCAUUUAAAAAAUUGAGAAGAUACAAAUAAAGCUAAUCUAUAUGUUGAUUUUUUUUAUUGUACCCUAUAAUAAUUGUAUGUAUAAUUCAUUUAUUAACUAUUUAAUAAAAAAGUUUAUUUUCAUUAUAGUUGAAUUGCAUGUUAUUGUAUAAUAAUAAUAUAUUCAUAUAAUAAUAUCCAUGAAUAUGUUAUUAUACUCUACCUGUCUCUAAUCGCUUAUUAUUGCGAGAAUAAUAAUAAAUUAAGAUUAAUAUGAGUUAUAAUUAAUGAUCAUAUGAUGAUUAUAUAUGUAGAGAUAUAAAUUACAAUCAUAUUUUCUUAUUAGAGAAUAAGAAUUGAACGGAUCCAUUUUGAGAUUAUUACAUGGACAUGUGUCAUAAACAAUCUAAUAUAAUUGAUUGCUUUCAUCUUUAAACAUGAGAUUAUCUUAGUGUCAAAUAUAAGAACUAAUCUAUUUUGAUGUAAUCAAAUGUUAUCUUUAACCGAAUAAUUAUAAAGGUUUUAUUCAAAUAUGUUAUGAAUUAUGUAGUUGAUAAUGAUUUAUCAAGAUAGAAUUUAUUCUUCUUGUUAUAGAGAGAUAUCUCUAGGCCCCUCGAUUAAGCGUAGCUGUGAAAAUAUAUGGUCAUUUUAUAAAUGAAUUAAUAAGCACUGUAACAAAAAUGACAUUGUCACAUAAUAUCAAAAUGGAAAAGAUGGAAAAUUUUGAAUCGGUUAAAUCUAUGAAAAUUUUUAAAUGUCAUUAAAUAUUAAUAAUAAAAUAAUGAAAAAUUAUUUUAAGUUAAAAUAAAAGAAAGAAAGAAAAGAACCCGAAUCCCCUGAAAUUUUACAUCCUCAGUUUCACGAUCAAAGCCCUUUCUUUUCCCAUUCCCCAAAUUUUUUCAGCCGCAAGAACACGAUAUGUCGUUCCUCUUUUUGGCCACCACUCACGCAUCACAGACGACCACCCAAACUCUACUGGAAAAGCAUGUGGGCCUUUGGCCCAAUUCAAAGUUACUUAUAAUGUUGUCCCAUGUUGGAAAACUUGGAAGAGGCAAAUGUGUUUAAAUAGUGAAGUGCCACUAGUGGGAUACAAAAUUGUGUUGGUGGUGAUAGUAUGACCUUGUUACUAUGUGCGCGAUUAGGCUUUGGCAAUCAUGCUUGUGCGUGAGUAAGGACUUAAAAUAAUGACAUUUGCUUUUAUAAAAAACUGUCACGAUUAGCAUAUCCUUUACAUAUAAAAAUUUCAUAAUAAACGAAUUUGUGACAUUUUUAACCGUUAAUAUGCAAAUGAUGACAUUUAUUUUCUGUCAUGAAAAAAUUAUCAUGACAGUUUUUUUUUUUAUACUUUUGAAAGUUCACAUGUAUUUUUUAAAUAAGGAUUUAAACCGUUUCCAUAUAAAUUAAAUAAAAAAAUCGACUACAUAAACAUAGUCAGUGUUGCAAAUGUAAGUUUCAAUUUGGUCCCAUAAGGGAAAAAAAAAACCAACUUACCUAUCAACUUACACAACAAAUUAUCUCCUUGAUGUUUAAUUCAUCAUCCAUUCUUGUUACUUGUAGGUUUAACUGAUAUGGAUUUGCGACUUAUUAUAGAUUAUUCGUUGGUAGAAUGGAAAGAAUUAGGCGAAGAAGGACCCGCAGGUAAUGAAUGGGAAGAUCGCAAAGUUGGAAGAAGAAAGGAUUUUUUGGUUAGACGUAUGGAAUUAGCUAAGCAUUUUAUUCGAACAAAUAUAGAACCCGAAUGGAUGGUUUUAUGUCUAUUACCUGUUCUUCCUCCCGAGCUGAGACCGAUCAUUCAGAUAGAUGGGGGUAAACUAAUGAGCUCAUAUAUUAAUGAACUCUUUAGAAGAGUUAUAUAUCGGAACAAUACGACUCUUAUUUCAUGGCCACAUAUUUUUCCGGCUAAGGAAUGAGAAACCUUUCUUUUGUUACAUGAAUCCAAUUUUCAUUUCAUUUCAUUCCAAAAAAGUCAUCUUUUUCUCAACAAUGUCUUUGUCAUUUGAUCCAAUAGUGUUCCAUUAGAUAGAAGCAGAUUUGAUAAAUACUGAUAACUCUCUGUAGAGUAUUAGAACGGAAAAAUCCAUUAGAUUAGAUAAUAAACUAUUGGUUCUAGUUCUAAGCCAUCUCUGGCGAUGAAUCAAAAGACUUUCAUUUGCUUUUCUUCGAUGGAAGUUUUAUUUUUCCAGAAUGUAUCCUAAUUUUUGGCCUAAUUCUUCUUCUGAUGAUCGAUUCAACCUCUGAUAAAAAAAAUAUACCUUGGUUACAUUUCAUCUCUUCAACAAGUUUAAUAAUGAGCACAACGGCCCUAUUGUUCCAAUGGAGAGAAGAACCUAUGAUUAGCUUUUCAGAAUUUUUUUUUCCAAACAAAUAAUUUCAACGAAAUAUUUCAAUUUCUUAUUUUACUAUGUUCAACUCUAUGUAUUCCUCUAUUCCUCUAUCCGUAGAAUACAUUGAGUGUACAAAAAUGGUGUCACAAAGUUUCUGUUAUUUGUAUUAACAGCUAUUGUGCAAACAUGAUACACAAAGCUAUAUUAGAAUUUGAUAACUGUGCGGUCAAAAAUUUGGAGAAAAGAUAUGUGAAGCGUGGGAAUGGUAUUAGAAGCAGUAAUGACGAAGUGAUAAAUCUCAUUAAAGUUCUCCUGCUAUAUAAGGCAACUUAUCCUAAUUAAAUUAAACCAUAUCAGAAAGCUCACAUCCUUACAAGGUGGCUUGAACUCAUACCUAAAUCAAUGAGUGGGUAUUCCAUGCUACCAUCUUCCCAAACUUAUAGCACAUGAAGCUGGCGGAUGCUAGAAUUAUAGUAUGAAACUCCGAGAAGAAAACUUGUUUACUCCCAAUGCAGCCCCACAAGGGUUGGGAGAGAGUCGGCAAUUACACCACAAUUCUCGACGCUUUACUAGUGACAUAGGAAGUUCUCUUCUAUCUUCCGACAUGCAAAUUGUGCACACCUUUUCUCUCGACGGUGUAAAGAGCAGCGUCAGAGGAUCAAAAAAAUUCAAAAGUAGUGAUCUUUUUCGUCAAAAUUUCGUAUUUUUUAUUUUUAAUGACACAUUUUAGUUUACUCCAUUCAUACUUUUUUUUUCUUUAAAUUUUAAGUGUCAUUGUAUUCCAAAUUUGUAGUGAUGAAAUUUGCAGUGUUUUGAAGUUUAAGUAUUUUUGGAACUUAAAAUGCAAAGUUGGAGAUUUAUUAUAAUUUAGCUUACAUCCUUUAAUAAUGCAUUUGCGGAUUUUCCUGUUACUAUUAAUCAAACAGUCUAAUUUUUAUGUUUUCCAAGUUGUGAAUGCUUGGAAAGUUGGAUUCUUCGUCCUAACAAUUUGUUCCACUGCAAAUAAAAUGUUUUUGCUUUGCAUUUAUAAAGAUUUUAUUUUAUUUUAUUCUUAAUUAUUUAAAAUUAUUUGGAACGAAAUCAAACUUCUAGUAAUGCAUGUAUAAAUAAAUGGUUUUUUUUUUUUCUGUGUAAGAGUGUGCAUGUGUUUUUUUUAACACUGUUUAAUUAUUGGAUUAGUUUUAGAAAGAGAGAAAAAGAAUAAAAAAAAUAUAUAUGGUGACAAAUAGUAAAACUAUUAGUUUAUUGUCCUGUGUUGUGGGUGAUUUUUUUUUUUAAGAAAUGAAGUUAAUACAAAAUAAUAAAUAAGAAUAAGAUUUUAUCCUAACUUAUCUGAAAUUGGAAAACUUAUAUACUAAUAAUUGAAUAGGGUAGGAUAGGCCAUGGAUUAAAUCUCCUAUUAAUACAUUGUUUAAGGCUCUAAUCAGGUUUACGAGUUCUUUUCGUUUAGGGUUUAAGAUUUAGAAAUAGGGGUUGUUUUUGUUUUAUUUUCAUGUUUUUCUUUUUUUCAAAUUACAAACUUAUUCAUAAUUAUCAUUGUUUAAUCUUAAAAAAAUUAAAUCCAGGCUGGCCCACGUUACCCAGGAUCCAAAGGAAUCUAUUCCUUUGUAAUUACUCUGACUAAACUAAUUGAUAUUCCAAAACAAACCAAAAAGAACAUUUGGCGGGAACCAACGUUUACUCAAGCUGGGUUAUACCUAACUUCGAAUAACACCACUCGGAUCCAGUGCAACUCUUCAAUUCCCUAUUCCGGUUUAGACUAAUCUAGCUCCCAAACAAGUUAGAACAUUUUCGCGGGAACGAACGGGUUAUUUUGGCGGGAGACCACGUGGCAAUCUGCUACUAUUCUUCCAUAUAUUAAAACCCUUCAGAUUUUCCUACCCUAACAUCGUCGAUUUCUCCUUUACUCUUAGUCUGUAACAAUGGCGGACGCUUCAAACAAGAUUUCUUCUCGUUCAUCAACUUUACCCUUCAAAUCGAAGAAAAAUUUGGGCUCCAACUCCUCAUCAUUGCUCAAGGAUCCGCAAUCUUUAAGCUCCAGGACGCCGGAGAAGCCGGUGGAGCGAAAUAGGAAACGGAAGGUUGCGCUUUCCAUUAAAGAGGUUAAACAAGCUGCUCAGAGCGUCCAUGAAUCUAAUCGUCAGUUGCAUCAUGAUCUGACCACUAGAGGGAGUAAAUUAGUUAGAAGACAGAUGGAUUCGUGGUCGAAUGAAAGUCAAUCUAGUAGAUCCAAGACUUGUGUUGAUAAUAAGUCCAAUAAAUUGCCUGAAAAGUAAGUCUUUUUGUUUUUUGAUCUUGACAUUUUGUUUAUCGUUGGCUGGUUUUUUUUUUAUGUACUUUGAAUGUUUGGUGAAUAAGUUUUGUUAUUUCGGUGUUUUGCAGAUUUGAGCUGCUGUGUAAGUUCUUUGAUUGCUUGGAUUCUGCAAUGCGGUUGUUACGAUUUAAAGGUGUAGCCUCCAACUUCUCUAGCGUUUGCACUAAGAUUGAAGUCCUCACUGAUAGGUACUCUACUUAUUCUGCCUUCUACAUCGCCUUUUCACUCCAUCCAUUUAUUUGUUGAUACUGUAGAUUAAUAUAGUAAUUCUCCAAUUAUCUAUCUGGCUGCAUGACUAAGUAAAUUGAAGAAGUUUAUGAAUUUUGUUAUUGUUAGCUUGUAAAAGAAAUAAAGAAUCCUGCUUGUUGUAAUGACAAACAAUUAAGUACAACAAAAAAAAUAUGGAUCUUGGUCUGCAUAUAUGGUUUUUUUUUAAUUUAUUUUGCAAACUGCAACUGUAUUUUUCUUGCUAUAUGUUGAGCCUCAUAAAAUUUGUAAUUUUGUGUUGGCGAGGUUUAAUCCCUCUAGUUUUACUCAAUUUUGUGGCACAUACUUCUUAGACUUCUUAUAUGACUGAAGAAGAGUAUCUCCGGAGGUUAUGCUGUGUUUUUUUAUUCUAAAUUUGAUAGCUAUGAUUGCAGGAGGUUUUCAUACAGUCAUUUGGCUCAAUUGAAGUUUAUUUUACCUGAAGCAAUUAUGCUUAAGAAAGUUGUGGUCUUUGAUGAGCGUACCAGCUGUAUGAAGCCAGAUCUUCAUAUAUCUUUCAAUUUUGGUGUCCUAGAGAGUAAGGAGGACCAGUAUAUGCAGUUGAGGAAGUUGUUUAGGACACGUCUUUCAGAAUUUGUGAGUUCCCAUCCAGAGGUAUGUCACCAUUUUCUUGGCCGGAAAUGUGAAAACUUGUGGGCCCUCUAUAUGUCAUUGCUAGUUCUUGCUCUUUUUUCAACCGGACUUGAAGAAACAAACUAUGUUGAUGCUUGCUGGAUGUUGCUUUUCUCAAAUUUUAUAGCUUAGAAUUAGGAAUAAAGUUGGUAUAACAAUGAAUUGUAGCAUUCUGAUCAUAGAAGUUUAUUGUUAUCAUUUGCAUCAUGCCCACUCGCGAUGGCUUGAUUUUUCUCUUUUAUUUUGAAACUCAUUCCUUUUCAAAUAUUUUGGUUUUAUGGGUUUUUCUAGACCUUCAAAUUUUCAAUGUUCUAAGGUAUGCUUCUGUAUUCAGAUUGACGAUAUUCCAAAGGAUUCUCUGCCAAAUCCAUUCAAUUUCAGAAGCCUAAAUCUUUUCCCGGAAACCAACUCGUUAUCCUCUGUCAAGACAUCAAUUGAGCAACUAGCACCUGAGCAACCAUUGCCAUCAGCAGAAGACAUUCCCUCUAAUCAUCAUUCAGAGAACAAUCAAGGUUUUCGGAUAAUUAAAUCUACCAUGACUGGUCAUGGCCCAAAUAAACAGAAGGAAUUAUUUGGGUUAUCUCAUUUUUCACCAGUUAGCCGGCUUUUCUCUCAAAAAGCUGUAAAUAUCGACGUGCAAACUUUUGAUGCGUCUUCAACUAAACCUUCCUCCCCAAUUAAACUAUCUUCCAACUCAACCUCUAACUUACAUUGUCUUGAAAAUUAUGCUUCUCCAAUUUGCUCUUUGUCAUUGCCAAAUCCCACAACUCCCAGUAAUAUGGUAGGAAUAGUAACCAUGAGAAAAGAAGAUGGUCAAUCUGCCAAAGUUAAUGAUAUAGAUUCAACUCCUGUAAAGUUUGUUUCAACCUCGGAUCAGCUGAUGGCUAGCACACCUGCAAUGGCUCCACCAAAACGAAGUUCCAUGACUCCGGAUGACGAUUUUUCCUACUCGACAAACAAAUUAGUGAGACGUCCACCUCGUUCAAGAUCACUUGUAUUUGACACUCCCACAAAGGAAGAUAAAAACAAAGAUGAGAUAGAUGUUUCACUCGACAAUGACAUUCUAGAUGUUCUAUCUGAGAGCCUUGUGCAAUCGGUAUGACCAUUCCCUCGUAAAAAGCAUCUAUCUCUUAGAUUGUGCUGAUUUAAACCACCAUGUGCAGCAAUCAAAUAUGACCGAAUGUUUAACAAUUUCUUGUGUUCUCAAUUUGCAGAUUAGAGAGAAAGAAAGAAAGAUCAAAGAAGAGCAAAUGCCAGCAAUAACACAAGCUAAGAGGCGACAGAAACUGAUCGCUAACCUGCCAAAACUCUUCAAUGCUAUCUUCUUCUUGUACCACAAGCGUACAGUUGUUAAAAGGGAGGAGCUAUUAAACAAAAUAAUCACUGGAAGUGUUGAUAUCCUUGACAGGAGUAAGCAAAAACAUAAUACACCUGUUUUAAAGUUGAUUCAAAAUUGCUUUAGUUGUUUGGAGCUGAUCCAUUUCUUGUGUUAUACUCAUAGGAGAAGUUGAAGAGCAGCUAGAUUUGUUGUUUGAACUCGUACCCGACUGGAUUUCUCAGAAAUUGGCAUCCAAUGGUGGUGAUGUACUAGUUUGGUGAGUUUUUCUUUCUUUACACUAUUUUAACUUUGAAGUUUGGAAAAUCAUUACUUGCCUCCAUACAAAAAGAGUGUUACUGAAAUCUUAUAUGGUUUUACAUUUCAGCAUCAAUAAAUUGUCAAAUGUUGAAUCGGUUAGUGUUCGGCUCAAAGAAGCUAAGUGAAGGAGUCGAGAAGUUUAUCAACUUUUUUGUCUUAGUAGACACAAUUGAAACGACGAAGCUCAUUGCCUCUCUAAAUUGUAUAAUCCAUGAUGUAAUUAUAACAAAAACGAAAAUAUCUAACCGAAUCUGCAGUUUUUUUUUGAUUGAUCUCUUGCUCUUUGAUAAAUCCUAUUUGUUAACUUAUUGUAAUUUUGUAAGGUAGAUGAUAGAUAACAACAAGAAUUUCUUCCGAAGUGUCACAACUUUACUACCUUUUUCAAAUGAUAACAGAUUUCAAUUGGUUGUAAGCAUCUAUUUAUUGGUUAUUGCAACACCCUAAAAGCACAGGACGUAUAUGAAUAGGGUUGGCAAUGGUAUCGGGCUAGGUUUAAAGCCCACAUUUCCCUCCCCAUCACCAUUGCCGUGGAAGAUUUUCUGGCCGUUCCCGUGGGAGGGUCCGGGUCUGGGUCUCCCGGGUUGGGAAUCCCCACGAGUAAACUUUUCUUGUUUAUUGUUAUUAUUUUUAUUUAAAAUGUAUUAAAAUUUGACAAUUAAGUUAAUAAUAUUUUAACAUUUAUUUAUUAAAUUAAAUGUUUAAGUUAAUUUAAUUAUAAAAAAGCUGUAAAAUUCUCAUAUCAGUAGCGUAAAAGUUAUGAUUAUAUAUAUUUUCCUUGUGUUAUAUUCAUAACUGAAAUCGAGGAGGAGCUAGAUUUGUUGUUAGAACUCGUGUUAAUGUAUUUCUCAUAAACUGAAAUUGAGGUGGCAUCCAACGGUGGUGAUGUGGUAGUUUGGGAAGUUUUGAAAAAUCAUUAGUUAGAUAAGAACAAAAUAAAAUUAUAUCAAUUUAAGUCUCAAUUCUUCAAUUAAACUAUUGGUAAAAAGAAAUUUAGUUUCAUUAAAAAAAUGUUUUUGACCAUAUUCCAAAUAUUUUUUAUAAAAAAUUGUGAAUUAAAUUCAAAAUUUAUCGAACCUCAUAUAGCAUUUUAAUCACACUUAAUGUCCAAAUGCAUGAGAUGAUUAAUUUGACAUAUUAACUAGAGUCAAAUCUAAGAAUAAAUAACUUCUUUUUUUUGUUUUUGUUUCAACUUAUUGUUUUCAAGAUUCACCCACCAUAAAUGUGCACAAAUCUCGAAAAGGAAUAUUUGUUGAACAAGAAAUUUUGGUAAAUUAAAUUGUGAUAAUUUAAAGAUUAGAAAAAUUGUCAUUAAUGGGGAGCUCCACCUCAUACCUUAAAAUUUUAAAAUCUAUUUCAAGAUCCAAAAAAUGCAAUUCAUUUGAAAUAGUUAAUUGCAAAAUUGAGACACAUUCAAUCCAAGAGUUUGGCUCUACACCUGUGGAAUAGCCAUAGCCGAAAGUUUCAUGUUGAAAAGGAGAGCAUUGUUGAUAUUAUAAUAAAGAUGAAAUCAUGAAAUUAUAUCAUAUAAUUCAAAACUUAUAUACAUCUUAGCAAGAUACGCAUCGGUGAGUUCGUCUACUCAAUUCGGUGAGUUCUUCAUACAUUCGAGUAGGGGUGUUCAAAAUGAAGUUGAAAAUCGAACUGAAACCAAACCGAAAUUGAAUGCAUACAGUUCGGUUCAGUUUCUAUUCCAAAAAAAUCGCAUAAAAUUCGGUUCGGUUCGGUUUAAGAUGUUAAGAAUCGAUUCUCAAACCGAACCGAAUUACUUUAUUUAAAAAAUUAAAUAUAUAUAUAUAAAUAAUAAGAUUUUUUAGACUUCAAAACGGGUAUAGAGGCAAAAAUCAAGGAGAGGAACGAAAAGGAGAAGAAUGACAUAACCAAAACGUAAAGGACAAGUUGUCUUGAUGAAGUUUGUAUGACUGAAGAACUUUUAUUUAUCUUAGGUGGAUUUUGAAACUUCUAUGUUUUGGUGGACUUUCAAAUUUCAAUGUUUGAAACAUCUAUGUCUGUAAUUUUCAAAUUUCGGUUUGGUUCAAAAUUACAGUUCAAAAUUACAGACAUAGAUGUUUCAAACAUUGAAAUUUCUAUGUUUGUAACUUUGUAUAAGUGGUUCAGUUUUGAUUCGAUUUUAUUUAUGCAUAUGUGGUUCGGUUUCCAUUCGGUUUGACACAGAUGAGUGGUUCGGUUCGGUUUCAAAUAAGAUUUUUUUUUUCAUUUUACGGUUCGGUGCGAUUUUAACUUCAAUCCGAACCAAACCGAAUCACGAACACCCCUACGUUCGAAAUUCAUUUGAGCUAUUCUCUCUUAUUUGCAAGAAAAAAAUUCUCUCUCACAAUGUGUUUGUUUCUUGUCGACUACCCCUCUCUCAAUCUUUCUUUUCUUUUCUCUAAUAAAACCUAAAAGAAGAAGAUUCAAAUAAUUGUAAAAAUUUCAUUGAGGCAUAAUUAAAUCUUAAAAUUAAAAUUUAAAUUGUUAUUAAAAUUUUAAUUCAAAAUUUUCUUAAAAAUAUAUAUUAUGUAUUAUUUAAUAAAUUGUUUAAAAUAUAACAAAUUUGAAAAUCUUAUAUAUAAAUCUAUCAACAAAAUAGCAAAUUUAGUUAACAUUUACCAAAUUUGAAUGUUGUUUGCAAAAUACAUUGUUUUAAUAAAAGAGACACAAUAAAUUAAUUUUUUAAUAAAAAUUAAUCAAAGUAAGUGUGCAUAAAAUAUAAAUUAAAAUAACUAUGUAUUACCUAAUAAAUUAUUUUUUAAAAAUAAUUUGAAAUAUAAAUCAUACGAAAAUACUGGACCAGUGAUUAUCAUUAUUUUAGGGAUUAAAUUUCAUAAUAUUUGAAUUCAAAAUACUAUAAAAUCUAAUGAAUGAGGAAUGAUUGGAAACCUUUUAACAACUUUUUACGGAAAAUAUUUAUUAAACAUAAGCUUUAUGAAUUAAAUAAAUAAAUGUUAAUUAAUUUGAUUUAAAUACUAAAAAUUUAAAAAUUUGUUGUGAAUUAUAGACAUAUUAUUAUGAGAUAUUGAAGAAAUCUUGUCAAUCCUGAAAAUAUCAUAAAUUAAUUAAUAUUUUUCAAAACUUAUGGAAUGAUAUUUGGUCUCAUUAUUUGUAUAAUACAAAUAUACAGUAAAACACGUAUUAUCCUACAUAAUAAGGUAUAACACACGUAUUAUACUUCUUGAUUUAGACAUGCAUAACAGGGAUGAUUGGAAAUAAAAUGUCACAUACAACGUAAAACAUCUAAUUAAAAUAAAUAUGAAUAUUAAUGUAAUUAAAAAACACAACGUGAAAAAAUAAUUAUUUGAUACAAGAGGUACAAUAAAUUAUUUUUUAAUAAAAAUCAAUCAAAAUAAGUGUUAAUCAUAAUUUGCACAAUUCUACGGAUGAUAAAACUUUAUUUUUAAAUUAUUAUUAACCAUACAUACUAUGUAUUAUCUGAUAAUUUUCUUUAAAUAACUCGAAAUAUAUAUAAUAUAAAAAUGCUUAAUUUAUGUUUGGCAUUAAGUUGGGGAUAUGAUUAAUUUAGGGAUACGAUGUAAUAUUUGAAAUCAAAAUAUCAUGAAAUAUAAUGAUUUGGGAAUGGUUGAAAUUCUCAAAACCAUUAUUUUUAUUAAGCAUACGUACUAUGUAUUAUCUAAUAAUUUUGUUUAAAAUAAUUUAAAAUAUAAAUCAUAUAAAAAUUCUGAAACAAUAAUUGUCAUUAUUUUAGAGAUUAGAUUUUCUAAUAUUUAAUAUUAUGAAAUAUAAUGAAUGAGGAACAAUUGAAAAUCUUUUAGCAAUUUUUUUAGGAAAAGUCUUUAUUAAACCUGAAUUAAAUAAAUAAAUGUUAAUUUAAACCUGAAUUAAAUAAAUAAAUGUUAAUUAAUUUGGUUUAAAUAUUAAAAAUCCAAAAAUUUGUUAUGAAUUAUAUAUAUUUAGGGGAUAUUGGUGAAAUCUUGUCAAUCCCGUAAAUAUCAUAUAUUAGUUAAUAUUUUUCAAAACUGAUUGUAGUUUGCAAAUAUACUGUAUCCGUGACAGUGUGAUAUUUGGUAAAUACACUAUAUUUGAAAACACGUAUUAUCCUACCUAAAGGGUAUAAACGGGUAAAAAAAAUCACAAAAAAUUAUGUAACCACCAGUUUUGCCAAAAUUCUUAAUAUUUUUCAAAUUUGCUAUUUUUCAGUUUGUUAUACAAAAUUUUGCUACACUCACCAUUAUCUCAUCUAAAUAUAUAUGUGUAAAGUUAUGCAAUUCUCACCUAUGAGUAUCAUAUAAAACUUGCUGCCAAGUGAAAUUUAUAAACUUAUCAAAAGUUAAAAUAACAAUAACAUGCUAGGGGAUGAUAAUCAAAUUAAAAUAGUCUAAAAAUUUUAUGAAUUUUGAGAUUUAAGUAUGUUCUCUAGAAUUGGAAAAAAAGAUUAAAAUUUUGAACCCUCACCUUUAAAGUUCAAAAUUCUCACUCACUUCUUGGAUGAAAUUGGAUGAAGUUAAGUUGUGAACAACCACAAGAGUCUUCUCCACUCUUAUCAAGGCUUAGAACUUUAUGGUGGGAUCAAAUUUUGCGAGUUGUCGAGAGAAACAAGUUUUUAAACACUUGUGAAUCUUUUUCGGAAAUCAAUUAGAUUCAUCGUAAAAACGAAUUGUGCAUUAAACAACCAUAAAGCACAUGGAAAUCAUAUUUGCAAAACAAUUUGACACUUAACAAACAUUUGAAUUGGGGAUUUGGUGGAAGAAAGAUGAAAUCCACACAUUAUCCUCAAGUAUGGUGCUUACUCAGAAUGCAGUACAAGCAGAUUUGGAAACGUGUUACUAAAAUCCUAUAUAGUUUCAUACUUCAGCAUCAAUAAUUUGGUCGAAUGCUGAAUGGAUUGGUGUUUGACUUAAAAAGCUAAAGGAAGAAGUUGAGGAGUUUAUCCACCUAAUUGUUUUCUCAGCAUCUAGCAUAGCGACAGUUGAAAUGAGAAACUCACAGCCUUUAUAAUGUAAAUUAUAAGAAAGACGGAAGAGUACCAAAUUUCUAAUUGGCAAAUUUUUUGUUUUAAUUGAUCUCUUGCUUUUGACUAUUAGUAACACUAUUAGUUUAGUGUCCUGUGUUGUGGGUGAUUUUUUUGUUAAGAAAUGAAGUUAAUACAAAAUAAUAAAUAAGAAUAAGAUUUUAUCCUAACUUAAAACUUAUAUACUAAUAAUUGAAUAGGGUUAAGAUACGCUAUGGAUUAAAUCCUCUAUAAAUACAUUCUUUAAAGCUCUAAUGACGUAUCCAAGUUAUUUUUUGUUUAGGGUUAAAGAAUAAAUACACUAGGGUUUAAGAUUUAAACAUAAGGGUUAUUUUUGUUUGUUUUCAUGUUUUUUUUUUUUAAAUUACAAAUUUAUUCAUAAUUAUCCUUAUUUAACCUUAAAAAAAUAAAUCCAGUGCAAGUCUUCAAUACCCUAUUCCGGUUUAGACUAAUCCAGCUCCCAAACAAGUUAGAACAUUUUCGCGGGAACGAACGGGUUAUUUUGGCGGGAGACCACGUGGCAAUCUGCUACUAUUCUUCCAUAUAUUAAACCCUUCAGAUUUUUCUACCCUAACAUCGUCGAUUUCUCCUUUACUCUUAGUCUGUAACAAUGGCGGACGCUUCAAACAAGAUUUCUUCUCGUUCAUCAACUUUACCCUUCAAAUCGAAGAAAAAUUUGGGCUCCAACUCCUCAUCAUUGCUCAAGGAUCCGCAAUCUUUAAGCUCCAGGACGCCGGAGAAGCCGGUGGAGCGAAAUAGGAAACGGAAGGUUGCGCUUUCCAUUAAAGAGGUUAAACAAGCUGCUCAGAGCGUCCAUGAAUCUAAUCGUCAGUUGCAUCAUGAUCUGACCACUAGAGGGAGUAAAUUAGUUAGAAGACAGAUGGAUUCGUGGUCAACUGAAAGUCAAUCUAGUAGAUCCAAGACUUGUGUUGAUAAUAAGUCCAAUAAAUUUCCUGAAAAGUAAGUCUUUUUGUUUUUUGAUCUUGACAUUUUGUUUAUCGUUGGCUGUUUUUUUUUUUUAUUUUUUAUAUACUUUGAAUGUUUGGUGAAUAAGUUUUGUUACUUUGGUGUUUUGCAGAUUUGAGCUGCUGUGUAAGUUCUUUGAUUGCUUGGAUUCUGCAAUGCGGUUGUUACGAUUUAAAGGUGUAGCCUCCAACUUCUCUAGCGUUUGCACUAAGAUUGAAGUCCUCACUGAUAGGUACUCUACUUAUUCUGCCUUCUACAUCGCCUUUUCACUCCAUCCAUUUAUUUGUUGAUACUGUAGAUUAAUAUAGUAAUUCUCCAAUUAUCUAUCUGGCUGCAUGACUAAGUAAAUUGAAGAAGUUUAUGAAUUUUGUUAUUGUUAGCUUGUAAAAGAAAUAAAGAAUCCUGCUUGUUGUAAUGACAAACAAUUAAGUACAACAAAAAAAAUAUGGAUCUUGGUCUGCAUAUAUGGUUUUUUUUAAUUUAUUUUGCAAACUGCAACUGUAUUUUUCUUGCUAUAUGUUGAGCCUCAUAAAAUUUGUAAUUUUGUGUUGGCGAGGUUUAAUCCCUCUAGUUUUACUCAAUUUUGUGGCACAUACUUCUUAGACUUCUUAUAUGACUGAAGAAGAGUAUCUCCGGAGGUUAUGCUGUGUUUUUUUAUUCUAAAUUUGAUGGCUAUGAUUGCAGGAGGUUUUCAUACAGUCAUUUGGCUCAAUUGAAGUUUAUUUUACCUGAAGCAAUUAUGCUUAAGAAAGUUGUGGUCUUUGAUGAGCGUACCAGCUGUAUGAAGCCAGAUCUUCAUAUAUCUUUCAAUUUUGGUGUCCUAGAGAGUAAGGAGGACCAGUAUAUGCAGUUGAGGAAGUUGUUUAGGACACGUCUUUCAGAAUUUGUGAGUUCCCAUCCAGAGGUAUGUCACCAUUUUCUUGGCCGGAAAUGUGAAAACUUGUGGGCCCUCUAUAUGUCAUUGCUAGUUCUUGCUCUUUUUUCAACCGGACUUGAAGAAACAAACUAUGUUGAUGCUUGCUGGUUGUUGCUUUUCUCAAAUUUUAUAGUUUAGAAUUGGGAAUAAAGUUGGUGGUAUAACAAUGAAUUGUAGCAUUCUGAUCAUAGAAGUUUAUUGUUAUCAUUUGCAUCAUGCCCACUCGCGAUGGCUUGAUUUUUCUCUUUUAUUUUGAAACUCAUUCCUUUUCAAAUAUUUUGGUUUUAUGGGUUUUUCUAGACCUUCAAAUUUUCAAUGUUCUAAGGUAUGCUUCUGUAUUCAGAUUGACGAUAUUCCAAAGGAUUCUCUGCCAAAUCCAUUCAAUUUCAGAAGCCUAAAUCUUUUCCCGGAAACCAACUCGUUAUCCUCUGUCAAGACAUCAAUUGAGCAACUAGCACCUGAGCAACCAUUGCCAUCAGCAGAAGACAUUCCCUCUAAUCAUCAUUCAGAGAACAAUCAAGGUUUUCGGAUAAUUAAAUCUACCAUGACUGGUCAUGGCCCAAAUAAACAGAAGGAAUUAUUUGGGUUAUCUCAUUUUUCACCAGUUAGCCGGCUUUUCUCUCAAAAAGCUGUAAAUAUCGACGUGCAAACUUUUGAUGCGUCUUCAACUAAACCUUCCUCCCCAAUUAAACUAUCUUCCAACUCAACCUCUAACUUACAUUGUCUUGAAAAUUAUGCUUCUCCAAUUUGCUCUUUGUCAUUGCCAAAUCCCACAACUCCCAGUAAUAUGGUAGGAAUAGUAACCAUGAGAAAAGAAGAUGGUCAAUCUGCCAAAGUUAAUGAUAUAGAUUCAACUCCUGUAAAGUUUGUUUCAACCUCGGAUCAGCUGAUGGCUAGCACACCUGCAAUGGCUCCACCAAAACGAAGUUCCAUGACUCCGGAUGACGAUUUUUCCUACUCGACAAACAAAUUAGUGAGACGUCCACCUCGUUCAAGAUCACUUGUAUUUGACACUCCCACAAAGGAAGAUAAAAACAAAGAUGAGAUAGAUGUUUCACUCGACAAUGACAUUCUAGAUGUUCUAUCUGAGAGCCUUGUGCAAUCGGUAUGACCAUUCCCUCGUAAAAAGCAUCUAUCUCUUAGUUUGUGCUGAUUUAAACCACCAUGUGCAGCAAUCAAAUAUAACCGAAUGUUUAACAAUUUCUUGUGUUCUCAAUUUGCAGAUUAGAGAGAAAGAAAGAAAGAUCAAAGAAGAGCAAAUGCCAGCAAUAACACAAGCUAAGAGGCGACAGAAACUGAUCGCUAACCUGCCAAAACUCUUCAAUGCUAUCUUCUUCUUGUACCACAAGCGUACAGUUGUUAAAAGGGAGGAGCUAUUAAACAAAAUAAUCACUGGAAGUGUUGAUAUCCUUGACAGGAGUAAGCAAAAACAUAUACACCUGUUUUAAAGUUGAUUCAAAAUUGCUUUAGUUGUUUGGAGCUGAUCCAUUUCUUGUGUUAUACUCAUAGGAGAAGUUGAAGAGCAGCUAGAUUUGUUGUUUGAACUCGUACCCGACUGGAUUUCUCAGAAAUUGGCAUCCAAUGGUGGUGAUGUGCUAGUUUGGUGAGUUUUUCUUUCUUUACACUAUUUUAACUUUGAAGUUUGGAAAAUCAUUACUUGCCUCCAUACAAAAAGAGUGUUACUGAAAUCUUAUAUGGUUUUACGUUUCAGCAUCAAUAAAUUGUCAAAUGUUGAAUCGGUUAGUGUUCGGCUCAAAGAAGCUAAGUGAAGGAGUCGAGAAGUUUAUCAACCUUUUUGUCUUAGUAGACACAAUUGAAACGACGAAGCUCAUAGCCUCUCUAAAUUGUAUAAUCGAUGAUGUAAUUAUAACAAAAACAAAAAUAUCUAACCGAAUCCGCAGUUUUUUUUUCUGAUUGAUCUCUUGCUCUUUGAUAAAUCCUAUUUGUUAACUUAUUGUAAUUUUGUAAGGUAGAUGAUAGAUAACAACAAGAAUUUCUUCCGAAGUGUCACAAGUUUACUACGUUUUUCAAAUGAUAACAGAUUUCAAUUGGUUGUAAGCAUCUAUUUAUUGGUUAGUGCCACACCCUAAAACCACAGGACGUAUAUGAAUAGGGUUGGCAAUGGUAUCGGGCUAGGUUUAAGCCCACAUUCCCCUCCCCAUCACCAUUAACGUGGAAGAUUUUCUGCCCGUUCACGUGGUAGGGUCUUGGUCUGGGUCUCCCGGGUUGGGAAUUCCCACGAGUAAACUUUUCUUGUUUAUUGUUAUUAUUUUUAUUUAAAAUCAAUUAAAAUUUGACAAUUAAGUUAAUAAUUAAAAAAAUAUUUUAAUAUUUAUUUAUUAAAUUAAAAUUUUAAGUUAAUUUAUUUAUAAAAUGGUAUUUUAAAAAAGCUAUAAAAUUCGCAUAUCAGUAACUUAAAAGUUAUGAUUAUAUAUAUUUUCCUUGUGUUAUAUUCAUAACUGAAAUUGAGGAGGAGCUAGAUUUAUUGUUAGAACUUGUGUUAGUGUAUUUCUCAUAAAUGGCAUCCAACGGUGGUGAUGUUCUAGUUUGGUGAGCUUUUCUUUCUUUACAGGUUGGGCCUUAAACUAGUGGAUAAGUUGGACUUAAGGAGUAAGGUGUAGUCUUGGAAGUAAAAUGAUAUUUUGACCAAAUUAAAGGAUUAAGUUACUAAUCACAGUUAUAUGAAAUGGAUCUAUAGCGAGAGGAGUGCAACUAUGAGACUUUAGUAGAAUAACUCGUAGUUAAAUAAUGUUGAUUAACUUAGUUUAAAAGAGGUUAGCUAGUUAAUCUUGAAUUGUUGUAGUGCAUGAUCUAUAGGUCAACAGUUUCUCAUAUGAGCUCAUAUGGAAUUAACUUAGAACAAUAUAUUGGAAUCAAAUUGUUUGAAUUAGGUAAAUAGAGAAAAACUGACGAAUAUAUGUGAUAUAGCCGUUAGUUAUCAGUUUGAGUUAGAGCUUUAUAUUUAACUUUGAUUUAUAUAUUUAAAAUAUGAAUAGAAGUCAUAUUCGAAAGCUUGUAAUGGAUGGAAAUGGUCAAAGUUGUAAAAAGUCAAAAUGUUGACUUCUGACUUUCAAAAAAUGAAUUUAAAUUUGAUCGACUUUAUAUGCAUUUGAAUUUCUAUAAAAUGAAUUUAAAUUCAUGCUCGAGAGGUCAAAAUUAGUCAAAAAGGACAAAAUAGUAAAACGCCAAAGUUUGACUUUGACUUAAAUGUUCAAAUGACCAUGUUGCUUUUGGAUAAUUAUUGGCUACGUGAGAUGUAAACAUCUAGCACACUAAGUUCCAGUAAUGGUUAGUGGAAUGUUAGGUGUUGAGAUUUGGUGAAUCAAUUACAUGCAUUUUUGUAAUUAUUUAUGUUAUUGAAAGGGGUUAUUUCAAAUAUUGAAAGACUUUUGAUGGUUUUGAUAUUUUUUAUUUUACAAAAUUAAUGCCAAAUUAUCUCUCUCCCAAAUCUCAAACUCAAUUCCUAACUUCCAAUUUCCAUCAUUCUUUCCCUAUUUCCUUCACUUAAGAGGACCCACAACUUGGUUUUAAUAAGUUCAAAGAAUAGUUAGUAAACUCUAGUGAUGGUCUUCGGUUCGAGUUCGUGAGAAGAUUACAAGAAACGGAAAACUACGAAGGUAAGUUUUUCCAUAUACCCUAAUUUUGUUUACUUAAGGUAGUUUAUGCAUGUUAAUCUUUAAAAUUGUUUAGAUGUAAUUAGCGUAGAUUUGAUCCAUAAUUCUGCUGCAUGUAUCUCGUUUUCCUUUAGGAUUCCACCAGUGUCUUACAAUAGAUCGGAUACCAUUACUCGUCACAACACCAACAUCACAUGAGAGACGUUAGCUUAAUAUCACUUUCAACACAUAACACAUAUAUGAUACAACAAGCAUCAACAAAAGAUUAGAAAGAAUGCUAUUCAUACAACAUUCAUAAGAUACUUGCCUGUUUGUCUAGAUCAUAAAUUACAACGCUUAUGUGAUAAACAAUAUGCAUUCGUUUAGAAAGAUAUGAAAUAAUUUACAACAAACAUUUAUUUUAUAAGGAUCACUCAUAGGAACACUUAGCCUUAACUCCUUUUUCCUUUGGCUUUCGACUUCCUCUUCUUGCCUUGUGGUUUCCUUCAAUCGGCUUUUCCCAUACUCCAAAAUCUACUCUAAACAUGUCACACCCCCUCUCGAACUUCCUGCUAGCUUAGCCUGGAAGACGACGUGAAGCCGACUGACAUCGCUCUCCUCUACGAUACCUGUCGACUCUGCUGAACUCUUGAACCUGAUAAACAUGCUAAUCUUAUAUAUAAAAUACUUUAUAUGCAACACAACACAGUGGAACCUAGACAACCCUUACUCAGAUUGUUCCUGGAAGACUGAAAAACUAUGAAUAAUACUUGCUUAAAAUGAUAUUGUAUUAACUACUUUUUAGAAAGUCAAGAAUAAUGUGCUCAUAUAUGAAUUUCAUUUUAAAACUUAACCUUGAAACCAUGUAUUAUCCAUCAAAUCAAAUUCAAACAUCGAAACAUAAUCAUAAAUAACAGUUUUGAAAUCUAUUUGUCACUCACAACCUUAGGCUAGUUCCCUAGUGUGUAGGAUCGAUCCAUUUCUUCUUGGCUUGUCAAACAAACCAAAACUCAGCAUCAGGACCUUAAAUAGUCUUUUCUUUUCAUAGUAAACUUAAGAUGACACACAAAAGAUGACAUUAAAAAAUUCUAAACUUAGACAUUAAAGAACAUUUUGACAUUUUCCCAAAUUUUUUUUCAGAUUCAACAACCUAACUUCAAACAAUCAUGCGUUUCUCAGUACUUCACCAAAAUUAAUGUACUUUAUAUUAAACUCUUCAUUUUGAAAUUCUCUAAAACUUACUUGAUAAAAGAAAAUAAGAUUCCCAGCAGAUAACUAUAGAAAUUGCCUCAAUCAUAGGUAGUCCAAAUUUAGGUCUUCCGCUAAUCUCUGAUUUGUUCCUGAAAUUAAACUUACUUCUAGUCAUUUUUUACUCACUAUUUCUUCACAGAAGUUGUAGGAAAUUUAAUAAUCUUCUUAAUCAUACCUAAUAUAGCUUCCAACUCACUCUAUAAAAUCCUAAUAUAACUUUUCAGUUUGUGCACCAAACUAUGACAUGAUUGCCUCUUAAAAAAUCAUUAAUCUAACAUCAUAAUUUGCUCAGGCUUCUUUAAAAAAACUUAUUAAAAACUGAAUACAAUUUCAAAAAAAAAAAAAAAAAACCUUACAUUUUAAUUCCUUUUAAGCAAUUCAAAUUGACUAAAAAAUCAGAGAAUAUUUGUUCACACCAAGCUUUUUCCAUGACUGUUUAUUCGUUCGAGUUUUUCUUCAUCUCCUUCACCUUAAGUCACAACACUUUCCCUCCUUCUUCUUCCUUAGAUUCUAGCUUAGAUACCUUUGAAAAUUUGGUAAAAAUGGAUGAAGAACUUUUUUGGCAAUGGAGAGAAAUUAAACCAACAUUUUGCGGCGAAACACUUUUCAUUUCCUCUUCUCUCUCUUUUCCUCUUUUUAUUUCUCCUUUUAAAUAACUUCUCUUUUUUUAUUCUUAAAUAUAUAUAUUAGCACCCCCACCUCGGGUACCUGCUUACUCAUCCCGAGAUGUGACGUGAUGUCAGCCGAAGCUGUUUGCCUCUUGAACAACCUCAACUGAAACAUGACAUGGAAUCAUGAAACAAUCAACAACGAAAACUUUUAACUUGAGAUACUUAAAACCGUAGUGUGAUCCAUUUGAAAUCUUUUAUAAAAUAUAACAUGGAUAAAAAACAAAAGAUGAAUAAAUAAAGUGGUUGAACAGUCGCUUGACUAUUUUGAAAUAAACAGUGUCCUUUGUAUAAAAAAGAACUACGUUGGCCUGGCAGUCGUAUGUUCAGCACGUGGAAAUCUACAAUAUGUACCUGAAAAGUGGGAAAACAUUUUUGAAAGAGUACGUCGAAAGGCUUAUUGGGCGACGAUUUUAUAAAACAAGUUUUCAUAAAUGUUUUAAUAUAAAACUGAAGCUUAAAUACAUGUAUCGGUAAAUAAUCAUAUCAUGAAACUUGAAACAUUUACAUAGUUUUUCGAAGACAAUCCUCCAUAGCCAUGGGCAGUAUUUACCCCUUUGUCCGAAGACUGAAUAGUCGAUGGGUAGCUAACCCUUCUCCUUUAAGGCAUAAAAAUAUACCAUUUUUUAUGGUCCAUAGUUAAAUAUUGGUUUGUCCACUAUACCAUUAGUAUGGAGUUAACCACAUGUAUAUAAUAGAUCUCAUGGAAUAUUUGGACAUGGAUAAAACAUCUGAAACACAUGAAAUAUUUUCUUGAAAGUAUUUGAAAUAUUUCCUUGAAUUCAUGAAGUUAUAACAUAACAUGAAAUAUCAUUUCAAUAAAUAUUUAUCAAUAGCAUGACUUCUAUAAGAACUUGAGAUCAUGUUUAGGAAACCUUUUUACAAAAUAGUUUGUAAAAACUUGCAAACGUGUUUAACAAUAACAUUUUUACUUGUAAAUCUUGAAAUCACGUUCAAUGAAUACUUUGGAAAUCCUUCUAUUGCUUGUAAGCUUGAAAACAUGCUUCAUAAAUCAUUUAGAAAUCAAUGUGUUACUCAUAAUACUUGUAUAGCCUUGGUCUCGAAAAUUUCUUCUAAUCCUCCUUGUCCUAAAAAAAUCACAUUUUAUCCUUAAUUAAUUCCUUGAACAUGAAAAUAUUCAAAAGAUCCUUAAAAAUUCCAAAAAAAAAAAAAAAAAAAGAAAAGAAAACAACUUAAAAUAGCUUGAAAAGAACCCAACGAAGCCCAUUGACAUAGUGAAGAGGUUGGCCACACACGUUAACCUCACAAUGGGGGGUGGGGGGAGGGGGGAGGAGCAUGCUAACCUCACAAGGGUUUUUGCACUUGUGCUUGCCACCUAUCCAGUGCCCCUCGCAUGAAUGGCAUGCACAAUGUUCUCCUGCAUACCGUGUGUCGUGCAAACCUCUAAGACAGUGUCAUGUGUGCAGCUUGAGCAUGCAUCUUGCCACUUAGCUAUGUCAUGGCCUUGUCACGUGCGUGCAACCUGACCCAAAUAACCUCUAUUGAAAAAAUGCCAAGUCCUUCUUGCCCACACAUGUAUGACUCACGACCACUACUCAGUCACUAUUUAACUUCCAGAAUCAUGACUUAAUAUUCCCAACUUUUUUUAUAAAACUUUCUUCUACAAAAUUGCUCCAAAUUGUCUUAACUUUUAGGCCUCAGAUUUACAAAGGAAUAUUCCAAGUAAUGAGUCCUGUAGCGCUCUCGAAGUGCACCUUGCUCAUAAUCUCCUGAAAAAUGACUUUCUCGUCUUCUCUUGAUCAAAACACAAAUCUUCUUGAUUCCAAAAUAACUAGCAGCCCUUUGUCACAAACUGAACUCAAUUACUUAACUUUUAAGACUAAUUUGUAUGAUUUUGCACGAGUGAGUUGUGAGAAGUUGGUUGCUGAAGUUAGCCUAUUUAUAGAGUCCCUUGCUUGCAAUUAAGUUGACACUUAAUCAUGAUUAGACUCACCUCUUAAGCUUGUGUUAACACCUCAACAACCCCUCCAAGUUCUCCUUGGGCGUGAUAUGUAUGAUAACAUGGUUGUGACACUUGGAUUUACUUUUAACCGAAAGCCCUAAUCAAGCCACGUAAAUGUCCAACUCAUAUGGCUAACCUCCAUGGCUUCCUUGCAUAGCCCUUGACCGUCUAGCCUUGCUUCCUUGCUUCCAUGCCCAACAAGCCUUAUACUAACAUCUAAACACUUAGCCAAAUGCCUAGCCAAACCUUCCUUGUAUCAAGCAUUGGCCACAUAGCCUCUCCUCGGGCGACACCUUUUCUUUGGCCAAUUAACCUCUAAAUACUUCCUCGCAUGGCCAUGUCUCUCACCCAACUAAGCUGUCAAAGGCUUCCUCACGUGGUCCUUGGCCGCCCAAAGACAAGCCUCAAACGCCCAAGCAUCAUCUUUGGAGAUUAAUUCCCUUACUUGGUCGCCUACUCCAUGCCUAAACGCCUAGCUUUGGAGGUUUUCAAGAUUCUUCUUGCUGUCCAAUGACACCCAUUUGGAGGUUCUUUGCCCUUCUUUGCUUUCACACCUUAAGCCGCAAUACGACCAAAACGUCGAAGUAAUGAGAAUAUGAUGCGGUUUAGUUACAACCUUGAAAUUUUCUUAUCAACUAAUUCAACCUCACAUCCUUUUAAACUACCAAAAGAAAAGCAAACAAAAGUUGCCAACGAUGGAGAAGAUAAUGUAAUGGCUGCCGGAGAGAGUGAACAAUUAGGUUAAGUUAUAUUUUUAGAAAGAAUAAUUAAAUAGUUUAUUACAAAAUAAAAUAAAAUUACAAAUAUUAUAAUAUAUUCUGAUUUAUAAUUAAUUCAAAAGAUACUUGAAAUUUAUUAACAUAUUAAUUGUCAAAUAAAUAUAAGGAAGUUAUGAAAUUCAUAUUAAAUACAAAUAGUUUUAAAUAAGGCAAUUUUUUAAAUAAUCUUAAGAAUAUAAUAUAUAUUUAAUAAUCGUAUUAUAUAAUUAAUAAUUAAUGAAAUGUUAUAAUUGUCCGUAAAGUAUUAUCUUUCUUAUUUAAGAAAAUAAUUUUCAAUAUAUGACAAUUGUGAAUUUUUUUAAUAAAUUUAGGCUUUUUGUCUAAAAGUUUCUAAUUAUUAUUGCUAAAAUUGUUAUCAAUUACAAUUAUCCUUUGCUUUUGGGUCAUUUCAGAGCCCAAAAUGAUAUAUAAAGGCCCAAAAAAGAGGAUUGAGAGUCAUAAAGACAAAAGUCUAAGAAAACACCCUCUUGAUAAACCACCCAACAAAUUAAGAAAAUAAGAGAUAACCGUGAGAAUGACAAAAUAUAGUAUAACAAACUGCAAAAAUAGCAAAUCUAAAAAAUAUUAAGAAUUUUGGCAAAAUCGGUAGUUACAAAAUUUUUUGAAUUUUUUUAGCCGUUUUUACUCUUUAGGUAGGAUAAUACGUGUUUUAUAGAUACAAUGUAUUGAUCAAAUAUCACACAAUCCUCAGUUUAUUUGCAAACUAUGAUCAGUUUGAAAAAAUAUUAACUAAUUUAUGGUAUUUACGAGGUUGACAAGAUUUUUUCAAUAUCCCCUAAAUAUACACCUAUAAUUCAUAACCAAUUUUCGGAUUUUUAGUAUUUAAAUCAAAUUAAUUAGCAUUUAUUUAUUUAAUUCAUAAAACUUAUGUUUAAUCAAGAUUUCCCUAAAAGAUUGCUAAAGAUUUUCAACCGUUCCUCAGUCAUUAGAUUUCAUAAUAUUUUGAAUUCAAAUAUUAUGAAAUCUAAUCUCUAAAGUAAUGACAUUUACAAAUUCAGUACUUUCAUUUGAUUUAUAUUUCAAAUUAUUUUAAACAAAAUUAUUAGAUAAUUCAUAAAUGUAUAGUUAAUAAAAAAUGGCCAUGAGAAUUUCAACCAUUCUCGAGUAAUUAUAUUUUGAUUUCAAAUAUUACAUCAUAUCCAUAAAAUAAUGACAAGCAUAAAUUAAGCAUUUUCAUAUUAUUUAUAUUUUAAGUUAUUUUAAAAAAAUUAUCAAAUAAUUCAUAGUAAGUAUGAUUAAUAAUAAUUUAAACUUAAAGUUUUAUCAUCUCUCCAAUCGUGCUAGUUAUGAUUAUACACUUAUUUUGGUUGAUUUUUAUUAAAAAAAAUAUUUUAUUGUUCCUCUGGAAUCGAAUAAUUAUUUUUUCACGUUGUGUUCUUUAAUUACGUUAAUAUUCAUAUUUACUUUAAUUAAACGUUUUAUUUUCAAUCAUCCUUGUUAUGCAUGUAUAAAUCAAGAAGAUAUGUGUGUUAUACCCCUUUAUAUAGGAUGAUACGUGUUUUAUAGAUACUGUGUAUUUGCAUAAUACAAAUAAUGAGACCAAAUAUCAUACCGUCACAUAUACAGUGUAUUUACAAACUACAAUCAGUUUUAAAAAAUAUUAACUAAUUUAUUAUAUUUUCGGGAUUGACAAGAUUUUCUCAAUAUCUCUUAAAUAUAUGCCUAUAAUUCAUAAUUUUAAAAAAAAGAUUUUUAGUAUUUAAAUCAAAUUAAUUAACAUUUAUUUAUUUAAUCCAUAAAACUUAUGUUUAAUAAAUAUUUCAUUAAAAAUUGCUUAAAGAUUUCCAACCGUUCCUCAUUUUUCCUAGUAUUUUGAAUUUAAAUAUUAUGAAAUCUAAUCCCUAAAAUAACGGCAAUAACUAAUUCAAUAUUUUCAUAUGAUUUAUAUUUCAAAUUAUUUUUUAAAAAUGUAUUAGAUAAUACAUAGUUAUUUUAUUUUAUAUUUCAAAUUGUACACUUAUUUUGAUUGAUUUUCAUUAAAAAAAAUUAAUUUACUGUGUCUCUUUUAUUAAAACAAUGUAUUUUGCAAACAACACUUAAAUUUGGUAAAUCUGAAUUAAAUUUGCUAUUUUGUUAGUAGACAAGAUCGCAACAACCUCACUUACAAUAUUGACAAAUAUAUACCCAAGAUUUUCAAAUUUGUUAUAUUUUAAACAAUUUAUUAAAUAAUACAUAAUAUAUCUUUUUAAUAACAAUUUGAAUAUAAAUUUUAGGAUAUAAUUAUGCCUCCAUGACAUUUUUGCAAUUAUUUGAAUUUUUUUCUUUUAGGUUUUAUUAGAGAAAAGAUAAGAGAUUUAAAGAGGGGCAGCCGAUGAGAGACAAACACACUGAGAAAGAAAAAAUUUGCUUGCAAACAAAAGAGAAGAACUCAAAUGAAUUUCGAAUGUAGGAAAAACUCAUCGAUUUGAGUGGACGAACUCACCUAUGCGUAUUUUGCUAAGAUGUAUAUAAUUUUUGAAUUCUGUGAUAUAAUUUCAUUAUUUCAUCUUUAUUAUAAUAUCAACAAUGCUUUCCUUUUCAACUUGAAGCUUUCAACUAUGACUGUUCCACAAGUGUAGAGUCAAACUUUUGGAUUGAAUGUGUCUCAACUUUGCAAUUAUCCAUUUCAAAUUAACGAUAUCUUUUGGACCUUUAAAUAAAUUUUAAAUUUUGUAAGCACGAGGUGAAGCUUCUCCUAUUAAUGACAACUUUUCUAAUCUUUAUGUAUUUAGGGGAAAAUUUUAUGUAACAUGUGUUAUUUCAAUUACAGUAUAUUUGAAUUUUAGGUAAAUAAUUAUACUUCUCGUAUUGGAUAGUGGCGUUCGAGGGUUUGUUUCAUUUAUUUAUUUUUCUAAUUUUUAUAUUUUGCUAUUCUAAUAAUUUAAAAUUAUUUUUGUUAUUUUUUCAAAGUAAAACUCAUAAUUUGGUAUUAUUGUUGAUAGUCCUAACAAUAAUCACAUCACUCUCUGAAUCACUAUCUGAUUCACAAUGACUGUUGCGUGUGACCUUAGAUGGGCUUCUUCUUUAUCAGCUUAUCUCUCCAUUCUAUUAUAUAUGAUCUAAAAGAACUCAGCAAUAAGAAUAAUCUCACCCUGGUUCACAGUGGAUGUAGACUCUAAUGUCGAACCACUAUAUAAGUAUCUUGUGUAUUCUCUUCUCUUCCAACUCGUUUCAUUAUCUUGAUUUUAGUUUAGCUAUCUGCAUAUUUUCUCACAAUAGAUAACAAGCAUUUCUGCCAAGUAUCACGUUAUUACACAUUUUUUUAUUACAUAUUUGUAAGAUUCCAGUUUAUUCUAACAACGUAAAGUUACGGGACAAGUUCUGAAAAUAAAGAAAAAAAACCAUUUUGGCGUCACAAACAGCUUGAAAAUGUCUACUUAUUUGUUUUUUUUAAGAACAAGCACGAAUACGGGUGUGAGAGUGAGGAAAGUAGCGUAUGAGAACACAGUCGAAUUAGAUUAGUUGAACACGAGCAUAAGAGAAAAGAGUGAAGAAAUUUAGGUCAUCCAAUAAAAAAAAUAUAUAAACAAACAUCUUUGUAGUAAUCUCCUCCAUUUUGCUAAUUGUUUAAACUACAAGACAAAGGGAUAAACAAUAAUAAAGAAAAAUGGGAGCAGUCAUUUUACAUCUCCAAUAUAUUAAUAUAUCUAAUUUUAGAGGCUAAUUUGUAGCUCUUAUAUUAUCCCAUACUCAUAACAUAGAUGAAGAAACCAAUGAAAUUCUUGGAAGUUCCCUCUCUUUGAUAUCUACGAACAAGAAGAUAAGACAAGAACAAACCAAGAUUCCAACUACAAAAACCAGCUGAAAUUGGUUGGUUUUGAGGUAUUAAUUGAGAGAAAAGAGAAAGAAAGAAAGAAAGAAAAUGAGACACAUAGUAGAAUUUAGAACACCCCAACAUCCUUCUUUUGGAAAAAACAAUUGGGGCGGAGCUUCUCCUUUGCUAGCUAGAAACAUCCCCCAUGAAACUCUUGAACUAAGGUAUCUCAAACUCAAUACAACUCGUACUCGUGACGAAAUUUUUCCUCUUCAAGAAGACGAAGUCGACGACAAUUACUACUUGCCUAUCUCAUAUACGACUCAACUGCAACAGCAUUUCAAAAAGACAAAGUAUGUGGAAAGGAAUUCGUUUUUGUCCAAAUUGUCUUUACCAUGGAAAGGGAAGAGGGAGACAUUGUUAGGCUCAAACUCAAGGAAAAAAUGGUUCAAGAAAUGGGAUUAUCAAAACAGGUGGCCUCAAGGGUGGUGCUAACUAAGGUUUUAUUUUGAUUGUCUUAUUGUCCGUGUCAAAAUAUGGAUUCAUAUAAUAACCGAACAAAAUGUGGAAUCUGGAAAAUAUUAUCUAUAGAUCUAUCUUCUGGUUGAUAUACAUGAGGCAAAAUGAUGAGCCAACAUUUUCAUUUUAUGUUCAAUGAUACAAGUAAAAAAUGGGAUCAUUUUAAUUACUAAAGCCAUUUAACUUUCAAAAUAUGGUGCAAACUUGGAGAAGAGAGCACAAAAUUUGGUGGUUCUUGUUGUACUUUUAAACUGUUUAUGUUGGUGUAGGUACUGUUAAAACAAAUCCUUUUUAUUUUGACAAAUGAAAAAACUCUCACACGGAAGUAUAGUGGAGUAGUGAUUGCAUUUUAUAUUUUAAUCAAAUUUUAAAAUUCUCUCAUUUUGGUUUCAACAUUUUAAUAAAAUUGAUCCACUUUAGAAUCUUUUUCUAUUUUAAUAAACUUAUUGACAAUUUUUUUGUUUUUAAUUUUUUAAAAUAAAAUUAUAAAUUCUAUUUUCAUAUGUUGCUUGGUUAUUUGUUUGGCACGAGUACUUCUAAAAACUAUAAACAAGUAGUUUUUUUUUUUAAAGAAAAAUUGUUAAAAAUAACAAAUUUGAUAAAAUAUUUACUUGUAAUAGCAAAAUUUUAGAUUAUAUCAAUAACAAACGUUUGAUAGUCAGUGAUAUCCUUCAGUAGCAUUGAUAGCCAAUGAUAGAAGUCUAUCAUUGGCUAUCUUCUAUCAUUAGCUAUCAUUGAUAGAAUCCAUAAUAUUUGCUAUAGCUGGAAAUAUUUCAAUUUAUUUUGCUACUUUUAAAAAUGUCUCUUUUUUAAAAGGUAAAUUUUCAACCAUAUAACAAAAUUGAAAAACAUUUAUUAUUCGUAUAACAAUUUAAGAAAAGUACAUUAACACUAAUUACUUACCCUUACUUGUUUAUAACAAAUUUUCAAUUCUGAUUCUUCUUCUUCCUGAUUUUUUCACUUUCUUUUGGAGUUAUUCAUCUCACGUUUUAUAUAUUUUUCAACUUAAUCCUUCUUUCACUUAUUUAUCAUCUUUUCGAAUGUAUUCUUUCUCUUGAAUAUUCUUUCUCUUCCUCGUCAUCUUUGUCAUCAGCUUCGACAAUCAAGAUCGUUUAUAUUACUAUGUCAAUAUCGUUGCAGUUAUCUUGUUUUCGAUGAGAAUUCUAAAUACUAUAGCAAAUUAGAACUGUUUAGACAAUUAUAAAGUUUCGCUAAGAAUUCUAUCAUUCAAAUAAAGAUCGUUUUUGUUUUGGUUUGUAGUAAGAAUUGUAAAUUUUGUUUUCGUUUCAAAUGUUUAGAAGAUUUAUGAAUUACUGUAGGACAUUCUGUAUUUCAGUAUGAAGAUCUUUAGUUUGAGGUUUUUUAUAUGAUCGUUUAGAUUGAUAACUAAGAAUUUUAUAGUUCAUUAUGAUCAUUUUUGUUUUUUUUGUUGUUGGUAAGAGUUCUAAAGUUUGUUUUUGUUUCAAAUGUUUAGAAGUUUUAAGUAUUACUCUAAGAAUUUUGUAUUUCAUUAUGAAGAUCGAUAGUUUGGAGUUUUUGACAAUAAUUUAUAUUGAAUUACACGAUCGUUUAACACUAUCAAUAGGAUCGCUUACCAAUAUUAACACGAUCGCUUACCCAUAACAAGAGUCUUUUACAAUAUUCAAUAUGAUCACUAGGAUCAUGUGAUCGUGUACCUAUGUCAACACGAUCGUUUACUUUAUUCAAUACAAUCGUUUACCGUUUUCAAAUGAUCGUUUAUCAUGGUUAAUAGGAUCAUGUAAUGUGUACUAAUUCAUUGCACGAAUUUCUAUUUAUUCUUGCAUUGUGUUUAUUAUUAUCUAAUUAUCUCUUUUAUUCUUUUGUUCAGUGAUAGAUGUAUAUCUUUGUCUAUCUAUUUAUUUCUAUCACAAUUAAUUACUUAGUUUUAUUUUUUAUUUUUUACAGAUUACAAUGCCUAUUCCUUUUGUUGUUUUUUAUGGAGGUCAAUAGAAUGGAUAUAAUAUUUAUGAGAAUUACUUAGUUACUGAAAUUUUGGUAGAUGUCCAAGUCAGUUUUAAUUCUCUAGUUGGUUUAAUAUGUGAACACAUUCAAUUGGAUGAAUCAGUAGAUUUAUCUAUUUUACUUGAUAGUGGUAAAAGCAACGUUUAAACUCUGGUGCCAAUAAAGAAAGACAAUGAUGUUGCUUGGCAUAUAUCUUUACUAAAGAUGCAAGUAGUAGACAUCCAUUAGUUCCUAAUGUAACUGUUGGUUCUUUGGGAAAGUCUUCUUCUAUUAGUGUAUGACAAAAUGUUGAUAUGUGUCAUUGAAUGUAGGUUCUCCUUUAUUGUUUCAAAUGAUGAAGUUACAAGAUACAUUUCUUAAUAUGGUGAUUGGAAGGAAACAUGUUUGUUUAAAAGUAAAGAAGUGCUUUCAAAUUGUUUUUUCAUAAUAACAGUAAAGAAGAAGUUUCAAUUUAGAACUACAGUAUCAAAUUUUAGGUCUCUUGAAUUUAGAUGCAUGCAAGAAGAAUGCAAAUAGUAUGUUAGGGCAUCUCAUUAUAAGAAGAGCGAGUUCUGGAUGCUAUGAAAAUGCAUUUUUGACCAUGACUGUUCAUUGAAUACUACAUAAAGUAGUCACAUGCAAGCUUCUUCAACAGUAAUUGGCAGUUGAUUGAUAGAUGAUUUUAGUUUCAUGUCUAUUGAUCGUUCCAUUUCAAAAGCGAUUGCGCGUAAGGCUCGUAUAAAUCUUGGAGUUAAUAUAAGUUAUCAGAAAUCUUGGAAGGCAAAAGAACACAUAGUAAAGAUAUUAAAAGGUGAUGCAGUUGAAUCAUACAUUUUGAUUCCAGAGUUCUUUGAUAAAUUUGUUAAAUCUAACCCAGGUAUGAUUAGUUUCAUAUAUCAAAAUUACACUCAUUUGCAAAUAGAUGAUAAUAAACAAAUGUUACAAUCUAUCUAGAUAGACAAAUAUUAGCAUCUAUCACAGUCAAUGUGUUGUAUUUUGUUGGUGAUGAUAGAAAUGUUUUGUAAUUAUUAUAGGUACAUGCACUGCUUUAGAGAUGGAUGAUAGUGCAAGUUUUGUUUUAUGACUUUUGGUGUAUCAAUUGAAGUAUAUGAAAAUACUGUAAACCUAUCAUUUAUGUUGAUGACACAUUUUUUAAGUGUAGUAAGUUUGGUGGCAUCCUAUUAACAGUCGCCUCAUCACAUGAUGGUAACAAUUAAAUUUUCCCUUUUGCUUUUGUUAUUGUAGAUUCUGAAAAAUGAUGCAUCAUGGACAUGAUUUUUUUAGAAGAUACGAGGUAGUUUUUCAGAGCGAGCUAAUUCAGUCAUUGUUUCUAAUUAAGCAUCUUAACAUCCUAAAGGAGUUUUAAGAGUGUUUCCUGAUGUUGAGUAUUGUGUGUGCACAAAACAUCUAUUAAGUAACUUGAAACUUCAUUUUAAGGAUCCACUACUUGAUAAAUAUUUCUUUUGUUGUGCUUAUGCCUACACUUAUGCCUACAAAACAUCUAUUUGUGCACAUGAAACGUAUGGAGUCAAUUUGUUCAAAUAUCAAAGAUUAUCUUAGUAAUGUUGGUUUUGAGAAGUGGUCUCGGACAUAUUCGCGACAAAAUGAUGAUAUCAAAUUAUGUAGAAAGUGUAAAUUCAGUGUUUAAAUAUCUCAGAGAACUACAUGUGGCUACCAUGCUUAAUUCAAUUAUAUAUGUAUUGCAAAAGUGGUUUUAUGAAAGAAGUAAAGCUGCUUUUGCAAUAAAGAGGCGUUUAACUUCUUGGGUUGAGAAUGUGUUGUGUUUAGAACAUGAAAAGUCAAGAAGUUUAUUGGUAAGUCCCAUGGGAUCACCACUUGUUGUGCAUCCUUUGGAGUACAAAACCGAUAGGUGCAUCCGUUGGAAGCACUAGACUGAUAGGUGCAUCAUUCGGAAGCACUAGAUUGAUAUGCACUAGAUUGAUAUGUGCAUCCUUUGAGAGCAUUAGACUGAUUGUGUGCAUUCUACGGGAUACAAGACUGUUAUGAUGGAGGGUACCACCCAAUUGUAAGCUAAUAAUUUUACCUCUAGCAAGACCAGUAGUGAGUUUCUUAUUGAGUAUAUUUAUACUCACCCUUUCAUGUUCAACUUUUCAGGCAAAUGUAAUACAAGAGGCAAAUCGACGAGGGAUAAGAAUGAGACGUUAUCGUCGUAGGGGAAUUUUCUUCAAAAUUGUUUUCGCUUAGUAUCUUUACUGUUUUUCAGUUUUAAAGAUUUAAAAUGAGUUCCAUGUUUAGAACGGUUUAUUUUUAAGUAAUUUAUAAAUGAUACUUUAGAAAUUGUAUUUUGUUUAAAACAAGGCCCGAAUGAAGUUUCUUUGAUAAUGAUUGUUUCAAAUAAAUUUUUAUUGUAUUUCGUGUCAACCAAAGUGUUUUUUUUUUAAAGAUAAUGACUUCGACUUAAUUUGAAAAGUUGAGUUGUUACAAGGUUAUUUUGAGACAUCUUUGUCCUGAGAAAACAUUUAUAAAAUCGUAAACCUUAAACCUUAAAUUCCUUCAAGAAUCCUCUUACAUAACCUUUAAACUCUAUUUCUAAUAAACCUUAAACAUUCCUUGGUAAACAGUAAUCUUAAAUAAAUAACUUUAAACAAUAACAUGCUUGAAUGACUUUUCAUAAAAUAUCUUAGACAUUUAAUACAAAUAAUUUAUAACUCAUAACUUAAGAACAUACUUGAAAUCACUUUAAUAAAAUCAUUUUUCCACUCACAGAUACAAGCUCAAAUCCUUGUUCUAUACAUUUUCUUCAUCUCUUCUUAUCCUUAAAUAAUGGUACAAUAGUCCAAUUAAUUCCCUUUUACCAAGAAAACACCAAAAGUGUACUUGAAAAUUCCAAAAACCAUCAAAAACUGCCCAAAUGCCUCCUGACAUUGUCUAGCGCACAUGAAUGGGCAGCAGGCCUUGGUCGCGCACGCUGGACAGCCCACGUGCCAACCUCACAAGACGUUUACCAUGCACCCCACCUUGAUCACAUACCUUGCGUCCCGCCCAGCCCUCCUCGCGCAUAUAACUUGUGGUGCAUACCUUGCGCGCAGGUUGUGCGUCUAACAACAGCCAAAAGGUAUCACUAACCUCUUUGAGCAUCAAAAUGCCUGUCUAUCUCUUUUAGCUUACCUUGUCACUUAGUCAACCACUAACUUGACGAAAAACUCAUUUUUCUUCUAAAAACUUAACCCAACUUUAAAAACUUAUAACUAAAAAUCCACAACUCUUUAGAUGAAACUUCCUUAUGUGAAAAUGCUUAGAAAUGUCUUAGCUAUCUUAGCUCAAAAUAUAAGUUUCAAAUUUCUCGAGAAGUCCACCUUGCAUAGAUUCAUUUGAAAAUUGAUCUUCCUCACUUUUUUCAACUCAAACUCAACUUUCCCUUCCUAAAAAACGUCUGGCAACCUUAGUCUGAAAACUAGACUCAAUAUGUGAUCUUUCUAAAGUAAUUUUAACCAAAAUGCACAAGUGAAAUGGGAGAAAUGUUAACCAAAAGUGACCUAUUUAUACUAAACCUUGCAUGAAUAUUGAUUGAUACCUCAUACUUGCCAAAAUCUAAAUUAAGCAUGUAAGGACACUUAUAAAGCACUUCACCAACUCCACUCUUCAUCUCACCCAACCAAAAUGGCUAAUUACUGUUAUAUGUGUGGUCUCAAUUCAGUGCUAGGACUUGAGAGUUUCCAUUAUAGUAAAUGCAGUUGCAAUACAUCACCGAUUCAGAUCAUUAUGCAUAAUGCGCUCAUUAAAAUUCUUUGUAUUGUAUACUUCCAUUACGUGCGAUGGUCCAUAGGGUAUGAUAAUAGCAUUUAAGGAGCUUACAAUGUACCUCUUCAUCACGUAAUCCUUAAGUCCUCGUUGAGUACAAGUUUUUCUACUGUUUUUCCAAGUGCAAGCAAAAUAGUAGGUUUACCUGAGUGAUCCAAAGUCGUACGCAAAAAAUUAUUUUAGAUAUUAGUUUUAGGUUUCAGUUUUUGUUAAGACAUUUGAAAGAAUAACAAAUGUAAGAAUUAACUAAAUACAUAGCAAAAGUUUGUACUACAUCGUGAAGAGAAAGAUAGAACAAUGUAUCUAACUUGUAUUAGGGAGAAAAAGGCAGGAAUGACCAUGUGAUAUCUUAUGACAAAGUAUCAAGAUAACCUUGACGCGAUAUAGUUUACUAGGACAUUCUUGUGAUUAAGGCAUGCUUCUAUCGAAUGCAUAUAUGCCACACAUGACUACUUUUCAUAGAUCCAUAUGAACAAGUAUGGCUAGGCGAGCUAUAUCUAAAAGAAACAGCUGAUGCAUCUUUUAAUAUUUCGCAUUUAAGGACGGUUGCCUCUCAGUAACCAAUGUUCACACUUGUUUUCCUUUCGCGAUCCAAAUGUUCGAGAUGCUUUCACAGGGAGAUAGAUUUUCUCUCCAUGCGUGUUAAUUGAGUUCUACCUACUUUCUCCUCUCGGGUAGUUGGCAACUUAUGCUGGUCAAGCAGUCACAAAAGCAUAAUUAACACGUUAAGAUUUAUAAGUGACUCUUCUUAUCAUGAACUAUUAUCUACCCUAACACUAGGUAACACGUUGUCUUGCAGAACAUGAGAAGAAAUGGAUUGAACGAUUAUAUUCACUUAAACUUAACAAAGAAUGUAAGAAUUGGUUUAUACAUGAUAUGUACAGUAUGAUGUAUACAAUAUUAAUGAAAACAACAAAAAUGAGAAAAAGAGAAAGUCGAUUAUUAAUACAAGUUAAAUGAUCAACAAAUACUAAUCUUUUCUUCAUCACGAUUGCAUAUUCUCCAGGUAGCUUUCACAAGCUCGCUCUCUCUCUCUCUCUCUCUCUCUAAAUAGACUUUUUCGGGCAUCUUCUUGGGCUUUUCGAGCCUCUCCUUCAAAGGUAGGGAUGGAAUGCUUGUAUAGACUAUUUUUCAACGAGAAAAUUCUUUUCUUCCGAGUGUGUCGACGCUGUCAUCUAACCUUGUCAAGUCACAUCAUUCCAAUUACUAUUUUUAUCUUUUUGUGAGCUUUCCUCGCAUGCUAUAAGGUUCAUUGCCUUGAGUUGUUAAUCAACAAGCAAGAUCCAUCACAUCAUCUUUGCACGAGAUGUCAUAUGUGAAUUGCUCAUUUCUUCUUUUCCCCUUAUCCCACGUUUAAACAUGACAAUUGUGUAAAACAGGAACGAUAUUUUCGUAGGCCGUAUUUCUAAAUAUUUAUGCAUUUACAACGUAAAUUUUGCGUUCUUAGCAACUUCUUAUGCAUUUCAACCUCAUUAUUCUAAUAAAAAGGACUAUACUAAUGAUCAUUUCUGCACAUUAUCACACCUCCAAAUUUAGAAUAAUGGUUGUCCUCAAGCAUCACUCCAUAUUAUGCCUGUCCUCAAGCACCGUUCCUCUUUAAUGAUUCACUUUUCCCUUUGCAUUUCAACACUCCUCUUAAUGCGAGCAAGUUCUAUUCAUUAUGAACGAAUUACCAUGGUCUCGUACUUCUUAUUAUGAAAAUAUUUCUAUGUUCAUCAGGCGGCAAGCUUAAUACUGAAAAUAUCAUUGUUCAUUCUCUUUAGUAAACCUUAUUUUUCAUAUUCUGUAAUGACUAAAAUUUUGAGAAAGCUCCAAAUCCCUUUUAUUUAGCGAAAGAAUGCUUUGUAUUAAAUUUCCAUUGGAUUGAACGUUGAGUGGAAAAUCAUAGGCACUCUAUGAGCCCAUUUCUCUCCUCAAUUGUAACUCUUAUCGUCGCUUUUUAUUCAAUUCUCUGAGUUUUUACUUUUAAAGCUUUACUUCUUAUUUUUGCGAGAGGAGGCAACAUAGGAGUUGUUAUUUUUAAAUUAAUCCAAGUUUAUCCGAAUUUACAGCAAUUGUUUUAUUUUUGGCUUAGUUUUAACUUGUGUUAAAACACCUUACUUUUGCUUGCCUUGUAAGGUUUUUUGAAAGGUUUUCAAAAUUUUAAUACGGAUCUCACGCACCCCCAAAUUUAGAGAUUAACAAAGUCCUCAUCACAAAAAUGAAUGAUAAGAUUAUUCUUUAGGAAAGUUUUUACAAGAGUUGGUUUGAGGUAAAGUUUACUCGCCUUAAUAAGCUAUAGAAAUAUUUUUGUAAGUAAGGUUCCUUAACAAGUUAAACGCACAUAUAACAAAUGAAAUUGUAUUUCACAUACUUUAUUUUAUUGAAGUGUUAUUGAAGUACAAAGAAAAAUUAGAAUACUAUAAGGUGGGGAGCCAAACUUGUGACAAGAAAGAUUAAACGCUUAAAGGUUACAACAAAAGUGAUUGCUUGCAUUGUUAAGGAUAUAAAUAAAAAGAAAUAAGCAUUAUGCCGAGGCACUUAGCAAAUCCUUAUGAUUUCGUCAGCAAAAUGAGGUUUCUUCAAUUGAGGAUCUUGUGAGGCUAUCCUCGCUUUUGCUACUGGAUCAUUGUGCUCUUUUGGAUUUUCUAAGGCUUGGAAUAAGCGAACAAGGAUUACUUGGAAUAGAAGUGGGCGAAUGGGGUUGGGAGGAGUUUGAGUGUUUUGUCUUUGGAGGUCUUUCUUAUGACGUAGAGCUCGAGAUGGUGAGCGUGCAACAAGAUAUCAUGGGAGUUUUUAGCCUUAAAAGGUUCUCUUCUUUUCGGUCCUAAGGCUUCCUCCUCUUCUUGUUUGUACCAUCAUCACCCUUUUUAUUUAUCGUCGUAUGGAUGGUGAUGAGGUCUCAACUUUAUAUUUUUCCCUUCCUCUACUUGUGCGCGCGAGAGUAUCCUUGAAUGCUCUAGGAUCUCUUCUUUCUUGUGGGCAGGCACCUCCUCCUUUGACAUAGUGUUUCUAUUAUCUUCUUUCUCAAACUCCUCGAUCACGCCCUCCCCCACCUUUGUCCCUCAUUCUUGUCAUUUGCCUCUUCUUCCAAGGACUCGAAUCCCUUUUGCAGAUCUUGCAGGGGUCCUUAUUGCUAACCCUGUGACAUCAGUAUCAGAUGAGAAGGUGAUUUUUUAUUGGAAGCUCAAGAUCCUCCUUUCUCAUCUGGCUGUUUUGCUUCUUCCUUAUUCUUCUUUUCUUCUUCUUGUUACAUAAUAUUUUAUUCAUGUAUAUCUUCACUUUCUUUUGCCUCCUCCGUUACAUAAUCUUUUAUUCCAUAUUUCCUACCUCAACUUUCUCCAUCAUUUUGUGCUUUCUUUGUUUCUAUAACCUUAUUGCUCUAGGCGCCGAACAUGAGUACUUAUUACUCAUGAUGGAUGGCCUAAUGAGGGAUUUUGUAAAGUGGAACAUUUCUUGGUGAAAGACAACAUGAAUUUAAAGAAAAACGCUGAAGAUGAACUCUUUGGAAUGGUAUCACUUUGAAGGACAUACGAUGCGUGGCUUUAUGACUUGUAUUGGGCUAAAUGUUGCGUCUUAGAGUUUUUAAGUGUUUAAAUAGGCCUUCUUAACUAAGGUUAAGAGAGUGGUUACCACAUGGUUAAUAUCUUGUAACAAUAAAUGUGAUGUGAAAAACUUGAGUGACUACUCAUGGCUCGAGGGCGUAGCAUUCAUCUCGUCUUGGACACUUAAAACUGAGAGAUUUGACCUGACUCUACGUACCUCUAAAGAUUUUAUCGUUUUCCUAUGCAAUCUAGUUUCCUAUUUUGUGUAAGGCUGUUAUACUACCUAUGAUGGCACGACGUGACUAACAAUCCUUAUGAAAGAUUAAAGGAAAUAUAAAAAGUGACAACAAAAUAAUACAAAAUUAAUUUACAAAAAUAAAAGAAUUGUGCAUAGAGGUGUUGAUGUAUAAGGAGUAAGACAUAUUGUUCUGAAGAUACUGAUUUAAAGCGACGAGAAAGAAUAUACAAAUGUACUCAUGCGCUAAUACUCCUUGGCGAUGAUUAACAGUGUAUAAUUGCUUUUGCUCUGUAUAGCUUCCUGACCACGUUAAUCUUGCAGUUCAUUGAUCACUUGCAUCAUGAAUUUAAGUGUCUCAAUCAUUCAUCGCAAUGUUCAAAUGACCUUUCUUGGUCCUUUUCACUUUGCUAACUGAAAUUGUAUUUUUCAUUAGCUCUGUGCGAGGACACUUCUCUAGAUGACUUUAUAGAGGUUCACAUUUUCAUUUGCGACUACUCGCAUCCAUUGAGAUUUCUUAGGUCAUCUUCCGAAAGAUACGUUGGUUUUGGGAUUGGUUCAAGCAAUCACGAAUUAAUUCGGUACCUUGAAUCUUUCCAUGUGAUUUUUGGCUAAUUGUGUGAUUCACCAAAAUCAAAUGUUUUGCUUUAACUCAAGUAAAACACUACUCUAACAUCUAAAAAUCAAUUCCCUAGCAAUGACAUCAAAAACUUGAUGUUGUGUGUGGUCUCAAUUCAAUGCUAGGACUUGAGAGUUUCUGUUAUAAUGAAUGCAAUUGCAAUACAUCACCGAGUCAGAUCAUUGGGCGUAAUGCUCUCAUUGAAAUUCUCCGUAUUGCAUGCUUUCAUUACGUGCAAUGGUUCAUAGGGUAUGAUCAUAACAUCUAAGGAACUCACAAUGUACCUCCUCAUCACGUAAUCCCUAAGUCCUUGUUGAGUACAAGUUUUUCUACGGUUUGUCCAAGUGCAACCGAAAUAGUAGGUUUACCUAGGUGAUCCAGGGUCGGGAAUUGUUUUAGAUAUUAGUUCUAGGUUUCACUUUUUGUUAAGACAUUUGAAAGAAUUAAAGAAUAACAAAUGUAAGAAUUAACUAAAUACACAACAAAAGUUUGUAAUGUGUAAUGAAGAGAAAGAUAAAACAGUGUAUCUAACUUGUAUUAGGGAGAAAAAGGCAGAAAUGACCAUGCGACAACUUAUGACAAAUUAGCGUGAUAACCUUGACUCAACAUAGUUUACUAGGACACCCUUGUGAUUAAGGCAUGCUUUUCUUGAAUGGAUAUAUGCCACAUAUGACUGCUUUUCAGAGAUUCAUAUGAACAAGUAUGGCUAGGUGAGCUAUGUCUAGAAGAAACUGCUUAAGCAUCUUAUAGUAUUUCACAUUUAAGGAUGGUUACCUCUCAGUGACCAAUAUGCACACUUGCUUUCCUUUCAGGAUCCAAAUGUUCGAGAUACUUUCGUAGGGAGGUAGAUUUCCUCUUCACGCGUGUUAAUCCAGUUCUAGCUACUUUCCUCUCUCGGGUAGUUAGUAACUUAUACUGGCCAAGCAUCCACAAAAGCACAGUUAACACGUUAUGAUUUUAUAAGUGACUCUUCUUAUCAUGAACUAUUAUCUACUCUAACACUAGAUAACACGUUAUCUUGCAAAAGAUGAGGGUAAAUGGAUUGAAUGGUUAUAUUUACUUAAACUUAACAAAGAAUGUAAGAAUAGGUUUAUACAGGAUAUGUACAGUAUGAUGUAUACAAUAUUAAUGAAAACAACAAAAAUUAGAAGAAAAUAAAGUGGAUUAUUAAUACAAGUUAAAUGAUCAACAAAUACUAAUCUUUUCUUCAUCACGGUUGUAUAUUGUCCAUGUAGAUAUUUUAAGCUCUCUCUCUCUCUAAAAAGACUUUUUCGGGCCUAUUUGAGCCUCUUCUUGGCCUUUUCGGACCUCUCCUUCAACGGUGGGGAUGGAGUGCUUGUAUAAGCUGCUUUUCGAUGGGAAGAUUCUUUUCUUCUGAGUGUGUCAGCAAUGUCAUCUGACCCUGUGAAUCACAUCAUUCCAAUCACCAUUCUUAUCUUUUUGUAAGUUUUCCUCACAUGUUGUUUAGGUUCAUUGUUUGGGGUUGUUAAUCGCCAAACAAGAUUCAUCGCAUCGCCUUUGCACGAGAUGUCAUGUGAACUGCUCCUUUCUUCUUUUCCCCUAGGUCCACAUUUAAACAUGACAAUCGUGUAAAAUAGGAAUGACAUUUACGAACUCAUCGAGGACCCAGAGGUCAAAGUAGUCACGGAUAUCUAAAUAUUUAUGUGUUUACAAUGUAAGUUUUGCGUUCUGAGUCACUCCUUAUGUAUUUCAACCUCAUUAUUCUAAUAAAAAGGGCUAUACUAACAAUCAUUUCUACACAUUGUCACCAGUAUCCAAAGACAAGUCCAAAUGCCUUAUGUCAAACCCUUAUGAACCUCCAAGGCUUCUUGCAUGACAUGCCCCCCACCCAUCCCUAAGACACCAACCUUCAACAGCCCAUAUUUUACUUUUUUGUCUUUUCAUGUCCUUUCUUCGCCAUCCUACCGAAUUCUAUUGCAACUAUUGGCAAGGAGGUUCCCUCUUCUUGAACCUUUGUUUCUCUCACCUCCUCACCAACUUCCUCACUCCUCCUUCUCGCCUCUUCUUCUUUCUACUUUUUCUCAUCUUUCUCCUCUAGCCUCUCCUUUUCUUUUUCCACUUUCUCUUUUUUCGCCCUCUCAUCUCACUCUUUUCUUUUUCCACUUUCUCUUUUUUCGCCCUCUCAUCUCACUCUUUCUUUUCCUUUUCUUCUUUUUCUUUCUUCUCCCUUUCUAUUCUUUCUUGUUCACUAGUACAAAAGUGGUCUACGACGACAGUUAUUUACUAUCGCGAACGGAUUUCGCGACAGUUAUUUUUAGUCAUAGAAGCGGGAGUCAUGGAAAGGCCUUCGACGACAGUUUUUGAAAACUGUCGCAAUAGGUUAUUUUAUGACAUGAAAUAAAUGUCGUUAAUCAGCAUUCAACGACAUUCAAUAACUGUCAUAAUUUAUUUUAUGACAUUCAAUAACUAUCAUCAUUUCUUUAUUAACGACAGUUAAAUAAUUGUCACGAAUUCUAUUAUCGUGACAUGUAUUAAUUGUCAUGAAUAUGUUUUUCACGACAGUUUUUUUUUGUAAAAAUGUCAUUGUUUAGUUAUUGACGACAUUUUUUUCCUGUCAACGAUUGUGCAAUCGUGACAGUUUUUCGAUAACAUUAAAUGUCAUUGUUUUGCUAGUGACGACAUUUUUUUCCAGUCAAAUAUAUUGCAACUCCACCAUUACACGAACCAUUAGAAUGACAAUAAUGUAGCUGAGAAUGACAAAUUUGAAAUUAUACAAGUUUCACACCAAUGUACAAAAAAAUAGCCAACACUUUAAUAUAUAUACACUAUAAUACGAUUUAUAAUAUUUGUACAUCUUAAUACAAGUUUCAAUAAUCCACAUGUACGAAAUACUAGCCCUUAAUCAAAAAAUAUUUUAAAUAGCAUUAGAAUACAUCUAACAAGAUUUUCUGCAGAAGCAUAAACGACCAACCGAGAAUGUUCGUCUCUGGAAAUGUUCUUUGAAAGAAAACUCAUGAAGUUGUCGACUCCAGUUGAACCUACAAAGACAACAUGAAUAUAAGUAUCCAUAACACAUACGUACAGUCAAUGAGUAACUAAAUCAAUGUCUCAACAAAAUACAGAACACAAACAAGAACUUCAACACUUGAUUCCAUGAAAUGAAAAGAAGCACGUGAGGACUACAUUAGGCAAACGAUCAUUAAAUAAUAGUGUGAAGAAGUGUAAUCCCAAAUGAUCAAAAAGUUGGACAAUCAAUCUAACCUGGUUUGGCGAUACAUAAAGUGGGUUCUCAUACCAACAGUUGAUGGAAAAUUGAACAUGUAAGUUUAAAGGAUAACAAUCAAUUAUAUGGAAAUGUAUACAGUGAACUAGAAAAACAAUGAAAUCAUUGACAUAAGAAAGAAAAAUAGCAAGAUCCCCAACUAGGACUCCUAAAAACUAUUCCCCAAAAUCUGCUUAAUCUCAAACUCUUCAAAUCAAUUAAUUUUUUGCCAUGCCAAAUUCCUUUCCUAAUGACGAUUGUAUGCCUCAUAUCUUAAGAACGACACUUCUGACAUUUAUCCAUAUAUACCUUAACGUACUUCACUAAAAACACGCAUUGUUCCUCAGGUGGUGUUGCUAACGGAGUGAUGGUUAUAAAUAAAGCAUGAUCAUGGUUAGUAUUAAAUUCUGUAGCAAGUAGGAAAUAAAUAAAGCAUACCUGGUAAUUCCGGAACCAGAUAUGGUCAUCAACAAUAGAGAAAACAAAUACAUGAUCAUGGUACGGUUUAGAAUGUCGAUGCUCCUUAGGAGUUCCAAAAAUCUGAGAGAAAAACACAUUGGUGAGAUAAAAGUAUGUCAUGUAAAAUAAGAGUUAAUAGCAAUCGUUUUAAAAAAUGCCAUUAUUUGGAGAAGCAGCAAGGAUCUACAUACUUUUCACAACAUAGUAAAUAUGCAUAUGUGAAAUCAGAAAUUAAUAAAGGCAGCAUGAAAAGAGAAUAAUAGUGGUGAGGCACUGGCAUUUUAGAAUGGGCACAAGUAUUCAUUAACCUUAUUCUUAUGCCAUGAUAUUACAUGAAAGAAGUGCAUUACGAAUAUCUUUUAUUUUUCUUUCCAUAAGAAAAAACUGAAAGAAGCUACUUCGACUACAGUCAUGCAGACUAUUUUAUCAAUUCAAUACGAUGUUAGCUUUGGAUUGAAGGAGCAAGGAAAUGAGCAAAAAAUGCGUUUAAUGAAGAAAGACAAGGAAAUUGACAUUUGCCUCAUACAUUGAUCCACGAGUAAGAAUGAAAAAUCAUUUCAACAUUCAAAAAUUAAUUGUUAAAGACAAAACUUUGCCAUUGGUACAUGAAUAAUCAUUUUCUUCAGAAGUUUCUAGUGGACAUCUUUAUCAAAAUUUGAUGAAAAUGUCAAAAUUGGACGGGAACCUUUCAAAUGGUUCCCUGUAAGCUUCAAUUCUUCCAUUGUAUGCACUGAAAGCAAAAAAAAAAUGGACAAGUAAGAAAACUUCAUUUAAUAAAGAAAUCAAAUAAAAUUUGAAUACAAGUUAAAAUUACUGGCAUUAACUAAAAACUUCACAGAUGGCCCACUAGGGCACUUUGCCAUACAUAGAUAAAGAUCUUUAUGUUUUCUGCACUGGAAUUAGAGAAAAAAAUAUCAAUGAGUGGAAAAAUAUGAUCGCAAUGUACAAACAUGAUGAGAAGGCCAUAUAGGAAAGUAAUAUAAUGAAAAGCAAAAGGAUAGUUAAAACAUCCUUAUAAGUUAUACACCACAAGAAUAAAACCAAAAUGUUAUCAUCCUAUAUCUAAUUAAAAAUAAAAAUUAGAAAACAUUGUACCUUAAAAAUUCCAGAUUACGACAGUGCAAUGAAAAGGUUCUAACCUCGAAAAAUAGGCUGGAAGAACAACCUUUGAGCUCAACCAGCUCAUUCAGUGUUGCACCCUUGCUGGACCUCGACUCCACCUUGUUAUCCUUCUUACAAAGAAAACAUAUAGAUCAUUCACAAGUCCUUAAACCAAAGUAAUACCAUUCUAUAAGUGUACAACUCACUCGUUUUCUCUUUAAUCUUAACUCUUGGUGUCAUGUAAACCACUACUGAAACUUUACCCAUGAUGAUGAUUACCAAAAUCAUAACUUUUAAAUAUAAUAACUAUGCGUAUACACGUAUGCAUGAGGUCUCAUGAUUUUAAUCAGUAGAUGUCCUGAAACAUAAUCGUAUGACACAAGAGAAUAACAAAUAUCAAAGGCGUUUCAAGUUUAAAAUAAUUACAAAUAACAUUUUAUAUACUUCACAUCUGGAAGCUCGAACACAAAAUUCAACAUACUCACUAACAACACAUCACAAACACACAUAACCCUAGACAAAUUACAGCAAACAAAUCCCAACAACCGGCACUUAAGGCAAAUUGGUAGUUAAGUUACUUUAUUGACUAGUUUGACACAACUUAAGGCAAAGUACAAAGUUUAAGAUCUCACAUUUCAUUUUUCAUUCUUUUUUUCUCAAAGCUUCAGCCCAUAGCCAUGACAUCUCCUUUGGCCUUGAUUUCCUAAUUCGAACAAACAAAAAUCAAUCAAAAAUCAACCAAAUGCUUCAUUGAGGCAUUUCAUCAAACACAUUGUAAGCUACCAAAAUGUUUCAUCACCAACCUACACAAAUUCUUGAAAACAAAGAAAAUAAUUUGAAAGAUUGCAAAGAAAUCGGCACUAGCCAUGACAUCUCUUUUGGAAAUGAGAAAUUGGGAUAAGAUCUUACCGGCGAAACAAUCCAAUGAAAUUGGGAUAAACUGAAAUCAAGAAACAAUCCAAUGGAGACAACGAAGAACUUCAUAGAGAGAGAGAGAGAAAGAGAUAAAGAAGAGAAGCUUACCGGCGGAGGGGAGGGGUGACGACCCACGCCCACGAUUUUGUUGCUUCGGGUUGAUUGAAGAGGUUUGGAGAAGACGGGGGUGGUGGCGACGGGUUGGUGGAGAAGGUUUCGACGGACGGGCAGGAGGGGAUUGGUGGUGGCGACGGGACUUCAGACGGUCAGAAAUGGGAGAAAGCCGACGGGACUUCACGCGGAGGGGAGGAAGAAAUUGGGGGAAAUUUGGGGGAAAGUUAGGGCACGCGGAUGGGAGGAAGAAUUUGGGGAAAAUUUUGGGGAAUUUGGGUUUUUUUAAAAAUAUAAAUAUGUAAUUUUAAUUUUUUAAAUAUAAAAUAAUAAAAUUUUUAACCCUAACAUUCUAUGACAGUUAAUAACUGUCGCGAAAAGUGUUUUCCGAAAAUUUCCGUCUUUUCCCGCCAAAAACGCGAAAUUUUAUAUUUCGUGACAGUUUUUUUUUUCUUCCAUUCAUUUUUUGAGAUAUAUAACUGUCAUUGUAGGGGUGUUUUCUUCUAGUGGUUGUUCUUUCUCUACUUUUUCCCUCUCUAUCCUUUCUCGCUCUUCUUGUUCUUUUGUUCUUCUUCUCUUUUUUAAGUCUUCUCAAAGACUAUUACGAGCAUAUCACCCAACUUGUCCUUAGGAAGCUGAAUUUCCACUCCAUUGAUGAUCACUGUCUUCAAUGGUCUUUCUAUUUUUCCUUGCUCCUCAUAGGGCCACUUGAUUGCAAUUUCUCAACUCCUUUACCAGACUGGCAUGCUUUGGUCGUGGUGGCUUUAUACUUUUUUAGGGCUUCGAUUAAUUCUUGCUUUCCAGACAGGAUUGAUAAAGGGUCUAGAUUUGAACAAGAAAUAAAAAGUAAAAAAAAGAAUUCUUAAUUGGUUUUUUGAAGAGGAGGAUCAGAAAUCUUAGAGAGCGUUGGAAAGCUUAAGAGAAUUUGUUUGACUAAAAGUUUGAAAUCAGGGUUUACGAAAAAUUUAAAUAGACGCAUUUAACUACAAUUAGGGUUUGGUUAACCACACGGCUAACGUCAUGCGUUAUAAAUGCGACGUGAUGGCUUGACACGGACAAUUGGUUUUUUGAGGCCGUAGUCAUUACUUUUAAAAAUUGAGGUUUUAAAAGAAAUAAAAUGCUUGAAAUUCUCGAAACCUAAUCAUUAUGAAUGAAACCCUCAACUCAACCACACCUAGCGAGAGGUCCAAAACACCUAAUGCUUUUUGUUGUGAACUCUUUAUGCUAUAUGAUUUUAUUGUGAAAAAUCCUAUUUAAUUAGCCUAAUGACUUGGAGAGAUUACUUGUGCUCCCUAACUUGUCAAAAAUACUAAACUAUAACUAUAAAAUAAUUACAAGUAUACAAAAAUCAAUAUACAAGAUUACCGAUGCAAAGUGUAAUAAAGAUAAGGAAAGUUUAUAUGUUACAUGAGCAUCCUAAAGUUCAGGUUCUUCGACAAUGACAAUUGUGCUCUCCUCGCGUACUUCUCUGCACAACCUUCCUAACUGUGUGGUUUUCUCCUGAACUUCCUUGAUCAUUUUUUCCAUGACUCUCCGCAUCACGAUCGUUCAUCACACUAAGUCUUUGCUCCCAACCAUUCCCUGCAAUGUUCAAAUGAUCUUUCUUGGUCCUCUUAUCAUGUAAUUAAUUAAGAUAUAGAUCUUAUUAAGCUUACCGCGUGGACACUUACUUUGAUGCGUUCAUAUGGAUUCUUAAACUUCAAUAGAUUAGACAUUUAAGACUUUAGGCGUUUGAGGUUUCUCAACUUCAUUUGCAAUUAAAUGCAUCCAUUGAGGUUCCUCUUUUUCACUUACCGAAAGAUACACUUAACCCUGGGGCUAGUACAAGCAAUCACAAAUAUAACUCUGGUACCUUGAACUUCUUCAUGCGAUCUUUGGCCGAAUGCGUGAUUCACCAAAAUCAAGUGCUUUUCCCAAAAUCAAAGUAGAACCGUACUAUAAUCUUUAAAAAAUCAAUUCCCUAGAAAUAGAGCCAAAAACUUGCUUAAUGAAUUUGUUAUUCUUUGAACUUAGGGAAUAUUAUUGUUACAUAUGUUAGUAUCUAAUUCUACACAGUGAGCCAUUGAUUAUGGUCAUCGCAUGCUAGAUGCUCACUAUGUACCUCUUCAUCAUGUAAUUACUAAGUCCUUGUGAGUACAAGUUUUUAUAUUGCUUGCCCAAAUGUAAGCGAAACAAUAGGUUUCCUGGAUAAUCCAGAGUUGAACACAAAGAUUUGAUAUCAAAACAUUAGUUCUAGGGAUUACUUUUCAUUUGGGCAGUAUGAAAGAAUUAUCUAUACAGUGUAAUGAAUGUAAGUUUAUACCAUAUCUACUUAUCUACACUAGAGAUUCUAUAAAGGGGUUAUCAUGGUGGUGAGAUAGAGGUGUGAACUAACUUGUUUUAAAGAAAGAGUGAAGGAAGGUCUUUGCACUAUUAAGCAGUUAAGCUAUACGAUAGCUUUGAUGCGAUACGACUCAAUUAACUAGCUUAUGAUUAAGGCUAACACCUCUCGGUGUCUUUAAAUGCCACAUUUGCUUGCCUCUUGCUUAUGAUUAGCUCAACUGCACCAAAUACUUGACUUGGUUGGUUAACUUUGAACUUAGGGAAUAGAGUUGUUGCUCAUGUUGGUAUCUAAAUCUACAUGGUAAGUCAUUGGUCAUGGUCAUCGCAUGUUGGAUGCUCACUAUGUAUCUCUUCAUCAUGUAAUUGACUAAGUCCUCGUUUAGUAUAAGUUUUUCUAUUGUUUGUCCAAGUGUAAGCAAAACAAUAGGUUUUCUGGGUAAUCCAGGGUCGAACAUAGGGAAUUGAUAUCAAAAUCUUAGUUAUAAGGUCUAUUAUUAAGUUGGGCGGUAUAAAAGAAUAAUUUGUACAUUAUAAAUGAGUGUAAGUUAAACUAUAUCUACUUAUGUACACUUGAAAAUCUAUAAAGAAAAAUUAAGAUGGAGAUGAAAUGGAGGUGUGAACUAGCUUGCAUAAGAAACGGGUGAAUGAAGGUCUAUGUAUUAUUAGGCGAUUAAGCAAUACGAAAGUCUUGAUGCGGUAUAACUUAGUUAACUAGCUUAUGAUUAAGGCGAGCACCUCUUGAUGUCCUUAAACGCCACACUUGCUCACCGCUUGGGAUCCAAAUGACUAAGCUAGGUUAAACAAGGUAUAUUUAGAAGAUUUCACUUUCAAGAAUUAUAGAGCUUCUCUUUUAAGGGUGAUAACCUCUCGACACAAAUACCCACACCUAUUCUCCUUUCGGGACACAAAUGAUGAAAGUUAUCACGCUAAGGUGGGCUUUGUCUUCAAUCUCCACCUUCAUGUGUUAGCCAUAUCCUUGCUACUUGCCCUUUCAGAUAGUUGAUGAUAAACAUUGGCAGGUGAUGAAUAUAGGCUAAUGUGAUAAGAAUUAUAAGCUAAACUUCUUAUCAAGAAUCCUAAACAAAAAAUAAUACAAUGACAAAUGAGCAGUAAAUAUACGAUGGAUUGAAAAGGUAUAAAUAUACAAUGUAUUAAAGAAUAAAGGCCUUUGGCCACUGUACAAUAUGAAUAAAUACAUUGUAAUGAAAUACAGAAGUGGAAAGAAUAGGAAUGACAUUACAAGUUAGGGAGAAAUGGGAAAUGGACUCUCCUCCACUUGAACCUCAAGCUUUCACUCACUAACUGACCGAAGAAAAGGAAGAAAUACAUUUUACUAAUGGUGGAAAGGAUAUCAUUUCCACCACUAUUUAGGGUUUGGCUCAUUCAGGCGUACAGUCGGUCCAUGUAGACAUCUGACUUCUUUCAAACCCGACCUCUUUCUCUUUGUGAAGAUGGAGUUCUUUUUAUAAGUAGAUUCUGGUGGAAAACUUCUAUUCACCUGAACAUGUCAGCGUCGAAAGAUGCCUGUGUCAAGUCACAUCAACUCAUCUACUACUUUUGUCUUUUAGCGAACCUCUUCUCGCAUGCUGAUAAGAUAUUCUCGCGUAAUCUUCAGGUGAGUUUCUCUCCAUUCGCUAGCUUUUUCUUUUAUUCAUAUCUUGAGAUAAGACACUAAAAAUAGGGUGAAACAUGCAUAAAUGCUUGUAUAAAAUGUAUUUAUGAAUCUUUAUGCAUUUUGGUCUCAUUAUUCUAUCUAAAAGACUAUAAUAACUUGUAUUUCUACAAGUUAUCACCUCUUGGGAUGCAAAUGACUAAGCUUGGUUAAGCAAGGUAUAUUUAGAAGAUUUCACUUACAAAACUUAUAGGGCUUCUCUUUUAAGGGCGACAACCUCUCGAUGCAAAAAACCCAUACUUGUUCUUCUUUCGGGACACAAAUGAUGGAAGUUAUCUCGCCAAGGUGGAAUUUUUCUCCAACUUUUCGUUGCACAGGUUAGCCAUAUCCUUGCUACUUUCCCUCUCGAGCAGAUGACGAUAUAUACUGGCCAUGUGAUGAAUAUAGCUCAGCUAACGCAAUAAGAGUUAUAAGUUAGGCUUCUUAUCAAGAAUCUAUCACAUAUCCUAAAUUACAACUAACAUAUUGACAUAGAUGAGAUGGAUUGAAAAUCUAUAAAUAUUCAAUGCAUUAAAGAAUAUGGACCUUCGACCAUUGUACAAUAUGAAUAAAUACAUUAUAAAGAAAUACAAAAAUGGAAGAUAAAAGAAUGAAUAAUACAGGUUACGGGGUAGUGGAAGAUGAACUCUUCUCUACUCAGACUAUAAGCUCUUACCUAUAGAAUGAUCAGAGAAGAGGAAUAAAUAAUUUUACAGACAGUGGAAAGGUUAUUCCUUUCCGUCACUCUUUAGGGUUUGGCCCAUUCAGGCACUAUUUGUACGAUCCAUUCAGACAUUACCCUCCUUUAACUUGAUGAGGAUGGAUUCCUUUUAUAGGCAACUUUCGACGGUAAACUUCUAUUCUUCUGAGCAUGUCAGCGCCAAAAGCAACUUUCGACGGUAAACUUCUAUUCUUCUGAGCAUGUCAGCGCCAAAAGCAACUUUUGUCAAGUCACAUCAACUCCAUCUACCACCUUUGUCUUUUAGUGAACCUCUUCUCGCAUGUUGGUGUGGAUCUCGCCUAGAAAUUGUACUUGCUAGACAAGAUCUUCUAGCGUAGUCUUUGUGUGAGUUCCUGUGCGAUUCACUAGCUUCUUCUUUUGUUCAUAUCCAGUGUUAAAACACUGAAAACAAGCAUGAAAACUUAUGUAAAAUGUAAUUUCGAAUAUUUAUGAAUUUACAACAUAAGUUAUGCAUUUUGACACACUUAGUAUGUAUUUUGGUCUCAUUAUUCUAUCUAAAAUGCUAUAAUAACUUGUAUUUCUACAAGUUAUCAGUAGUCCAAUGUAAAUGAUCGUGAAAAACUUCAAAUCUAACAAUUGUGUUGACCAUGGUAAAUGAUCGUGUUGAUAAUUUAAAACGAUAUUUAAACAAUCUUGAUAUUUUUUAAUAUGAGGAAGAUGAAGAAUAUUGAAAUAGGUUCAAAGCAUCUUGUCAAAAAUGAUGAAGAUUAAAAAUGAGAUUUAAACAGAAGACUAAACCAUUUAAAAAUAGAAGAAAGAAAAUCUGGAAGAGGAGAUUAGGGGUGUUAAAAAAAACAAGUGGAUUACCCCAAUCAAACGGUAAGGGUUGGGUUGGGUUAACCGUUUGAUUUGGGUUAGAAAAUUGGAGAGAGAAAAAAUACUUGAGUCAGGUCCCAUGUUGUGCAAAUAAUGGUCGGGUUGACCCAACCUAACCCGAUUAUGCAUAUAAUGUAUAUAUAUAAACAUUAACAUGUGUCGUUUACUCAUUUAGUCUGAUCGGCUUCAAAUCUAAACGAUCGUGUUAACCAUGCUAAAUGAUCGUGUUGACUAGGUAAGAGGUUGUUUAAUUAUUUUUAAAUGAUGGAAAACGUGGCUUCAAAUCUAAAAUGAUCGUGUUGACCAUGCUAAACGAUCGUGUUGGCUUAGUAAGCGAUGAUUUAGACCAUAUCCACACGAUUGUGUAGUUCUUUUUAAACGAUGGAAAAAGGCUUCAAAUCUAAAUGAUCGUGUUGAUCAUGUUAAACGAUCGUGUUGACUUAGUAAGCAAUCGUUUAGAUCAUAUCCACACGAUCGUAUAGUUCUUUUUAAACGAUGAAAAAAAACCCAACCCGCCAACCCAAUCUAGCCCAACCCGAAAUUUUUUUUGAUUGGGUUGGAUUAGGUUAACUCUGGCAUAUUAAAUCGAUAGGAUUUAAUUUUUGCCAAUCCGAUUACUUCAGGUUGGUCCAUAUUUUUCCUCCAACCAGACUUAUGUACACCCCUAGAGAAGAUGAAGAAAUCACAAGAAAGAUGAAUAAAUCGCAAAGAAUAAAAAGAAGUGAUGAAUUGUCCCACAAUAUUUAAAUGAAAAAUCUAAAAUUUAUGAAAAUACAAUGAUGACUUUAUGGGCUUUAUUUUAUGUUACACGGGCCAUAAAUAUUUUUGGGUUUUGUUACAUUUACGUAAAUUAUUCUUUUCUAAAUAGUUUCAAUUUUUUUUUUUUUUGAUAUCCUUAAGAAUUUCUCUCGAUUUUAUUAAAAUAUUUCGAUAUUAUUAUUUAAUAUUAGAAAAUAUUACAUUUUUAAUAAAUCAAUUGUGGACUUUCAUUAAAGCAACAUUUAAUCGUGAAUUGUAGUUGGUAAAAAGUACUUUUUAUCCGUUCAAUUUCUAAUAAUUUAGUUUGUAAACUUCAAUAACUAACAUUAACGUAUACUUUGCAAUUUGUAACGCUUUAGUCCCUAUCAUGAAAUAUAUUAAAAGAAUUUAAUGAACUUUUUUUUUACACAUUUGGAUAGAUGACAUAAAAUCAAAUUUGUUUAUAAACCAUAAAGACUGAAAGUUAUUACCUUAUAAAAAUUAUCAAUAAAUUUUGAUGAAAAGUUUUACGACAGGGACUAAAUUAGUAUUUAUUAAAGCUUAAAUACUAAAUUGUUACAAAUUUGAAAGUACAUGAACUAAAUUUGUUGUCGACUAAAGUUAAUCGACAAAAUUGUGAAGUUUGGACCAAAAAUGUUUUUAACCUAAAAUAUGUUUUUGAAUUACCUAUCCGCCAAAAAUUGCAUAAACCUCUUGGGUUGUGGAAACAACAAUAGCUAGAGAAGUAAUGAGGCAACCGUGUCAAAUGAUGUAACACGUCCAAUCCUUAAACUUAGUAAUUUUCAACUUCUUUUCGAAAGUCCUCUGCAACCCCUUUUUUUCAAAGCACAAACUUCACACUUUCAAUUUCAAUUCGUUGAUGACGUGGUUAAAAAAAAAAAGAGUUUUUAAAAAUAAAAAAUAAAUUAAAAUACUUAUAAGCUAUAACAAAAUUUUGUAUUUUAUCAGUGAUAAUCACUCAUAGACUUCUAUCACGGUAGCAUAUCAGUGAUUAUUAGUGAUAAAAUUUAAAAAUUUUGUUAUAGGUUGUAAAUAUUUUGUAAAAUUUGCUAGUUUUAAAAUUUUUCAAAAAAAUAAUUUUGGAAUAUUAUUCGUUGAUAAAAACAUUCAAAAUUUUGAGAUAUUUCUUUUACAAAGGUAUCGAUAAAAAACCCAAAAAAAUUGAAAAUGUUGGAUGCUAUUUGUUAUAAAAAAAAAAAAAAAUCUAAAAUUUUGGGAUGUAAAAAGUUCCCAAAUUUUGGAUAUGCUAGCAUAUCAUAUCGAGAUAUAUAUAUAUAUAUAUAUAUAUAUAUAUAUAUAUAUAUAUAUAUAUAUUUUGUUAAAAAUAGUUUAGUAAACAAUCAAUUUACGUUUAAGAUUUGUUGUAGGGUUAUUUUUAGAAAUAACAAAAUAAAUUAAAAUAUUUACGAAUUAUAGUAAAAAUUUUGAAAUUAAUUAUUAAUAUAAUUUGAAAUUAAUGGUAGUUUGUAAAUAUUUUAUCUUAUUUUUUUUGAGGGUGUCAUUUGGUUACAACUUAUUCAUCAAUCAAAAUUGGUUAGGUCAAUUUUAUUAUAAGAACACAAGAGUAUGUAAAAAUAAAUACUAAACAAUAAAUAUUAAAAUGUUAUAUUUUUUUGGAUAUUUUAAAGGUUGAGAUCAAAUUUUGUAGCAUUAAAAGAAAAAGAGAAGAGAGGAAGAAGUAGAAGAAAUCAUAAUGGACCGUUUGAAAGUCCAAACAAGAGAGGAACCUUUGACCUAAAACUACAAUGGUAUUUAAAAUUUCCCCUGUUUUCAAUCCGUUGAAAAUAGGAGAGGGCGGGAGAUGAGAGAAAUGAAGAACAACCAAAAUGGGUGCAUUUUGAUUAUUUUUAAGUGAAAAACUCGACUUCUCAACUUCUAUAUUCUCCAGAAUGUUUCAAUUGAAUGCGAAAGAGUAGCUGCGCCCUGCAGGGAUGUUCUCAUUUGUGACUACCAACGCUCUUAAACAGUUAACAAGAAGCAUUGGCAACUUUGUAAGUCCUCCUUCAAUCUCAAUGCCUCUUCAACCACCAUCUUGUCCUUCUUUCAAGCAAACUCUGCUUAAUCGAAUCAAAAACUGUUCCACCAUAAACGAACUGCAUGGUUUAUGUGCUUCCAUGAUCAAAACUAAUGCAAUCCAAGAUUGUUUUCUGGUGCAUCAAUUUAUUAGCGCGUCUUUUGCUCUUAACUCUGUACAUUACCCAGUUUUCGCCUUUACCCAGAUGGAAAAUCCUAAUGUUUUUGUGUAUAAUGCGAUGAUUAAGGGAUUUGUAUACUGUGGGUACCCAUUUCGUGCUCUACAAUGUUAUGUACAUAUGUUGGAAGAAUCGAACGUCUUGCCAACUAGUUAUACGUUUUCUUCGUUGGUUAAAGCUUGCACCUUUAUGUGUGCUGUUGAGUUGGGACAGAUGGUGCAUUGUCACAUUUGGAAGAAGGGGUUUGAAUCCCAUUUGUUUGUUCAAACUGCUUUGGUUGAUUUUUACUCAAAGUUGGAGAUACUUAGUGAGGCAAGAAAGGUGUUUGAUGAAAUGUGUGAAAGAGAUGCUUUUGCAUGGACUGCUAUGGUUUCUGCUCUAGCUCGUGUUGGAGAUAUGGAUUCCGCUAGGAAGUUGUUUGAGGAGAUGCCUGAAAGGAAUACUGCAACUUGGAAUACCAUGAUUGACGGCUAUGCAAGAUUGGGAAAUGUGGAGUCUGCAGAGCUUCUGUUCAAUCAGAUGCCAACCAAGGAUAUAAUCUCCUGGACAACCAUGAUCACUUGUUAUUCUCAGAACAAACAAUAUCAAGAUGCAUUGGCGAUUUAUAGUGAGAUGAGAUUGAAUGGGAUUAUUCCCGAUGAGGUAACAAUGUCAACUGUUGCUUCAGCUUGCGCCCACAUUGGAGCUCUUGAACUAGGAAAAGAGAUACAUCAUUAUGUAAUGUCUCAGGGGCUUAAUCUUGACGUUUAUAUUGGUUCUGCAUUAGUUGAUAUGUAUGCUAAGUGUGGGAGUUUAGAUUUGUCUCUUUUGAUUUUCUUCAAAUUGACAGAUAAAAAUUUAUAUUGCUGGAAUGCAGUAAUUGAAGGACUUGCUGUUCAUGGUUAUGCGGAGAAGGCUUUGAGGAUGUUCGCUAUCAUGGAGAGGGAGAAGAUCAUGCCCAAUGGUGUUACCUUUAUUAGUAUAUUAAGUGCUUGCACACAUGCUGGGUUAGUUGACGAAGGCAGGAGUAGAUUUUUAAGCAUGACUCGUGAUUACGACAUUCGUCCUGAUAUCAGACACUAUGGUUGCAUGGUUGAUAUGUUAAGUAAAUCAGGAUAUCUCAACGAAGCGUUAGAAUUGAUUAAAAGUAUGGAAUUUGAACCAAACUCUAUUAUUUGGGGAGCCUUGUUGAAUGGGUGCAAACUUCAUGGAAACUGUGAGAUCGCUGAAGAUGCUGUUGAACAGUUGAUGAUUUUGGAACCCAUGAAUAGUGGGCAUUACAAUCUUUUGGUCAGCAUGUAUGCUGAAGAAAAGGAUUGGAUGGAGGUUGCGCAUAUUCGAUCAAUGAUGAAAGAAAAAGGAGUAGAAAAGAAAUAUCCUGGCUCAAGUUGGAUUGAAUUGGAAGGGACAAUUCAUCAGUUUUCAGCUUCAGCUGAUUCUCACCCUGAUUCUGACAAAAUAUACUUCGUACUGACAGAAUUAGAUGGACAACUGAAGCUAGCUGGUUACAUACUCGAGCCUUCAGUAUGCAGUACUGCUUUGCUUUUUUCAGAGGAAAUUUGAUCAACAUUAAUUGAGGUCAUAGUGAGAUCGAAUGUUAUUUGCAUAUCAAUCAUUUCAGCUUCAUUGAAUAUGGUAUAUUGAAGUGAAAAUUCUCGAGGUCAAGUGCUAAAUGACAAAGCUGGGCUACUAUAGGAGUUCAUAAUUAUUCAGAUCAAGGCUCAAGUUAGCCUCAUCAAGAGCCAUGGUAAUCUUAAGUUUAAUCUUACGUUUUGCUAGAAUGUCUUCUCAUUUUAAGUAAAUUCUCAAUAUUUGUUAUAAUGAAGUGAACGAGUACUUCUUAGUCUUUUACAUGCACAAUUGAGCAUCUUGAUGUAGGCGUUCACCGGAACAUAAUUCACUUGAAUCCUUCUUUCAUGUGCGCUCUUCGUACUCCCCAUUCUACAUGCACAAUUGAGAAUCUUGAUGAUGCAUUUCUUUUCAAUGUUUGGCUUGUAUCAUUGAGGCUACCUAUUCAUAUUAAGAAUAUAUUUGAUGAUUAAAUUUAAUCUACAGUCGAAAAAAUGAAGUGAAUGGUUACUUCUUAGUUUUUUACGUGCACGAUUGAGCAUCUUGAUGCAUUUUCUUUCUCUGUUUAACUUGUCUAAUUGAGGCUAUCUAUUCAUAUUAAGAAUAUAUUGACCGAUUAUAUCUAACCAACUCUUUUAGUGCUUAAGUUUUUAGAUUAGUGAUGGUUGAAACUCUGUGAUAUGGUUAAAGUUGUUACCAAUCUCAACAUCUAAACUCAAACUCGUGCAAUAGUUUGACUAAUGAGGCCCAGUAACUAUGUUAUUGAUAUUGAAAUAAAAGAGGAACAACUCUAAAAAUCUUUCAACUUAGGCAUGUAAAGUUCGAAUUCCCCACUCUUGUUGAUCGAAGUAGAUUCAAUCAUUUUCUUUAUGCUUUCAGUGUACUCGCAUUCAUUUUGUGAUUUUUGCUCCAGCUAUCAAAGAAAGGGCAGGGACUAAAUUUAUAACGAAAUAACGUACCACUAUUGUACAACCGGAGCUGACUCAGUGAAGUGAUUUGAUCAAAGAACCCAAGCUAACAGGAUAUCCUGUAACAGGUCGGUCCUUUUUCCUUCUUUGUACAAUACUUUCAUAUAUUUCAAACACACAUGAUCAUAUUGUCUGCAUUAUGCACUUCUUUAGAAACAAGCUAGGUUUUGAGGAAAAUGGAAACCAAGACUUAUCAGAAUCUUCACGUAUAAUCUCAUUCAUGACAAUAAAUUGCCAAUACUGUCUGUACCGUGUGAUAAUAUUUCCAAAACAUCCAACUUGUCCCACAGAUGGUUUCUUAGGUUGGAACGGCGUGGAGAAAAGAAAACUUCUAGUUUCUUCUUAUGUUGUUUUAAUUUUCAUUUUCUAAACGAAGAACAUGCCUAAGUCUUCUCUUUCCUACUUCAAUGGUGUUCUUAAUCCAUCAAUAUGGCAUUGGAGAAUGCUAAACACUGGCUAAAUUAAAUGGAAGUGCGACUCUCUUCUUCAAGCACUAGCCAUUUUUAUUAUUAUGGAAGUAGCUUGCUUUGUUCUGACAAGAUGCAUGGUUUAAGGGAUAGAGGAAAUUCUUCAAACCUUGUAGGCUAUGCAUCUGCUGUAAGAUAUGGUUCUUAGGGAACAUUAUACACGUUUCUAUCUUAGUCUCUUUUCAUGUACUUAAUGAAAAAUUUCGUAUCAUUUCAAGGUUCAACGAUAGUGAUUGCUAUUAUUCCACUAUUUUGACUUUCCCUUACCAAGUUGGUGGGGGGAAAUCCUACCCAAAUCUCGCAUUAGUCUUUCUCAUACUCUGCCAAAGUUCACUAUUCUGAAACUUCAUCUCAAACAGAAGUAUGCUUUCUGACCUUGCUAUAAACUUACAUCCACAAAGGUCAUAAAAAUUUGUAAAAUAGAGGUGGAUUAUUAUUCAGGUUGAUUAUAGAGACAGAAGUGGCCUCUGUUUACCAACAAGUUGGUAUUGUAUUUUCUUGAGCAUUUUAUCACAAUAAGAAAGGAAAAAAAAAAAAAUCAAAAGAAACUUAUCUAGAGACGCCCAAAUUCAUAGUUUCUUCUAAGAGGACUUCAUGCACUUGGCAAUGGACCAGGAUGGGGUUAAUAUUUAAUCACAAAAUAUUUUUACGUUCCAAAAUUUUUUAAAAAAUUGAUCUGAAGUGCUUACUACUUCCGGUUCAAUUCACUAGACCCUUAUAUAGUUCCCUUGUCUCUGAGAGUAACAAUAAAGUCUGUUGUUGUUCUUUAGCGGUGUAAACCUUUUCUCCAUCCAACAAUUGUAGUCUAAAUAGUCUUUUCCUUUUAGUUUAGAACUUGACGCCCUCGUUAUUCUCAUAUCUCAUACCAUCUAUGAAAUUGUUUCUUAUUUUCAAAGAAGGUCCAUGCUCGAGAUGAAAACUUCUUGAAAAAGUCAGAACAAAAAGCCUUGAUUUGGCUAAUAGUUUAACUGAGGUUAAAUUUAUACAAGUAUAAACUUAUCUAAGCUUAUAAUCGAUUUGGAUGAAACUAAUGGACGAAUGUAGAGCUAACGAUUUAAACGUGGCUGCACAAACUAACAAUUAGAAGACGAUAUAAAGCUUGAGACUUUAAGAUUAAAAGUAUACACCUCCCCUCCCCAAAGCUUAGAGAUAAAAAUUGAUCCCCACACCGAACGCCCUCUCGUCCUUCUGAAUUUACUUCUUAUUGACCAUCCGUUUAAGAAUCAUCAUCAAAACCUACUCUUGACUUAUAUAGAAUGAGCGGAACCAUCGUAUAUUUAAAGAUAAAGAAUCAGAUUUCACACACUUUUUUUUUAUCACUUUUUGUAUACAUCUCUAUCAUGGUGUAAAUUCACUUCUAACUUUUGUGACUACAAUCUCACUUCUCUUAAAUCUCAAUGGAAUAUCAUGAUGAAAUCUUUCUUGGCACUUGAUGCCCUUUUGUAAUUUCAUUUUAUCAAUAAAAUUUGAUUGACUGUUUCUAAAGUCCCCCACACCAAAAGAGGAAAACUAUUGCCAGUACAAGGGAAACAAAACAGAGGAAAAUGAACCAAGAGACUCGAAUUUUGUAAAGUGACAACUGACCAGGAUAGGAAAAAGAAGAAAGUUUCAUAAAACUGUUGAACAAAUGAUGAUUAAAAAAAUAGGCUCUACAACCAUUAGGGAGGGGCUUGACCGAUCAAAGCUCGAGUUCAACAUCAACUGUAUUCAUGAAAAAGUCCAAAAAAAAAAAGAAGAAAAAUCUAGAAGCCGAAUAAGUUGAUAAGGAUGUCGCUAUGACAACAAUAGGUUUACCGACAUAGAGGAGACAUUACUCAAACUGGAAGCCAUUAUUACUUUUUCUUUAAAACAUUAAAAACCCCAUCAUCUGACCAAAAAUUUAGACUUUUUUUUGGAGGGGGUGAAAAAGAAACACCAAACAAAAACAAACAAGACUGAAAAACCUGAAGCCAAACUCAGUUGAAAGAUGGAACUUCUUUUAAAAGGUUAAAUCUUUUCUCCUUGUGUCUUUUUAAAUGGGAUACAACCAACUUUUGAUGGCCUGCAGUGUACAGACUUUCUCAGCCUCAUUCAUUAUGGAACAUCUAAUUAAUUUUCUAAGUUGAUUGGGAUGAGUAGUUUGUGUGGUUCAAAAGUAAAAGUACUGAUAAGAAAUUUAGAAUAAUGCUUCCAAUUGUGUCAGUUUUUGUGCUGAAGCCUGAGAAUAGAAAGAGUUUUUGUAGUGUUGUGCGUUUGUGGGGCUUUCUUGCAUCCUCGAAAACCUAGAAAGGAAUUCCAUCUUCUUAAAAUUAUAAAACAAUAGUUCAAUUAUAUAUUUAUUAAACAAAUAACUGUUCCUUGCAAUAUUACCCUUUUAACUCUUCACGAACAUUUCAAAACUACUGGAGUGAAAUAGUUUUGAAAACUACUGGAGUAGUUGUACUUCAGAAUUUUUCAGAAUUAUGAAAGUUGAGACAUGAAAUUUUGUGACAGUUCUAUUGUAACACUCUUGUUUUAGGGUCCAAACUAGGAUUCAAAAUCCGAACUUGGAUUCAAAAUUGAACUUGGCACCUCAUGAUCUCAUAUUCUUCACAAACCAAUAUGAGUCCUUUUAGCAUGGUUUGUUCUCACUUACACGCUUCAUAGAAAAUUUAUAGGAAGACACCCAAUGUAGAAUUGCUUAAAGUUAAGCAUGUUUAAUUCAGAUUCCUAUAUUUGAGUCUUUCUUAACUAUAGGUAUAGGUUAGUAGCUUUCAAUUCUUUUAACUAUACUUUUAUAGCCUCAAGAUCUCUCUCAUUCAAAUGUGAUCUCCGUUUAUUUAUCAUAUAUUCCUUCUAAACUCGAAUGCUAUAGUGAUAUUGCAACUUUUGAAAGAAUGGUAGUACUUUUUUAAAGAAAAAGUGAAAAGUGUGUAAUAUUUAGAAGUUAGCCAAAAACAAAACAGCCUCUAAACCAAACCAAAAUUGACUAGAGUUCACACGCUAAGACAAAAGCUAGGGAGGGAACAUAUUAUUAUUGCUACACAACAAAGUUAAUGUUUUGGUCAAACCUUCUUCCCAAUAAGGUUAAGUUGUGUGAGGUUUGGUCCCUUAGUUUCUCCAAGGUUGUCUCCACCUGUGAUUUAUCUUUCUUCUCUUUCAAGCUCAAACCACUCCCAAAUAUUUCACUAAAUGAUUGCCAUAAUCAAUCCCUUGGUGGGGUUCGACUUACUUUGUCUUCAACUACUCUUUUCUCCACAUAUGAAGAUACAAAAAGUGUCAUUUUAGAUGUCAUUUCAAAUACUUGAACUCACAAACUAUUGUUUUUAUCAUCAACUAAUUUCUAUAUGAUGGGGUUUGAGAUACAUCAAAUAAAUGUAAUUUAAUUUGAUGUAUUCAGAGUCCAUUCCUUGGACGUAUUACUACAGUAGGAUUUUAGAGAAAUUCAAAUAGGAUAAAAUUUGCAAGUUACUUCUUUCCAAACUUGUAGCGGACCUUUUUUACUUUUUAUAAAUGUUUCAAAACUAUCAUUUUAAAAAAUUUAAAAUGAAUAUUGGAAGAAAAUUAAGAUCUAGAAUGGUGGGGAGGCAACCUAGAAUAAUAUGACAGACUCAAUUUUUAUUUUGCAUCGCUACAUUGUCACAAGUUUUAACUAUCAUUUAUCAUUUAUCAUUCAAGAAACUGACAUGUUUCUAUUGUAAAUGUUCAAUUUUGAAAUAGUUAUGGAAGGUCAAGGAAAUAAUGUAACUUUUUAAAGUAAGAGUAUUUUUUAAAAAAUGAAUGACAAAUAAGUACACAAAUGGUUAAAACAAUCAUUUAUAUUUGUCAUACAAUAAAAACACCCCUGGGGAACAAAAACUACACAAUGAUUGCAAGAUAAUAGAAACAUGUGAAAGGGGAAUUGAUGAGGAUAAUUUUAAAAUUUUCUACUUAACUUGCUCCUCACUUUUUCAAAAUUAGGUUUUAUUUGCCUUUUCGAGUAGCUAAUGAAAAUGAGGAAAUGAUAAGGUCUAAGUUUUCUUAUAAUUUAUGAAUAUUAGUUUAUUUUAUCUUUGUAAUAUUAGAAACUAUUUUUAUAUACUUCUUUGGUAAUGUACUUUAGUUGAUUUUGAUUUAUUUUGGUUCUGGAUGCUUUUAAAAUGUUUAUCUUAGUCUUUGUUUUUUUAAACUUUUGUUCAUUUUAGUUCUUGUACUUUUAAUAUUUGUUCAUUUCAUUGUGCUUUCAUAAUGUCUAUUUUUAUACUUUUAAAAUGUUUAUCUUAGUUUUUGUUUUUUUAAACUUUUAUUCAUUUUCGUUCUUGUACUUUCAAUAUUUGUUCAUUUUAUCGUUCUUUCAAAAUGUUAAUUUUAGUUUUUGUAUUUUUAAGAAAAUGACCAUUUUUGUCUCUCAUUUUCAUUUGCAUUUGAAUUUUUCGGUUGAAACUUUGCAUUACACCUUAUUCACUAAGGUAGUAAUUUAGCUAUGAACUUUGAUUUGUAAUGAUUUUGUCUAUGUAGUUUCGAUUUUGCAAUAAUUUAAUCCUGGGACAUAAGUAUGUAACAAUUUUAGUUAUUGUAAAUUCUUGAGUCUAACGCAAACAAAAAAAUCAAAAUUAGAGGUUAAUUUUUCUUAUUUUAUAUUAUAAGCUUUGUAUUUUUGUAAAAAUAUUGAGUUUAUAGUUACUUUGUUUAUUCAUGAAGUUUUUACACUAAUUUUUACUAUAUGAACUAAAUUGUUACGAAUGAGAAGGUACAAGGACAAAAUUGUUACAUUCUAAAAUUCAUGAACUUAGAAGAAUAUGAAGGAUUAAAUUGUUACAAAUCGAAGUUUAAGUACAAAGUUACUUUUACAGAAGUUUAGGUUUUUUAACCCAUUUGUAUUAAAGAUUUUUCAUUAUACAUAUAAUGUAUGUUACAAUUUUAUAAAUAGAGAUCAAAAUGGUCACAUUUUAAAUUAUGGAAACUCAAAAUAGACAUUUGAAAAGUAAAUGGAGCAAAGUGAAUUGAUGGUGAAAGAUCAAAGUAGUAGUAUUUAAAUUUUAAAGAAGUCCUAUUUGCUUUAUUUCCUUUUAAUAAAAAAUAUUGUAGAUUAAUUUUUAAAUAUAGUUGUGAUUGAAGAUCCACAUGCGUUUACAUAUUGUAUUAUGUAAUAUUAUAGAAUAUAACUGAUUUGAUUUUUCUUUAAAGAAAACACUUAACUAAAUAUAUUUCAUAACAUCUCCAAUGUACACUAUUACAAAAUUGAAAUUAAAAUUUCUUUUCAAUGUAACAAUCUUGAAAUAAUAAUAAUUGAAGUGACAGCCUCAAAGAAAUGAUCACAUAUCAAACUCCCUCAUAUCCUGGUUCAAACUUUGAAACAUUGCCUCCUAUUCAAACUACAUCCAAUAUUUUUAAAUUAACUUCUUAAGUCAUAUUUAAUAUUCAAUAUUCUUCAAUUAAAAUCUACAUUUCUGAUUAUAUUUAUCAAUCAUUGAACAAUAUCAUUUUCAUUCUUCUCUUUUUCCCUUGACCAAUCUAAACCAAUGUCAUUAUUGUCUUUACUCCAUAGAUUUUUUUUUUUUAUUAUAUUGCAUACAUCAAUUUGAACUUAUUAAUUUUAAAAAUAAAAGUUUAUCAUAUACUUCUUUUACAGUGAAACUGAAUUUCAUCUUGAGUAUGUUGAUUAAAAAUAUGAAUUUUGGAUAAGAUUUUAUUUUUUAAUUUUAAAGAUGGAGUUACGUAAAACUUUUAAAAGUGUAAGUACCAACUUAAACUAAUAGUAAAGCUUGUAGUCUAUAAACCUUAUUAAUAUUUAUUUUAAAAUGAUAGGUUGGCUUUUGAGAAUUUGCAAUUUUUUUAUAUUCAAUUGGGUCAAAGAACUAAGAACUCAUAAACGGACAAUUUGUAAUGUUGUUAACAACUUUCAAAUUAAAUAAAAUGAUAAAUAUAUUUCAAAUAAUUGCUUCAAUACCCUCUUAAUUUUGUAGGCCCCAAUAGAUAAUUAUUUGGUUUUGUUUUUUUCUUUUCUAAUUAAACCUAUUUUAUGCGUAUUUCUUAAAUAUAAUUAUUAAUUUUUUAUUUAAAUUUCAAAAACAAAAUUAACUUUUGAAUUUUUUAUUUUUUUAAUUCUUGAAAUCUAUCGUUCACAAUUAUUUUUAAAAACCUUAAAUAAGAAAAGUGAGAAAACUAGGAACUUGGUGUUAGAUACUUAAAGUUUGAAUGAUGGAAAUGAUUCAAAUUUAGUAUGGUAAAUGAAAGGAAUGAGAAAAGAGAGAGAGGAAAAUGAAAUUUGAACCAAAAUGUGAUUUUGUGAAGGUAUAUAAAUUAGUAUAAGAAAAAGAAGUGGAUGCAUUUAAUAAUGUAGAUUAUAUAAAGAAAGAGAGAAGAAAAGAAAGGGUAGCAAUCAUCCAAACACGUGCAACGGCCCCCAUGUGCAACAUUGGUGUCGGCUUGACCAUUCUAAUGUUGUUUUACUUACCAUAAAUUUAUAAUAUCAGCAUCAACUUUCCAACCAUUUUUCUUUUUCUCUUUACUCUUAUUGUUAGACCUAAUGCUAUUUUAUAUUUCAAUCUCUCUUUAAUUAUCAAACCUUUAACCUAUUUACUAUUUCUAAAAUCUAAACCACUUUUUCUUUAACAAUGUUGCCUUUGACUAAUAAUGUCCCCAAUCAAUUCUGGAAAAUCAUUAACUAAUUAAUCUCUUUUCUUUUUUCUUUUUUCUUUACUUCCUUAUGAUUGGUCAAACAAAAGCCUUUGGGUUCUUUUGGACCAUCUCCUCUUACCUUUCCUUAUCUAUUAUUUUAAUUCUAGGAAGUAGAUUACAUGUUAGUUUUUUUCAUUUUGCUUUCAAAUUUUUAUUCAUUCUUCUUCAUAUUUAACAACUCACUAAUUCUAACUUUUUCAACUUACUUUGCCUCUUAAAUCUAAUUUUUUUUUAAUUUUAGAAAAUAUAAAAUAUUAAUAGUUUAAGACUUAGUAAAUAUAAUAUUAAAAAUUUAAUAGUUUUAGUAUGAUACUUUUAGGGAGCUAUAAAUGAAUUUAUAUUCAGAUGAUAUGGAUAUAAAAGAAUUUUAGAAACUAUAGUACAUAUCAACCAUGGAAAAAAUUAUACUAAAAUAUUACAAUUAUGUAAAGUAUUUAUGGAAAUAAGAAUAAUGCAAAUUUGCUCUCUCUCCUUGGCGAGUCUCAUUUCAUUUUCUUAUUCUCUCUCAUUUCUUACUUUUUUUUUUUUCAUUUUUCAUAUCAAUUUUAAUUUCUUUAUUCUAUUUGAAUUUUAUUUUUCUUUCUUAUUUUAAUAGUAGGUAAAUUUUAAUUUUUUAUUUCUUAGUUUAAUACUAUUUUUUCUUAAUAAAGAAAAACCUAUUUUUUAUGGAAAAGUUUGUUUAAUUUUAUUGUGAUUUAAACUUACUAAAAAUGUGUGUUCUUUAUCUUUUUAAAUGGAUGAAAUUUCCUUCAAUUUUUUUUUUCAAUUCAUGUUUACAUUAAUUUUUUAAUUUAUUUUUACGUUUGUUACAUGACAUGAUAGAUUUGUAAAGAUCAAUCAUUAAUCGAAAUUUCAUUACUUGAGUGUGCAAUUUUAUGUUAGUAAUUCGUUCGGUUUAUAUUAAUGUUAUUCUCUAUGCAUGUUUACCUUUGUAAUCUAUUUGUUUUGUAUUAAUUAAAGACGGUAAAUUUCUAGUAAUUGCUUGUGAUUGAAAAAUAAUUAAAUAUAAAGUAAAAUAUGUAAUACAAUAAUUUAACAAAUUCCAUUUAAUGUAAAUAUAAAGUAAAAUAUGUAAUACAAUAAUUUAACAAUUUUCAUUCAAUGGAAGUAAAAUCAAUGUGUUCCACAACUUGGACAUCGUCAAUUUUUAGUUGGCUGUCCUCAUCGACUUUGCACUCUUUGUUGCUUUAGUCAUUCCUGUUUUGAAGUAUGACAAUUGACCGAUUCCUAAAUUAUAAUAUCUCGCUUCAAAUAUUGGCAUCAUCAUCAUCGAACUAAUGUAACAAAUCUCGCUCUGUGUUUGUGUCAGAUGAGGCAUUUUUCUUCCACAUGCUGGUUAACUUCUUCCAAUUCAUCAGGCUCUUGCACUCGAGUACGUCUUCUUUGAACUGGUGUAGCUACAAUAGGUACAUCAUACAUAUAGUGUAUGUUCUUCAUGUACAACUUGUUAUCUUAUUGUUGCAUAUAUCUAGGACCUGUUGUGGAUCAUCUGCAAUAUCUCGAAGUCUAUUGUUGUUUGAUCUUUGUGAAAUAUUAAAAUGAAUUAGAAAAUAUUUAAAAUAAAUUUGUACUUAAAAUAGUUAGACAAUAUUUAAAUCUAUACCAAAUGACCCACAUAUGUUGUCAAUCAAGUGAUAUAGAGCCUCAUAAUAUUUUUGUACCAAUUGAUGUAUUCUUGAGUUACAUUCACAUCCAAAUUACUUAAUCAGAGGUUCCAUAGCAAUAAAUAUAUCUUCUGUGAUUUGGCCAUCACAUCAUCAAAUGGACAACUGUAUCAGAUCAAUUAGCAGUUUUUCAAAUCAAUGUUGUGCAAAAAUGGUUUAGUAUUACAAUCGAGUGGAACAUCUUGUUUAAGACCAAACUGUCUGAGUUUUCUAUCAGGAUGAUGCCACUCACCUAUGUGAAAACAUAUGAGAGGACUAAAAGUUCGCCAUAUAUGUUGUGACUGUUUGUACAGAAAUUUGACAAACUAUCCAUGACAGCUUUGUACAACUUUCGGAUAAUUUGAAACACAACAUAUUAUAUGAAACUUAAAAUUUAGGUUCAACACGACGUACCUAAUUAGGUUGAAGAAGAUUAAACAUGUACUUAUAAUGAAAGACUACAUGUUUAGUUUAACUGGGCUGGUCACACAAAAUUAAUCUCUUCAUAUUAUUCAACUAAUAUUUUAGAUUUUAAAUGUACUACAUAUAAAAAAUUAUGGAUAAUCUAAACUAAAUCAAAAGAACAUAUCUUGAACCAUAAGCUCGUCCAUGUAAUUGGCAGAGGUUUGAUUUCAUUUUUAAAAAUUAUUAUUAUUUACUAUUUUAUUAUAUUAACAUUAUCAUCAAAUUAUUAUUAUUAUUAUUCAUUCUUUGUUGUCUCUCAUCUUCACAUCAUCUCCUUAUUCUUUUUAUAUUAUCAAGUAUUGUGUCAUUUUUUCUUCUUCUUUCACUACAAAUCUAAACGAUCGUUUACCAAGAUCAUUUAAAUUUGGUACAAUAUUGUAUACACGAUUGUUUCGUUUGGAUUUGGUACACAAUCGUUUUGUGUAGAUUUGGUACAAGAUCUUGCACACCAAAAUCAUUUAGAUAUUGAUAUACUAUCACCGUAAUUAGGGAAAUUUAGCAAUAAUCUUGGAGUAUAUUAUUGUAUUUAGAGUGUAUUGAUUCUUUCCUUAUAUGUUGCUCUAAUUUCUGUAUAUUUACCUUUGUAUUACUCGAAAUUAAUCAAGAAAUAUACCAUUACUCAAAUAAAUUGUAAUUAUCUUUACAUUUUGGCUUUAUCUGCUCUAAUAUUAAUAUUAGUGAUUAAUGAUUAUAAAAUGGUUAAAAUGAUGUUUUUUUAAAAAAAGUAUUUAGAAAUAUAUAUAUAAUAAUAAUUUAAAAUUUAAAAUUAAAUAAUUAAGAAAAUGAUUAUAAAAAUGGGUUUAAAAAUUGACACGAGGAAAGUGUAGAAAAGGGAUAUUAUGGAAAAGGAUAUUUAAAAUUUAAAUUGAGUUAAUUUGGGGGAUAAUUAUUUACAUUUAAAUUAAGGACCUUGAAUGUAUGGCAUAUAUGUGGGAUAUGCUGCAGACAACGGCAAGUUUUGAGAAGUCACUCGCUUCCUCACAAAUUUGUUUUUAAAACUGAGGUCAGAGUUUCAAAUUCCGACCUCGUUAAUUAUUGUUUUUUAAUUAUUGUUUUUUAAAUAUAGGUUAAGCAUUAAUGCUCAAUCCUUUCAAUUUUUUUCUUAAAGUAUUUUUUUCUAAAUUGUUUUCCAAGUGCACCAUUUUGCUAGGGAGAUUCAAGAGUGUGCGUCUUUUUUAUGACUCAAUCAUAAAAAUUUCAAAGUUAAAACAUGUUUAGCUUAAAAUAUUUGGUGAUUUUUUUGAAAUUUUUUCUAGAUAGUAUGUUAGGGAAGAUGAAGCAUGUUAAAAAAUAAUUAGCUAAAUUGGAAGGGAAUGUUUAAGGUUUGAUAUAAUUUCAAAAAUUAAAGUCUAGUCUUAUAAUUGAACUGAAAAAUUGCUUUAGAGUUAAUGUUUAGUAAUUAUGAAUCUAUGAUUAAUUUUCAAUUAGUAAAGUACAGAUUUGGACAAAUAAUUGAAGAAAACCUUUGUAAAUAUGGCUUGUUAUGCUUACCCACUUCAUUAUAUAAAAUAUAUAUGUUACUUUAUAUAUAUCUUUAGAACAAUAUAUAAAAUAUUUAUGGAUAUUAAAGUAGGUUUGAAUUGUACUUCUCAAUGUAUACUUUUUUUUCUCCAUUUAACCAACUCAUACAACAAAGUUCUUUCUGUUUUGUUCAUUUUGUUUCAAAACCCUUUUAAUUUGAAACUAUUUCCAUGAGGAAUAAAAUCAAAUAGAAAUUUGGUUAAUUAUUUAGAAAAAGUUGAAAUACCAGAUCAUCAUUAUCUAGGGAAUGGAGUUGGAGUUGGAGAGAUCCAAAUCACAACUUUAAUUAGUUUUUCCUUUAGCUAAAUAUGUAUUUUAGCCCUAACUUUAGGGGAUUUUAUUUUCGACUUAGUUCUUAUUAUUUUAAAUUUUUCAAUAAUUGUCCUUUGAUGAAUUUUAAAAAUAUUAUUAUUUUAUUUUUUAGAUGAGAAUGUUAAAAUUAGUUGGUAACAAAUUUAUAUGCCAUAUUCCUUAAUGAAGGAUAAAUAUUUCAUACUAAAAAUUUGAAUGGAAAAUUUUAACUCCUUCCUCUUUCUAAAUAAUAUGUUUUCACUUUUAAAAUUUCCCUAUAUAAAUUUACUGUCGGCCAAUUUUACAAUUUACUGCAACGAAGGACUAACUGGAAAAUGUUAAAAUAAAAUAGACUAAAUAGAAAGCAUUUCAUAAACUAAGUUAGGAAAAAAAAAAUAUUAAACUACAAGUUGACAUUUUUUUUAUUUUUAAAAAACAAGUUGACUAAACUUGGUGGUGGUUUGUAUUUAUUUUAUGUUUUAGAAGAUUUUCAAUAAUAUUUAAUAUACUUCUAAAACUUUAAUUUUUCUUCAUAGUAAACUUGUGAUUUUUUAGUCUAAUAAUUUCACGUCCAAAAUUGGUUGAAAAUACAAAAUUGAUGCAUUAUAUAUAUGUAUAAUUUUUUUUGUCAAUAGAACUAGAACUCAAUAAAUUUGUAAUUUAAAACCUUUGAAAAAUAUAAGUAUAAUAAUAAAGAAUUUUGGUGCUAAAUUAUGAAAAAGAAAGAAAGAAAGAAAGAAAGAAAGAAAUUCGGGUGAGGUGCAACUGACGUGGACAGUGGCGCAUUGUGGCGCCCACUUAGAAUGUUAAUUAAGAAAAGGAGAAUUUUGGUAAAAAACCAAAAGGAAAAGAGAAAGAAAAGGAAAAAGAAAAGAUGGCUCGUGCGGUGUGUCAGAGAUGAAAAAAUGGGAGGAGAAGGCACGUGCCUUCAAUCCCGAGGAAUAAACCAUAGCCGUUUCUCCGCCUUUUGUCGAUCUUCAUCAUUGAUUUCGACAUGUCGACAUUCGAUUUUUUUUUUUUACAUUUCAACCUUAUUACUGCGUAUAUUCUUUCUUUGGGAGGGUUAGAAUUAGCAUAGAAAUUAAUCCAAGUUAUAAGAUUAAUGAUUUCAAAAUUCCAUUUACUUUUGAACUUUCGAAAUUAAACUCAUAUUUAAAUUAAAGAAAAAUGUAACAUUUUACUUCUUGUUUUCCUUUUAUAAAACAUUUAAUUGUUUGAUAACUUUAUUGGUAAUUAUAAAUUAUUUUUUAUAUAUUAUAAAAUAAAAAGACUAUUUAAAGUCUUUUUAGUUUAGUUUUUUUUUUUUUUUUUGAGAAAAACAACAUAAACCAUAAUUUUCAUUAAGAAAAAUCUUCUAUGGCUUCAUCAAUACUAUACCCAUAGGCGGUAGGAUUUUAGGGUUUUGUUUUAUUUUAUUUUAUUUUUUGGUCUAAACCCUAUUUCACAAUCUCUCCCUUCUCCACUUUCUAAGAUUUAAUCAAGAACAAUAAUACUAUCGUUGCCCCCUCACCGUUUUUAGUCUAACACCAUCCUCACACCAAGAUUUCUUUUACAUAUAAUUAUUAUUAUUAUACUAAUAAUAAUAAAAAUCCAUGUGGUCCGAUACUAUUUUUCUAAUAUUUUAGAUUUCAUUUUUUCAUCCCUUGAUUUAUCUAUAUAUAUUAUUUGUAUAGAUCAAGUUUAUGUUCAAUUAGAUUAGAUUGAAUGAGUUUGAAAAAACAAAUAGAUGCAUAUAGGAUAGGAUGUAGAAACUUGGGUUGAGUUGGGUUGUAUAUAUAUAUAUUUUUUCUCCUCUGUUUUUAGUUUCUAAGGGUUGUAAAAGUUUAAAAUUCUUACAUUUAAAUUUCAAUAUACAUAAUUCAAAAUUUCAUAUAAUAAAUUUAAAGUUUAUAUACCUAAUUUGUUUUAGUAAAUAAUAUAUAUUAUAUUAAUUCGGGUUGGGUUGGGUUGGGUUGAACUGAAUUUUUCAACCUUCCAAUCUGAGACCGAACACAACUCGAAAAAAUCAAACUUUUUUAACUCAAACUAACCCAUAUUUUUACAUAACCCAACUCAAUGCAUAUAAUAUGGGUUGGGUAGUCUGGGUUAUUUGGGUUCAACCCAUAUUCUAACACACUUACAUGGAUCAAUGUUUGAGAUCAACUUAAAGGGUCUAUAGUAUAAGGAUAAGGUUGAGUACUUUAUCCUGGUAACACUAUGGAUACGACUCUCUUUCUAUUUAAUACAAGCACAAUGAUCCAACAUGUUCGUGUAGUUGACAUGCGAGUGAGGGUAUCAUAGGCAAUGAGUUUGCAUAAGAUCGGAUCGCAAAAUUGUAACCACUAGAUGUAAUUCCAUUAACUAGUAAUUAGGUUUCUAUUUCAUUAAAAUGACCUAGGUAACUUAGUCUUAAUUGUAAGUGUAUUAUGAACUCCUGUUAGCGAGUGAUUGUCCUUUAAUUUGUAAGAAUGAAAGUGGCCAGAUCGCCAACUCAAUAGCUUAUCAUUUUAGGGACAAGACCGAGUGGGGAGCUAAGAAUAUAAUUACAUAGGAUUCAC